Molecule: long non-coding RNA, 96075 nt
Filed under: Gossypium barbadense (sea-island cotton)
Lineage: Eukaryota; Viridiplantae; Streptophyta; Magnoliopsida; Malvales; Malvaceae
Description: long non-coding RNA (GBAR_LNC016736)
Source: RNAcentral
UUGUGUUCAGCAACAUCAUCCAUAAACCUACAAAUAAUUGUGGAAGCUUGAAUGAUCUUAGGGUCAUUGGCUGCCCAUUUAAAGGUUUCUGGUGUUACAAUAUCUCCCAUGCCAACGAAAGAUGUAAUAGCAAGCAUGGCAUAACCACAAGUUGGCAAUGCAUUAGCCUUAAACUCCUCGAAUGAUGGUUUGUAGUUUUGAAGAGUCCAUCUGGCCUCCACAAGAUAAGAUUGAGCAAGUCGUAUCAUCUGAGGCAACAAAAUCCCAACAAUUAUCACUAAUAUCAAUUCAAAUUCAAUAAUAAUAUUUAAAUGAUUAUAUAUUGUUAUUCGAGUUAGUUGUUUAUUCAAAUCUAGAAUUUAGCUAAGAUCUUAUCUCUUUUGUACAAAAUAAAUGUUUGUUGAUGUACAUACCGCAUUUUUCGCAUAUUCGACACGAUAUUGUCUCCCAUGCUCAGCCACCAGUUGUUCCAUUUCUUCAUAAACAUCUAAUAGUGCCUUGUAGCUCGGCUUCAUGUAUUCAGGAAGUUCAUCUAUGCAUUUGAUAUCCCACCUGAAUUCAACUUCAAUGUUAACUUCAACUAAAGAAACCUAACCUAUUACCAACAAAAUUUUAGAAAUCUAACCUCUCAAUUGCAUUUGUAUAGGGAAUAAGCUCUUCAUAUGUUGCAUAUGAGUCAUAUGUAUCAUCUACAAUAGAUGCCAUUGCUAUCACUUUUGUCAACAUCUUUCUACCAAGAGAAUAUUGGGGCUCAAAAUACACUCCUGAGAUCCAAAAAUAGCCUUCAACCACUCUAUCUCUUGCGUAUGGCAACUUUCUUUGAAAGUCUAAAUCCUUCCACCACCUAAAAAAAUCAUAUCAUAGAAAACCCCAUUAGCAAAAUGAAUAUUCAAAGUUUUAAUUUGUUUCACAUUCAUGUUGUCAAUAAGUAAAUUGUUAGAUUCUUAAGUAAAUUGGCAACCUGAAAUUUUAAAAUAUAUAUAUAACUUAUAUAAUAUAAGUAAAAUAAUGUAAGUGAAAAAGAUGAAUCCAUCACUUUUAACUUGUGCUAUAUAUUAAGAUUCAAAUAUUAGCAUUUGCAACUCGUCUCCUAUAUUGAGAAUGAUGCCGCGAUUAAAUUCAACCCUCCUUCCACCAAAAAAAAAAAAAAGACAAAAAAGAAAAAAAAAUGGGUGAAAGAGAUUCAAAAACAUACCUAGAAAUCUCACUUAGCUCUUUUCUAUGCAAAAGUUGUACCAUGUUGAAAUCGAUCUUAGCAAACUCCAACAAAACCUUAUUAUGGGACUCAAUAUCUUGGUAUACUGAAAGAUAGUGUCUUGCCUCAACCCUUGGCAAGCCUCUUCGAAUUGAUUGUUUCAAAGCAUGAGAAACCUCUUCGGAUAAAGGAUGGUCCAAAGAUGCUACUGCAAGGCUUAAAUGGUUGCUGGUGAAAGAAAUUGCUUCAUCCAAUAUAUCUUCCCCAUGAACCCUCAAAUAGGAAGCUUGGUAAAGUUCCAACAAUCCUCGAACAUCGCUUGUCACGGAUGACUUGAAAUUCCCUUGCUCGUCUUUAAACUUGUUGAAUACGUCUGAGAUGAAAUUACCCAAAAUGAAAUAUUGUUAUCAAACAUUCCAUGCUAUUAUAUACUCAAGAAACUUAAAAAUACCAUGUUGUUGUUCCAGUAAUUACCGCAUGAAACAUUGAAUCCAUGCUCUCGGAGUAGUCGGAAUCGAAGGGAUGUGGUGUAGAGGUCGUUCUCGGCAUCAUUGUUGUUAUGGUAGAUAUUCUCUAGUUCAUCUUCGAUCUCCUUGGUGAAAUGGUAACUCACACCCAGUCUUUGGACUGAAUCAAUGAAGGCUAACUUUUGGGUUGAAUUAGCCAUUGGUGCCACAAUCAUCUUCCUCACUUCUUCUUUCAAUUGUUGGUGGCGUUUUUGAGUUUCAGCAUCAAUAUUCUGCUCAAAAUAAUGAAAAUUUGCUUCAUAUUGAAUCACUAAAUAACUAAACAAAUAAUCUGUUAAGAUUAUAUAUAUACCAAUAUGGUGAUAUGUAUGUAUACCUUGUCGGGACAAUUGAGGAAGAAAUCUCCCCAAAUGCUAGGCUGAAAAUCGGCUUUGGGACGCAUUUCAUCCUUAUUGGAAGAAAGGGGUGAUGAAGAAGGCAUUUGAGAAACUUGUGAAGCCAUUUCGAUUGAUUAAAAGCAAAUAUUGAAAAGCUUAAUUUGCUGCCUUUUUUGGUUUGCUCUUGAAAUUUGGCACAGAAUCUGUGAGGAUAAGAGUGCAAUUGUUGCAUGUAUUUAUAGGUAAAAUAUACUGGGGAGUUUAAGUCAAAAAAGACAACCUAUAUGCAAGGAAACAAUUAUACAAUAAGAUUGGUGUAGGGCGGCCCAUUGCAUGAGAAUUGCAAAUAGAUUAAAAGAGAUGUUGAUUUGUCUUUUUGUUUGAUUCUCUUAUUCAAAGUUGAUGCCUGUAAAAUAUUAGAAGAUGAAAUGUGUAGAAAUGUGUUACAAAGUAAAUAUUUAUCCUCUGUUGAACUUUAGAAUUAUAGAAAUAUAUCAUUUCAGUCCUUCCCUCGGCCGGUCAGCCUCAAUUAAAAUAUAAAUUAAAUCAGUUGGACCAACUGAACUAAAUUAUUUAAUUAAAACAUAAUUAAAUGUUAAAUGUGAUUUCAUAUUAAAUAAGUCUAAAAAGUAGUAACUAGUUCCUUAAAAAAGAAGUAGUAAUUAGCUAAUAAAGAUAUGUAUUUUCUAUCUUGGGUAUGUACAAAAUUAGACAGACCACCAAUUUUCAAUUUAAUCAAUUAACCCAAUACUAUUUUCUUUUUAUAUAAAUAUAACUAUUUUUUAAAAUUAAUAAAAAUUAUAUAUAUUUAAAAUCGAUAAAAUUUUAUUAAUAAUAUAUUAAAUGCAAGAAACCUGUUUUCAAAUAAUAAAUAAUCUUUAACGAUCUUUUAAGUCCUAACCAUUGUUAAUCUUUAAGGCAUCUGAAAGUUAGAUCGGUGCAUGCAUUUGUUUCAGACGCAAAGACUUUUGUUUCUCAGUUCUUCCCACUAAUCUUUUUGAUUGAUUUUUAUAAUAGAGCACGUCAGGUUUCAUCAAGGACUAAGCAACGUCACUUGUUUACUAUUAUCCUAUUGACUAAUUGGCCAUGAACACAUAAACUAUGACGUAAUAUUUAUAAUAUUUAUAAUAUUUAUAAUAAUUUUUAAACCGAAAUAGCAUGUAAUUUUGAAAAUUAAUCAAGUCAAAUUAAAUAGUUCUAAUCCUACGAUUUAAGGCCAACAUAAAUGAUAAUUACAAUCCCACAAUUAAACUGAGUAAAGAGAAGUUAAUGUUUACUAUUAUAAUAGAGCAUGUCAGGUUUGAUCAAGGACUAGGCAACGUAACUUGUUUACUAUUAUACUAUUGACUAAUUUACCAUAAACACAUUAAACUAUGACGUAAUGUUCUCAAAUUAUGCAGAUUUUAAAUUCAAUUUUAAAUUUUAAAAAUAUUUUAAUUCAAUCCGCAAAGUAUUAGUAUCAUAUCAAUCAAGCCUUUCCAUUAGCUUAACAAUUAGUUUAGGCAUUAAAUGUCAACUCAAGCUUGAGUUAAAGUGUAUAUGAAAUACGUAGAUCAAAUUGUAAAGAUGUAUCUAUCUGUAACAUAGAUAAUAUUUUAUUGACAUUAAUUUUUUAAUACGUUAAAAUUUAUUGCAUAGAUACAAUGCUAAUAUUUUAAAGAUUUAAUUAACCUAUUUUGAAGUUUAGAACUAAUUAAGAAUAGGCAUAACCUUAAAUUUAGUUCUCAACAUUUACAUUCUUUUUUGUUAAUUUGACUUUUAUUUUUUUAGCUAAAAUUGAUCCUCACCCUUUUAAAAAAAAUCAUAUUUAACCUUAAACCUUUCAAAAAUAGUUGAAAUGCUAUUUUUUUAAUGAAAAUAAACCGUUAAAUUUUUAAACAUGGCAGCUCACAUACUAAUCCACAUGUACUCCAUAUUAUUAUUAUUAUUUAUUUUUUUUAUUUUUUUGUAAUUUUUAAAUUACUUGUUGGUGUGGCAUAUAAUAAAUAGAGUUAUGUCUACAUGAAGUACAUGUGGACUGUAACACAAGUUUCCAUGCCAACUUUGUUGAAAAAUUAAUGUUUUAGUUAGGAUUUUUGUUUAAACAAAUUUUUUGACUCUUUUUUAAAAGACUAAGGGCAAAUUUAGCUAAAAAGAAUAAGAAAAAGAGUUAAAUUGACAAAAUAUAUAAAUAUGGUGGCUAAAUUUGACAUUAUGCUAUAAGACUAUUGGCAAUAAAUUAGAGAUGACUGAUAGAAUUAAUCAAAAUAAUAUGGGCUUAUUAAGAAUUUUAACUUUAAAAAAAAUAAUUAAAUCCCUCGGAACCUCUUCUACUCAAUUGAAUCCUUGAAUUGACAAUUUUGACCAACAAAGCCCUUUGACCAACAUUGAUCGUUAGAAACUAACAGCAGCGCUAACGUGAUUGUCAACAGAUGCCACAUCAGACAACAAAGGCUAACUUGGCAGUGCCACAUUAGUAAAAAUAACAAAAAAGUAAAAAAAUAUUUUUAAUUUAUUUAAAAAUAUAUAUACAAUGAUGCUGGAUAAAUGAUUGUCCAAAUUCAUUUCAAUCUGAGCACUCAUUUAUUUAAGUUCCUUUGAAACUAGAGACACAUUUCUCAAGAUUCAUUUCGAAAUUAAUAAACAUAAAAAUUAUAAAAAAAUCAUUCAAAUUAUAAAAAAAAUUAUAAACUAAUUAAAAACUAUUGUAACACCACCAAUCAAGCGUAAAAGUUUCGACUAAGUCGAAGAAAUCACAUUUGAUCAUUUGAUGAUUGAAGUGACCGUUGAAACCACUAGUCUAUUUUGUAGGGAAGUUGUUCCUUUUGAUCUUAGGAAAUCAUUUAUUAUUUUUAAGCCGGUUUUAUUUAAAGAUUCAGUUUCGCUAUUAUUCUGGUGGUGUUUUGAAAGCGGCUGAUGUUUUUGGAAAAGGAAAUUAUAAAACCAUUGAAACAAACAGCGAAAAAUAUUUAUAAUAAUUUUCUAAAUCAAAAUAGCAUGUAAUUAUGAAAAUUAAUCAGUUGUAAAUAAAUGAUAAUUACAAUCCCACAAUUAAACUGAGUAAAGAGAAGUUAAUGUUUACUAUUAUAAUAAAGCAUGUCAGGUUUACCAUUCACUAAUUUACCAUAAACACUUUAAACUAUGACGUAAUGUUCUCAAAUUAUGCAUAUUUUAAAUUCAAUUCCAAAUUUUAAAAAUGUUUUAAUUCAGUCCUCAAAGUAUUAGUAUCAUAUCAAUCAAGUCUUUCUAUUAUGUUAACAAUUAGUUGAGGCAUUAAAUGCUAACUCAAGUUUGAGUUGAAGUGUAUUUGAAAUACGUAGAUCAAAUUGUAAAGACGUAUAUAUCUACAACAUAGAUAACAUUUUAUUGACAUCGAUUUUUAAAUACGUCAAAACUAAAUUUUUUAUGUGGUAGAUACACAUGAGUUUACAGUUUAUUCCGUUUGCUUUUAAGCAUGCCGCAUAUCAUAUCUUGAUUCACAUUUAACAAUUAGAUUAACUACGACAUUGAUAGAAAACCUAUUUGAUACAAUGUUGAUAUUUUAAAGAUUCAAUUAACAUGUUUUGAAGUUUUAAACUAAUUAAGAAUGGGCAUAACACAAAUUUAGUCCUUACAUUUACAAUUUUUUUUGUCAAUUUGAUCCCUUUUUUUUAGCUAAAUUUGGUCAUCAACCUUUCAAAAAAAUGUCAUAUUUAAAUUAAACCUUUCAAAAAUUGUUGAAUUGCUAUUUUUUAAUGAAAAUUAACCGUUAAAUUUUUAAACACGGUAGCUCACAUACCAAUCCACAUGUACUUCAUACUUUGUUUUUUGAAUUUUUAUAAUUUUUUUUUAUUUUUUAAUUUUUAAAUUAUAUUUUGGUGUGGCAUAUAAUAAAUAGUGUUAUGUCAAAAUGAAGUACACGUGGAUUGCCACAUGAGUUGCCAUGCCAUCUUCAUUAAAAAAAAUUUAAUGUUUUAGUCAGGAUUUUCUAUAAAAAAUAAUUUAACUCUUUUUUAAAAGAUUAAGGGCCAAAUUUAACUAAAAUAGAAACAAAAAAAACCAAAUUGAUGAAAGAUGUAAAUGUUGCGGUUAAAUUUGACAUUAUGAUAUUGGCAAUAGUUUAGAGACGAUUGAUAGAAUUAAUGGAUUGAAAAUAAUAUAGGCUUAUUAAGCAUUCAAACUUCUUUCAAAAAUCAAGUAAACCCCUCCAAAUCUUUUCUACUUAAUUGAAUCAUUGAAUUGAUAAUUUUGACCAACAAGGCCAUUUGACCAAUAUUGAUAGUUAGAAACUAACAGCAACUCUAAUAUGAUUGUUAACAAAUGCCACAUUAACCAACAAAUGCUAACUUGACAGUGCCACAUCAGUAAAAAUAAAAAAAUAAAAAAAAUAUUUUAAAAUUAUUUUUAAAAAAUGUACAAUGAUGCUGGACAAAAGAUUGUCCAUGCUCAUUUGAACAUGGACCCACAUUUUUCAAUAUUCAUUUCGAAAUUAUAAAAAAAAUAAAAAAUUAUAAAAUAUAAUUAAAAUUUAUAAAAUUAUUAUAAAAUUAUUAAAAUUAUUUUUUAAAAGUUUUUUUUAAAAUUAUUAAAAAUUAUUAAAACGUAUAAAAUUAAAAACCAAAUUAUAUUUAUAUAAAAGUUUUUUUUGUAAUUGUUUAUGUAUUAUUAAAACCAAAUGGAUUUUAAAUAAAAAUAUUUUUAGAAACUAUAAUAAUUUUAAUGUUUUUAAAUAAAAUCUUUAGAAACUUUUAAAAAAGUCCAAAUGGAUUUUUAAUUAAAAGCUUCUAUUCAACCUAAUGGACUUUAUAAAAAUUUAUAAUAAAAAGCUGUGUUUUAAUUUAUUUUAUAAAAUUUUAUGAUUUUUAAUUAAUUUAUAAUAAUUUUAUUAUUUUUUAUAAUUUUAAUUAUUCUUUAUAAUUUUUUUCUUUUUAUAAUUCCAUGAUGAAUAUGGACAUAUGAAUAUCUACAUUCAAAUGAACCUGGACAACUAUUUGUUUAAGUUUAUUGUGUACAUUUUUUUACAAUAAUUUUAAAAUAUUUUUAAUUUUUAUUGAUGCGGAUCACCCCAUCAGCAUUUGUUGAUUAAUGUGAUAUCCAUUAAUGACCACAUCAAUGUUGGUGUUGGUUUCUAAUGAUCAACGUUGGUAAAAAAAUCUCGUUGGUCGAAAUUGUCAGUUUAAAGACUCAAGUGGAUAUAAAAAGUUCAAAUGGAUUUAGUCGAUCAUUUAAAAAUAAUUCAAAAAUUUAUUGUACCAAUAAGCCAAUAAUAAUAGCUAAUAUAAAUGUAUAGAACUUGAGUUCAAUGGAUUUAUAUAUGAUGCAUUGACACUAUCAGUAAAUCAUAUAAUACUAUAAAAUUUAAAAAAAUUUCAUUUAAUUUUUAAUAAUAUAUUCACUAGGAACACGUAAAAUUAUUAUACCUUUCAAAAUUACUAUAUAUAUUUUUUAAAAUUGUAAGGAAGAACAUUUUUUUCAAAAUUACUUAAUUUCCAUAUUCAAAGUUAAGGCAAACCUAGCAAUCAAACAAGAUUCUUUUCAAGGAUUUCGUAUUAGAUAUUGCCGCCAAGCUUAAGAAAUUAUAUAUUUAUUCCUUUCCAAACAAAAGAAUUUAAACAAUUAUAUUCAUAUUUUAUAUUUAUGCGAAUUAAGUGUAAAUAUUCUAAAGGAGACGUACGAAGACCAAUGUUUAUCGAUAAUAAAUAUACAACAAAUAGAUUUUAUUAAAUUUCAUCUUGGAUCAGUCAAAAAAAAAAUAUGUAUAAUAUUCGUAUUUUUAUUUAGUUUCAAUGCACGUGUAAAGGAAUAAUUUAAUAAUAACAGCUUAAAAAGACUGGUAAGGAUAUUAUUAAUUAUAAAAAUCAUAAUCGAUUAUUUAUUGUUUUGAUUAAAUUAAUAAAAAUUGAAAGAUUAUAAAUAGAAUAAACAAUGUUAAUAUACUGUAUUCACUUGACUUUAGUGAAAGCAAUGUAUUAUUGUAAAAACUUCUUGUUAACUGCACAUCUAUAUAUUAUUUAUUAUGAAAUUAAAAAUUAUUUUUUUCCAAAGCAUUAUAGUUGUCUAUAACAUGCUAAAAUCAUUGCAACCUUUUAGCCUCUAUUGUUUUUUUUUAAGUCAAAAGGAUACAACCUUAAAAUAAAAAUAUAAAUGGAGGGCAUAUCGGUUUUUGAGUUGUUCUUUUGGUAAAUUAUAGGUAAAUCUUCGUUUUGAUCACUUAACUAAAAAAAUUAUAAUUUGAUCAUUGAAUCAUUAGAAAAUUUUUAUUUAAGUCAAUGAAGUAUUCAAAAAAUUUUAUUAAGUUACUACGCUAUUAUUUUUUUUAGAAGUUUCGCAAGAAAGCUCAAAGCAAUGAUUCGACAAUCGGUACACUGAAUCAAUAACUAUUGACGAGUAGAAGAACAUAUCUUAGAUACAAGUUGAUUUGAUGGUCAAUGUCGGAGAUUAGAGAAAAAAGCUUUUUGAAUUUUGAAUUGCAAAUUUAUGACGUUCAAAGCUAUUUCAUAAAAAAAUGAACUGUAGAAAAGAAAGGAAAGAGAGGUUUCAAUUGGUGCAGGCAGCGAGAUCUAUUCAUUGAUAAGAGAAAGAAAAAACGUGAGCGGUGAUUGGAUUGAUGAGAAAAUAGAAUCCUGGGUCGCGAACAGUGAUUCGAUUGAUGAUAAAGAAAGAGAAUUCUUGGUUCAAUUCUCCACCUUAACAGCAGAAAAAAGGAUUGAUCAAAUUCUAUUGAGUCUGACUCAUAGUGAUCAUUUAUCAAAGAAUGACUCUGGUUAUCAAAUGAUUGAACAACCUGGACCAAUUUACUUACGAUACUUAGUUGACAUUCAUAAAAAGUAUCUAAUGAAUUACGAGUUCAAUACAUCCUGUUUAGCCAUAUAACAUUGAUUUUAAUAGCUCACUGACUUAAAUGAAAACUUUUGAAUAGUUUAGUAAUCAAAUUGUAACUUUUUUAGUUAAGCGACUAAAAUGAAAACUUACUUAUAGUUUAGGGACUAAUGAUGUAAUUUAUCCUUUUAUUUUUUAUUGUUCGUCAUUUAAUGCCCUCGAUAGUCUAUCUGGUGCAUAUAGCCUUUUCGAUAUCAUAUAUAGUUUCUUUUUUUUUUAGAAAAUUUGGGACACCAAUGACAAAUUUGUUUAUUUAAGGGUAAAUUACACUUAUAGUAAUCCAACUAUAAAAAGUUACAAGAUGGUCACUUAAUUAUUUAGAUUUUUUUUCUUAGUCACCUGCUGUUAAAGGGCUAAUGGGAAGAUGACGUGACAACUUUUAAAAUUGGUUAAACAACUUUUAACCAUCAACAUUUAUAUAUUGGUUCAAUUUAGUUUUGAUUCUAACAAAUUUAACUCUCAACAUUUUCACAUUGUGUAAUAUGCUUUUUUUCCAAUUUUGCUUUUCGUUGUGACCCUUUCACCUAAAAAGCUAAAAAAAAAACAAUCUAUCAACUAAAUUUGAUCAGAAAUAUACAAAAAAUAGAAACACCAAAAAAUCCAAGAUAAUAAUAUGCAUCUUAUGUAAUUCUUUUAAAAUUAACCCUCAAUGUCACAAAUAAAAGUAAAACUGUAAAAAGAGAGAGAGAGAGAGAGAGAGACCAAAUUAUAUAAUGUGUAAAUGUUGAUAUUUUUUUUUGAAAUCAAGACUAAAUUAACACAAUGCAUAAAUGUUGAGCGUUAAAGUUGUUAUUAUGCCAAUUUUAAAAAUUGUCAAGUUAUCUUUUUAUUAGCAAAUUAAUGGUCGGAGACCAAAAAAGAAAAAUUCAUAUAGUUGUGUGACAAAAAAGAAAAAGGGUGAAUAGUUGGAUGGUCAUUUUUUGUAAAGUUCCAUAGUUGGGUGACUCAAAAAAUACUAAAAGUUGGAUGACUACUUUCAAUGCCAUUUUUAUGAACAAAGCUAGCUUGAGAAAUUUUGAGAAAAAUAUGAAAAAUUUAAAAUAUUAAAACAUUGGGUUUUUAUUUAGAACAUAAGAUUUGUCACAAAUCUUUUAACUAGGUGUGAUCAAGUACCUAUAAAAUCGCCUUUUAAAAAUAUAAUUAGUUGGUUUGUUAUUUGAAAAUCAAAGAAAAUUCGAGUUCAGGAAUCAAUUACAUGCGAUGAAGGUAUUAACACCUUCACAAUGCCCAAAAAAAAUAUCUUAUUAAUUAUGUGUUGAUUUUAAAUUCAAAAAUUACAAGUUCAAAUUCAGUAUUCAGUCAUCAUCUGUAAUAUUCUGUUUGUUAAUUAUAUGUUUGUCUGCAUGUUGUGUGCAUUUUUACAUUUGCAUAAAUAAUUUGGGGUUUUGGUUGUGAAGAGAAGAAAGUUUGAUUUGAUCAGUUUAUCUGUAAUAUUCUGUACAACAAUUUUACUGCAUUAUUAUAUAUAUGUCAGCUUAGUUGCAUAUUUUCUUUUGAGUGGCUUAUACCCACUAUCGUGGUGUGUAGGGUGGAUCGGCCUACCAUAGCCCAAUUGUGGUGUGCAGGGUGGUCGGAGUGGUGUUCCGGUUGGUUGGGUGGGUUUUAAUAUUUAUUGCUUUCUUUUAUUAUUAUUAUUUUUAACUUUGUUGAAAACCUUUAUAUGAAUAUGUUUAUGUAACAUCUUUAACCAGACCUAGACGUUAGAUCUGAAUUCAAAAGAUUAUAUUAUCCACUAAAGUGGCUCAAUAAGCUAUCAAAGUUUUGAAAACGAUCAUUUUAAAACAUUUGUUUAUUUUGGUAGGAAAUUUAGAUACAACUCAAAAUUUUAAUUAUGAUUUAGCAACGGAAAAGUACUGUCUAUUUAUUUUUAAUAAAAAUCGGGGUUCAUGCAUACUAGUUAAUAAUCGUAACAUGAUGUCCUAAAAAUUUAAAUCAAGUGUUAUGCAAAAUAAAAACAAACUCAAAUCAUAAACCCCAUGCCACAAUUCGAAUAAAAUAAUAAUACAAUCUCUAAAUAAUGAAAUAUCAAAUAAUAUAUCUAAAAAUAUUUUAACAAAAUUGAGCCGAGACCCUCUGGAUCUAUAAGGAUGAAAAUUAAAGGGGGACUGAGCUAUGACGCUCACUUUGAGUUCCAUCACAAUAAAAUUAGCGUAACAGUCAGUAAGGCAUAUUAAAUAAUAAUGCAUAAAAUAAUCGCAAUUAAGUAGCAGUUCAAAAUAUCCAUUUUCAAUUUAGCCAUCAUUAGCAUAUAUAAUUUACAAUAGCAAUAUCAAAAUAUUGAUUUCACAGAUCACUCAUUCAUAUAUUUAGAUAUAAAUAUAUCUUACCAGAAAUUCUAGGUUUGCAUGCAGAUGCUUUCAUAGAUGCCAUACGGUAUCAGUUUUAACAGAAAAGAUCCUACUCCACCGCUACACACUACGAUUAGAGUUAUCCAAAACUCCAACCGCUAACACACCAAAUUAUGGAUUAACUACCAAUAGAUUACAGUUUUACUGCCAAUGGUUGUGGACACAAAAUAGUGCAGGUAAAAUCUGCCAAUGGCCAUGGAUGCAAAACAUGCUUGCAGAUGAUUACUGUCAAAGGGUUAUGGAUGCACAACAAAAACAUCACAGAUGGAAUCUGCCUAUGGUUGUGGGUACACAAUAAGCCGUCGUAGAUGGAAUUUGCCAAUGGCUGUGGGUUCACAGCAAAAUAAAUGCAGAUAUACUGCAAAUACUUCCUCUAUUCAUAACAUCCUAUCCCAUGUAAAGCAAUAUGACAUGUUCGGCAGAUUAAUAAAAUAACAUUAAAUUAUGCUUUUAACAAACAAUACAAUAGCAAUCAGUAUUCUUAUAAUGGUUUGGUUCAGUAGCAAUGAACAUGCUUGUGACAGAUUAAUUUAUUAGUAAAAAUCAUGCUUUUUUGUGUGCUUGGUUUGACACUUACAUAAGGCAUACCAUACAUACGAUUACAACCCCUAAAAUAAUAGACAUAUAUAUAAUGUUCACAAUUCAUGUGUAUAUAUAUAAAUAUCAUACUAAAUCAAUUCAUCAAAUCAUGGAUUCUAACAUAAUUCAUAUCAUCAGGGCUUAAUUGAAUAAUUUGAAGCACUAUAAAUAGUUCAAAAAUCAUUCAGGGACUAAACUAAACAAAACAUAAAAUUCUUGGUCAAAAUCGUAAAAUCUAAGGUACAGGGGACACACGACAAUGUGGAAAGCCCUAGACUGUGUGGAAGGAGUGCACGGCAAUGUGGCUAGGUCGUGUGACAGACUAUGGCCUUGUGGCAUUUGAAAAAUCAACCUAUAAGGGAGACAUGACCGUGUGGAGGGUCCUAGGCCGUGUGAGGGUCGAAAUAACCUAGGGUUUCAGGGGGACAUGGUCAUGUGAGGGGGCCGUGUGGUCCACACGGGUGGCCCACGCGCCUGUGUGGCACUAUCUUAGGCAUGAUUUUGCAUUGUUUCACUUGUAAAAGAACAUACACUUGACUUCGGGAUCUCAAACGAUGUUCCUUGCGCCUAAAUCUGAUUCGAGGUACCUAGAUCAAGUCCUUCAAAUGACAUUUAAGCAAGAAUUAAUAAUGAUAUUCAAGAUUUAUCAAGAUUACUGGGAAAUAUUGACAAGAUUCGUAAAAGAUCAUUUGAUCAAUCUUAAAAUUAACAUGAAUAAAAAGUCUACAGGAAUUUAAGAUCUAAACUUUAGGAUUAGAAUGUUCUUACUGAUUCUUGGCAACGAGCGGAGAAUGUUUCGAAUUGCGAUUACGAAUCUAGUUGAAAAGUGAGUUAAAAUCAAGAAUAGAUUUCAAUUUUGGGUAAUCAAGAACGAUUUUCAACAAUGGAACAAAAUUUUGAUGAAAAGAAAAGCAAAGAAAAGAAAUAGGGAAGAAAUAGAAAAGAUGGAAGUAAAGUUCUAGGAGAAUUGGAAAAGGAAACAAAAUCCUAGCCUAGUUAGGAUAAUGGUUUAAAUAGCUAGGGUUUUCAAAUUUUUAGGGACUGUUUGGAUGGGUGAUUAACCAUUCUUGCCGAAAAUAAAAAAGGAAAUAGGGUGAGUGGUGUGACUUAAACUUGGGAUUCAAGGGAGAAAUGAAUGAUGCUUAACCAUUGAGCUACUACCCACACUUGAUCAUUUUUUACUCCAUUCAAUAUAUAUUCUAUGGAGAUUUUCAUUCUAGUUUGCUGAAAAUGAAAAGAAAAAUAUGGGUGAGAUGUAACACCCCAAACCCAGCCUAGACGUUAUGGUCGUAUCUGGUAAUGUCACACGAUAGUGUUUUUCAAACCUCGUUGUUACGAUGAAAACAUUCCAUGUUAUUAUCUUUAGUAAACCUUUGUUAGAACUUAGGAAUUCACCUUUAUUCAUUUAAAACAUUUGUUUUGAAACAUCCCUCGUUACAAAAGCUUUAAUAAAACAGUCUAAGUGAUCAUACGUGUAGAAAAUACUUUAACUUUUUGAAAACCAAAUUUCCUAUUACCAACAGGUAUAAAUCCAUAAAGUAAAAUAAAUAAAUAAAAAUCCAAAAUUUAAAACCAAAGUCCCAGAGGGUCCUUAAAUUACAACCCAAAUAAUCAAUACUAAUUAAUCAUAAAACGUAAAUUGAAAACCAUGAAGUCCAAAAAUUUCUGUGGUCACCGCUGAGUCCUCCGUCGCACCGAUCCAUCUAAGUUUGGGGAUUACCUGUGCACAUUAAACAAAAAGUGUGAGUUUACGUAAACUCAGUGUGUAAUCCCGCAGAAACAAACAAGCAAUCAGUAUUCAUAGUGCACAGUUGAACAGUCUUGGGCCUAAGCCCUUUUCAGUAUCAGUGACAAUUUGGGCCUUAGCCCAUCUCAGUAUAGUGUCAAAAAUGCAGUAGGGCCUUAGCCCAUCACAGUAUCAGUAGCAGUAACAAUUAUGCAGUAGCAAAAUCCUACCCAUCCAGCCUUUACAUACCAUCUCCGUCCAACCCUGCACUCCAUGUGGGGAUAUAAUCAACCGAUCCAUCCUUACACUCCAAUUAGUAUCGAAUGCAGCACAAAACAGUAGUUUGCAGCUGAGCUACUAGUAAAUUAGGCUUAAAGCCUUUUAGUCAACUUCCUCCGAAUAACAACCUCUAACCCAAUGCAAUGCAACAUACCAUGGAUGAUAUGCUAUUAUGCAAUUUCAGUACAUAUAUUCAGUUAAGAUAUUAACAUGCUCAGUAUAAAUAUCAUUCAGUCAAUUUCACACAUUUAGGGGUCUAAGUAGCGCUUACCGACCUUACAGUAGGUUCACAGUCGACUUGGGCGACCCAUGCAACCUUAGAAACAUUCCAGUAAGAAUGAGCCCACAAGCCCGUGUGUGCCCGUGUAGCCCACUCUGCCCAAAUUGGCCUUGGUCGUGUGAUCCAUUUUUAAUGUAACCCAUGCUAGCUAAAUAUUCAUAUAUGUUUUCACUAUUUACUUAUAUGUUCAUUCAAAGCUGUCUACUUGAGUCAUUGUCACUAAAUUAUUUAUAUCUUGAGCUACAGAAUUAUAAAUUAAAAUCCACUUGAUGUUUUCAAAACUAGACUCAAAUACUUUUCUACCAUAAAAUUUUUAGAUUUUAUAGUUUAUCAAAUAAGUACAGUAAAAUCUUCAAAUCUAUCCCGAUUCUACUAUUUGACAGCUUCAAUCUUUCCUUACUAAAAUUAUUUAUCUCUUAGUACGGAAUUUGGAUGAUAUUUCUGUUUGUUUCUCUUGAAAAUAGACUUGUUAAGGACUUAAAAAUAUAAAUUUAAGCGCCUAAUUAUUUUUUACAAUUUUUGAUGAUUUUUCCAAAGUCAGAAUAGGGGAACCCGAAACCAUUGUUUCUUCCAUUGCUUACAUUGUUUCUUCCAUGAAAAACUAGAGUCAACAAAAUUUAAUUUCAUAUUUUAUUCAACCUCUAACUCUAUUUCCACUAUUUUAGAUGAUUUUUUCAAAGUUAGACUACUGCUGCAGUCCAAAACUAUUUUAGUGCAAAAUGUCGAUUUCCAAGAUUAUAACACCCUUAUUUCCUUUCUCUACAAUUUUUCACAUCAUUUUCUCUUAUUUCUCGACAGUAAGCAAUUUUGGCUUUUCGCUGAAUCUCAUUUUCUUCCUUUCGGGUACACACCUGUAUCGUUUUCGUUGCUUACGCAAUCCCGAGAUCACCAAAAACCUUCUAACUUUGCACAAUUCCACGACUACUCAACACGAGGGAAAUAGCAACCGAAAUGAUUCGUUGCUGUAAAAAUAACCAUUCCUCAUUAAAGAAGAGUUCAACAAAGUUAAGAACGAAUUCAAAGCCAAAACCACUCGCCCAAACAACACAAGAAAACACAUGCCCUAUACGCAUACCAAACGAUCACCCCUUCGAGUCAAAUCGAUGAAUGUUAAUUCCAGAUGCACGAUCGACUCCUAAACAAUCAACAAAACACCCCUUAAUCCCUUAUCCAGAGUAACAUUCGAGUUUAAUAAAAUGGAAACUUACCGUACAACACAAUUGCACGCUUGCACAAAGGGUAAAAGAUGAAGAAAGACAACGAAAACGAAAGGGGAAUUCAAAGGAAAUUCAACAACAAUGAUUUAUUAUUUAGAAAAAAAGAGGAAAACUGAAAAUUGAGAGUGAGGGAGAAGAGAGAAAAUGUUAGAAAGGUGGAAAAGAGUUCUAAAUUUGAAAAAAAAACUAAACAAAAAGAUAAUGCCUAAAAAAUCUGGUAACUCAUCUCCUUAGUUCUCUCCCUAACCUCCCACAACAACUCCACUACUCGAAAUUUCAAUUUGACUAGGACUCCACUACGCCACACGGCCAAGCAACAAAAAAAAUAAUUCCCUAGCUCAUGCAAGGACUUGAACUCUAGAUCUCCCACCUCCCAACACAUAGCUUAGCCACCAAACCAGCAAGCCCAUUCUAAUAAUAUUUGCCAACUUUUACUUAAAAGCCUACUGACCAAAGAUAGGGCUUAUUCAUAAAAAUACCAAAAUUUUCCCAAGUCCUGGCUUGAACUUAAAACCUCACACACACACAGAAUACUUAACCACUGAAGCAAAUACACAAUUAUGUCACACUUUCGCAAGAACAAAAAUAAAAAUUCUGGGGCGUUACAUGAGAUGUGGAUAAAACCUAGGACCAUUAGGAAAGUGCUAACUUUUUAACCAUCAAACCAAGGACAUUUCUUGAUUAAUUAACCCUAUAUAUUUUGUGGUGUUACAAUUUCUUAAUAGCUAAAUUUCCCAUUUAGCUUUAAGGUGAUAGUCAAUUCGGGAGAAAACCAUGAGAUUUAAAAUCGUACUUAAAAAACAUUUAUUCUGGUAUUUAUUAUUUCUCUUGUUUAAGGAAUAGACAUUGCCGUCUCAUAAAGUUAUAGUGACACCAGGUAAAAAAUAGUUCGUUGAUAUGGUGUUGAUAGACAUACAAUUUGAAGAAUCGAUAUAAUCUGUUAUCGUAUUCGAUCUAUGGAAAAACUCAUUGGCGUGUCCAUUUAAGUGGUUGGUUGGAUCUGUCAAGAGAAAUAACAAUCGAAUUUAAAUGACCCACACGUUUAAGGUUGUUGAUUCUUUUUGGGCUCUUCUAGUUCACAAGGCUAUCGAAGAGCUAAAUCGUGGACUCGUGUUUUGUGGUUAUUCGUUCGGUAAGGGUUAGUUUUUGGGUGUUCCCGUAAUUAAUUUACACACGGAAAGAUUGGUGGUAUUAGGUGCCCUCGAUUACUAUAACAGAUUUAUUGAUUGAAGGAGAAGAUGUUUUAUCAAAGAUCAGCUUGAAACUAGAGCCGAAAUUGAGCCUGAAGCUAGAAUAUUUUCACAUUGGUAUAUUCAAUCUAUUUUUUUUUACUUUUAUUUUGAUUUUAAGUAUUUCUAUUAAUUUUAUUUUAAUCAGAUUUAAUUCCCUUUUUUAUUUUUGUACGGAUCAUCACAUGUCGUGCUUGACACUCAACUUAGCUAAAUCGAAAAAUAAUUUUAGAUAUUCAAUCUCUGUGGGAUCGACCCUACUCCUUAUACUGAUGUUUAUAUAUAGUUUAGGCGUAGGAAUAUUAUUUUUGGUGGAUAUGGCACCAAUCAAUUAUCAAAUAAUUAUUUUCAAAAAUAUAUUUUAAAUUUUUUGACUAAACUACACAUUUAGUCAUCCAACUUUCAUAAAUUUUUAUUUUGUGCACUGAAACAGUGCCCAUAUUGUAGUCUUUUUAUUUUCAGUGCCCCAAAAUAAAAAGAUUGCAAUAUGGGCACUAUUGUUACAUACUUUUAUCAUUUUAGUCACUGUCGGGAGUGACGAUGAUAAAAGUAUGCCGAUAAAAUUUUUUAUGUUUGAAAUUAUCGAAAAUUUAAUUUUAAGGGAUAAAUCCCAAAACUAUACAUGAACUAUGGUUUAAUAUGCAAUUGUAUACAUGAACUUUGAUUUUGUGUAAUUUUAUACAUGAAAUUUUGAUUGGAUCCAAUUCUUUUAAAUUAUUAACACAAUUAUUGAUAUUACAUCAUUUUAUGUUUAUAUAUUGCAUGCAUAAAUAAUUACAUUUAUCCAAUAUAAAAAUAAACUGAUGUAUUUAUUUCUUUAAAUGUGUAUGAUUAAAUCAAAAUUAAAGUUUCAAGUAUAUAUUUGAACCACAAUUAGAGUUUCACGCGUAUAAUUCCACCAAAUUAAUGUUCAUGUAUACAAUUACACAUUAAAUCAAAGUUCAUGUAUAAUUUUUAGAUUUAUCCCUAUUUUUAAUUACUAAAAUUAUCAAAUGCGAGACGAAGUUUAACUUAGAACAUUUAAAUUAAAUAUGCAUUUAAUUCAUGAAUCAUCAAAUAAGAUAUAUUUAUAUUUUCUAUUUCAUUGAAUUGAUAUCAUAAAUUAAUCAAACAUCAAUUCAAUUCAAUUGAAUAGUAAUUAAAAAAUUAUUAUUUAUACUAUUAUAACUUAUUUUUAUUCAGGCUAAGCUCGAUUUUAAACUCACUAUCGCAGGUAAUCAGGUUUCUAGUGUUAAGUUUAAUUUUGAAAAAUCCAAGUUGAAUCUUGCUACACUUUCAUAGCUCGAUUUUAAUUUUUGACCUUAACUUGGGUUAACUUGGGUUUUGACUAUAAAUUUUUAAUGUUGGCUUUUAUGUUAUUUGUCAAUGUUAUUAACAUUUAAGGGUGGCCUCUUUUUCCAAAGGAAGAGAAGAAAAAAGAGAGCGGCGAAGAGAACAGUGAAGCAUUUUAAGAAAAGAAGCUUACAAGAGAGGAGGUGGAAGAAGCAGAAGAAGAAGAAGAGAAUAGAGCGAGAGGAUCUGCUGGUAUAGUAUAUACCUUGUAUUGUAACUCUCUUGUUUGCAUACGGUGAAAUCUCACUUUAAAUAAACAUGAAUAAAAGGUAUAUCUUUUUCAUGCAUAAUACUACUUUCUAAUAAACUUUUAAUUUCCCAAACCAAAAAUUGUUUUGAUGAAUUUUAAUUGAUUUCUAAUUUGCAAAAUUGGUAGCACUCCAUUUGUUGUUCAAAAUUCAUCUAGCAGUACAGAAUCAAUAAAUUUCAUAUGUGACGAAGAAUUGAAUCUAAUAUAUUAUGAUUUUAAAUAUUCAAUAUUAUCAUUUUAAUCAAAUUUUUAUUUGGUAAAUAUAUUUUUUAAUAAAUUUUUUUUCAUCCACAAAGUGGAUGUACUAUAAUUUAGUAAUAAUCAAUAGUCUUCAUUGAAUUCUUAAAAAUUUUGAGAUUUCUAAUUCGAAUAUCGUCUCAUUUAAAUGUGUAAAUUCUUUUUUAAAGUUUUUCAGAUCAUAGUUGAUAUAGUUAUUUAAUUUAAUUCAAAGUUUUCCUAGUUAUAUGUAAAUGAAAAAAUUGCUUCUAAGGUACCUUCACUCAUGCUUCUAAUUAUUAAUUAUUUCAAAUUAUCAAUAUAUUUGUUUUAAAAUAAAUAAUGAAAACCGAAUAGAGAAACAAAGAGAAAACUAGAUGCCUCUACCUAAUUUUACAUCAAAUCAUAGUCAUUAUAUCUUGAGAUUUUCGAUUAUUUAUGUUUGAAGUUUGGAAUUUUCGUGUCGAUUUAUUUAAAAUUUAAUUUUUAUGAACAGUUUAAUUUCUAUAUAAUUUUACAUAUUAUUUAUGAGUUAACAAAAGUAUUGAAAUAAUUUUUUUAAAUUUAAAUUUAAAUAAUUUGUUUAAAAAGUUUUACAUGACAACUUUUUAAAAUCCGAACCCAAUUGUUUAGAUUUUUUAUAAAUGUUGUAUUUAUACAAGUCGAUUCAUAAAAUCACUCUCAAGUCAAUUCAGUUUCUUAUUUUUAUUAUAGCAUUAAAUGAUCUAUCCAAAAUAAUUGAUCCAAAAUAAUGGUGCGAUAGACAUCGGAGCUGUAUCCGGUAGAAGCUUAAUGUCGAACUCAACUUCUCGAUUCAGAGGUAAACCCGGUAACUCCUCAGAAAAACAUUCGAAAAUUCCCUCACUGUUCUCAUAUCCUCAACAGAAAGUCCCAAGAAAAACUAAAACACUAACAUAAGCCAAAUACACCUCACACCCUUUUUGAACCAAUUUCUCAACCACUAGAGCGGAGAUUACAUUAGACUAGUAAUCUCGACGCUCGACAAUUACGACAACCUCCUUAUCAUCCUCAGUCGUUAGAACGAAUUAGUCGCACAAUCCAAGCUAACUCGAUGCUCAACUAACCAGUCCAUACCUAGAAUUAAGUCGAACUCCCCAAACGGUAGCUCCAUCAAAUUUGCCGGAACACACAGCCCCUUGUACCCCUAUAUAGUCUACUAACCCGAACAGAUUGCCCUAACGGACUCAGUACAAUAAUCUCAGUAGAAGUACAAUCAACAGAAAUCCCCAAGUUCUCAAAAACAGAACUAGCUACAUAAGAGUGUGUAGAACCUACGUCUAUCAAAGUAGUAUAUGGAGCAUCAAAAUAAAGAACGUACCCGUGAUCACAUCAGGGGCAUCUCUGUCCUCUCAGUGUCGAGCAGCAUAAACCAGUGCAGGCUGCCUCGCCUCAAUCUGAUUAGCAUCUCUACCCGGUGCUCUGUCCUUAGCCCAUACCAUUACCAUCCCUAGCCAGUCCACGGCCUUUAGGUGGCUGCUGCAUUGCUCACUAAGGCUGAGUAGAACCCGGUCCCGAAGCUUGCAUCUGAUCCACACGAUGUGGACAUUCUCUGAUCCAGUGCUCUAAUGAUCCACAUUUUAGAAAAGCCCCUAAUCUCCUCCAACACUCGCUCGGAUGGCGCCUACCACAAUCACCACAAGGUUGAAUCCAAGUAGGAGCAACAGGAACUCCCACUCUAACAGGCCCAUCAGGUCUAGCUUGUUUCUUAGGCCUUUGAACAGAACUAGAGGGCUCCGAAUCCCUCUUAUUCUUGCCCCUCUCUCUGUCUUUGCUCUGGCGCUCCACGCACUUAACAUCUUCGGCAAUCUUUGUAUUAUCUACCAAAACAACAAACUCACGCUCCCUCUGCGAAGUAAUUAGACGCUCAGACUAUCCCUCAAACCAUCCUCAAAACGGACACAUUUGUCAUACUCGGAUGCCACCAUGCCUCGAGCGUAGCAGCUUAAUCUCAAAAAUUCAGCCUCAUACUCAACCACAGACUUAUUACCUUACGUGAGAUUCAUAAACUCAUGCCUAUGAGCAUCAACAUAGCUCGCGCCCACAUAUUUUCCCUGGAAGGCAGUCUUAAAGUAGUUUCAGUUCAGAUGAUCCAGUUGAGUACCCUCCUCUACCGGUAACCACCACUGAUACGCCUCAUUGUGACGUAAAGAAACUGCACCCUUCAAUUUCUUCUUAGGAGUGUUGUCAAUGUCAUUCAUAAUCCUCUCAGUAGCCACCAACCAAUACUCGGCCACAGUAGGGGCGACUCCAGUGACACUCCUAAACAACUCAGCUCCAUUGAACCGGGGUCGUUCAGUUACUGACCCACGGCCCUCAAAUCCAGAAUAGGGUCCAACGACCCUCUCCAACACCCUUAACAUGGCUUGGGACAAUGCGUCGUCCCCAACUGAGCGGCUUUGAGGCCCAGUCUCAGUAACAUGUGAAACUGAUAUCUUACUCGUAUCUAAAUUCGGUAUACUACCCAGAGAGGAAGACUCAGCUUGAGCCCCCUACGGCGCCUGCCGCACCCACGAAUAUUACGAUCGCGAGUUCCACGAGUGCUCAUCGUAUUUUUAGUUUUAUCUACAUUAUAAAAUUUUAUGCAUCAGUUCCAGUAUUUAUUAAUAGAUAUUUUAUGCUCAAGUUAUCAGAAGUUCCAAAGGAUUUCAGAGGUUUUAAUCUCUAACUAACUUAGUGCAGUUUCAGAAAGUACUAACCACAGUAUUUUCAGAAAAUUCUAUCUAAGUUUAGAAAUACUUACAGGAUCGGCGCCGAAGACUUGAUGUACCACAUACGUACUGAAAAUUAUUCAAAUCAAUUAAAAGCCAGUCCUUUGUCAAAACAUAAUUUUGGAACCCAAAAUUCACAGCCCGAGUUUUGUAACUUGGCUCUGAUACCACUAAAUGUAACACCCCAAACACGACCUAGACGUUAUGGCCGAAUUUGAUAGUGUUACGAAGAAGGGUUUUGAAAUUGAUGAUUUUUCAAUAAACCAUGUUUAACUAUUUGAUAAAACGUCCAAGUAUUAUAAAACAUAUUCAUUACUGAAACCGUUAUAAGUUGUUCCUUAAAAUUAAUCGUUUAUUUUGCAGCGGAAGUUUGGAAAUCGUUUAAAACAAAAACCAAGCUCAUGUUUUCGAAAACCCAUUUGUUGCGUAAAGUGUUUUUGUUGACGUUACGAAAAAAUAGCAAAACAAAAUCCAAAUGCAAAAGUUAAAACCAAAUUGUUUGAAGAGUCCCAAAAAUUACAAACUAUCAAGAAAAACCAAACUUUAAAAUUAAACCACUAAUUACUAAAUAAAAACAGUUCUUGGUCGAGUGGUCACCGCUAAGCCUCCGUCGCACCGACCCGCCUAAGUCUGUGGAUUAAUUGAACAGAACAGACAAACAAUUGUGUAUUUUCGUAAACUCAGUGUGUGACCCAAUAGAAAUAGCCAUGCAACAUGCACAGUGUUUCAUAUAAAGUCAGAUACAGAUUCGACCUUAAGUCCAUAACAAACACAAAUAUCAGAAUCAGAUAAACAAAACAAAUAUACAGAAUCCUACCCCCAUCCUCUACACACCGUCUUCGACCAUCCCAUCACACCACGUAGGGUUAAAAACACCCACCCAUCCCUACACAUUAUAUAAUGUCGAUGCGACACAUAAUAGAUAAUAUGCAGUCAAGCUGCCAAAAUAUAGGCGAAGAGUCGCUACACAGAUCACUUCCUCCACAUAUACAAUUUCCACUCCAUUCACAGAUACAAAGUACAGAUGCAGAAAUAUCAUAUUAAACAUGCUUAACAUGCUCGUAUACAGAUAGAUACAUAAUUAAAUAGUACAAUCAUACAUACAUAUCAGUAUCCUACUCAGAUCAGUCUAUCAAAAUAUCAAAUCACAUGAAAUAAGGUUUGGUUAGCCCUUACUGACCCUACGAUAGGCCCACAAUCGAUCGGAACGACUUGUGCAACUUUAGGGAAAGGUUCAGAAUUCUGGGCCCACAUGCCCGUGUGGCCCCACACGCCCGUGUGGCCUACUAGCUUAGCCCAAAACCCACACACCCGUGUAGUAUGCCCGUGUGGCCCAUACGCCUAACUUGGCCUAGCCCGUGUAGCCCAUACGGCCACACUCACACCGUCACAAUACCGUGUCUUGCGCAGGACCACUCCUUCAUCACUCACACGGCCGUGUCUCGCACAUGGCCAUCUACACGGUCAGCCACAUGCCCAUGUAGCGUCGACAGGCUUCAUUUUUAGCUUUUAUCGAAACUCGAUUUUUCGUGUUAGGAGUACACACCUGGUUCAAUUUUGAUGCGAAAUCACUCUUGAGACCACUAAAACCUAAAAUUUAUCAUUAAAAAGUCAAAUUUAGCUGCAUAAAAUGAUGUUAAACUGAAACUAUAUCGAAUUAACAAUCUCUUGUUCAACCAAAACCCUUACCUUCGAAUGAACAACAGUGAUUUCCUGCAGUUAUAACACUGAUGGAAAGCCUUGAGCCCCUUGAUCUUCUCCUAAACGACAAUAAUGAAACCCCAUCAACCAAAAAUUCACUAGCCAAAAACAAGAACCAAACUUACCAAACCGAAAUUGGGUACCAAGACCGAAAUACAAUGAAUUGCACCAACAAAUUUAAUUAUCGAAACAAAAGAGGAAAGGAGAGCAAAAAUUGACAGAAGUCGAAAAGAAGAAGAAAACAAAACGUCAAAACAAAAAAAAAGAUUUUGGGAAAAAAAUAAAAGAAGAUAAAAUAAAAAUAAAUUAAUCUCAAAAUAAAAGUCCCACUAUAUCCACUCCUAACCAACUGAUAACUACCCAUUUAAACAGACUUUCGAUUCCAUCCAAACUUAGUCAACCGAAGCAAAAAUUAUCACCCUCGCUCACGUAGAGAUUCAAACGUAAGACCUCCAGCAAGCUAACUCAUUACCACUCGAACCAACAGGCUCAUUUUGAUAUAGAUUAACAGACAAUUUAUAUAAACCCACCCAAUAGGGAUAAGGCCUGGAUAAAAAAUAACAAAAUUUUUCCAAAUGUAGGACUUGAACCCUAGACCUCACACACACACACUCAAAACACUUAACCACUAAAACAAACUUAAAUUAUUCAAGGCGUUACAAAGUGGAUUGAAUUUUAGCUUGAUUGGUAUAGGUAUUAUUGUCAAUGUAAGAGGAUCUAGUUUCGAGUGCACUUAAACGCUUUAUCCUCCUAUUUAUGGGUUGGAGAGGGGUUAUGGGUUGAUGAGGGGUUAUGGGUAGUUCUUGGCAUUGUGUUAAAAAAAAUAGAUAUCAUCAAAACUUAUAAUGAGAUUAUUAAAAAAAUGUAUAAACAUAAAACAAAUUUUUUUUCAUCAUUUUCAGAUUUAAAUAAGCUUUAGAUUAAAAUAAAUUUGUGUUGCUUGAGGUUUUCGGAUCUAUUUACUCUCAUUUAAGUUGUAAAGUUUUUAUGAGAGGUAAAAUGCCAUCUCACCAUUUUAAUAGCUUACAUCUUUAUAAUUAUUUAAGGACUAAAUCAAAAUUUUAUUAUUUUUAAAAGUCAAAGUAUAAUUUUUACCAUAUACUAAUUUAUAAAAUUUAUAAAAUUUAAAACGCUAAAACAUAAACUUGCCAUUUUAGGGUGCAGAGCCAACCCCUAUAUUUCGAAUUUGAAUCAAUUUAAGUUUGAAUUUUUAUAUGAUUAAAGAAAAAUAAAAUAAGCUUUAUUUUAAAUUCAUCAAGUUAAAUUUAUCAAGUCAAAUUUUUAGUUAGAAAUCAAAAUUGCAAGGUUUACCUAUAUUAAGAAAAAUUAGCUACUCAAAAAUUGUUAAUAUAUGAACCUGUGUAUUGGCCUGAUGGUUAGGAUAUUUAUCGCCCCAAGUGUGACCUGGGUUCAAGUCGCAUUGCUAUUAGGGCUUUGCCCUCCUCUUAUAAUUCACCAAAAAAUUUGUUGAUAUAUAUUAUAUAGAGAUAGUAAACUAUUCGAAAUUUUUGAGUUGAUUUAUUUAAAUUUGAAUUUCUAUGAAUUUUUAUGUAUUAAUAGUUUAACUUAUAUAUAAUUUUACAUAUUAUUUAUGAGUUAACAAAAUUUUUGAAAUAAUUUUUAUUUAAAUUUAAAUUUAAAUAAUUUAUUUUAAAAGGUCUACAUGACAACUUUUUAAAAUCCGAACCGAAUUGUUUAGAUUUUUUUAAAAUGUUAUAAUUAUACAAGUUGGUUCAUAAAAUCACUCUCAAGUCAAUUUAGUUUUUUUUAUAGCAUUAAAUGAUGUAUCCAAAAUAAUUGAUCAGAUUAACUUAUAUGUCAGUCUAAAAUCAGCACUAAAUGUUAAACAAUUAUGUUAAAUUUAAUUUUUAUGAUUAAAAAUAUAAAUAUCAAUAGUCAUAUUAUUAAAUUUUAGAAAUAAAAUUUUUAACAAAAAUAAUUACUUCAUCUUUAAAUUGUUUUUCACUAUCAAUUGACUAAAUUAUAAUAAAAUUUAUAGCAGCCUCAGUGAAAGGGGGUGCUCAUUCUAGUAAAAGGCAUAAUGUUUUCUUUUUCUUUUUUUAUCUUUUAAUGUUAUAAAAAAGUCAUUUUAGUUUUUCAUUUACUUUUUUAUCUUUUAAGUCUUUAAAUUUGUAUUUUUGUCAAAUCACUCCAAAAAUGAAUGGAAAAGUUAACAUUUUUAACUUUGUUGAUGUUGUAUACAUGUGGACUGCUAUAGGGAUGACAUGCCAACAUUUAAUUAAUUUUUUAAAAUUUAAAAAAUUUAAAAUAUUAUAAAUGUUGGCGCCAUUUUUUUUGAUGAAAACGGGGUCGACUUGGGUUUUGAAAAAUGAAACGGGAGUCGCCACCAAUCCUUUUUUAUGAGGUGUGAUUGGAUCACCUUGAAAAGUGGUUGUUUUUAAUAAACGGUUUAGUUUUAUUAAAACAACGAUUUUGGUCCACAAAAUUCAGAAAAAUGGGUUCGGGAGUCGGUUACGCACGAGGAAGGAUUAGCACCCUCGAUACGCCCAAAAUUGGUACCUAAUUGAUUACUUAAUGUCUUAAUGUCGAAAACUUUGAAGAACUUUAAAAAAUACGAUCCUUAUAUUAAAAUAAAAAUUUUUGGGAAAAGUAGCAUAUUUCACGUUAAUCGAGAAAGAGAAUCAUAUCCAGUAAGUUAGGAUACAAUGUCUCAAAUUCCCAACACGCAAAUGAAAAAUGCUUAUUUAAAAGAUAUUUUAGCCAUCUCGGAUUUAAAAAUGAGAUCACGACCCGUAAGUUAGGACGCAAUUUUUUAAUCCCGAGAUCAUUUAAAAUUUGAGUUUAAAAAGAUUCGUCAUUUAGAUUUAUCGUGAAAAUCGAAACCCAGUAAGUUAAGAUACGAUCCUCUCGAAUCUAAAGACGAAAUAUUAUUUAUUCAAAACAAAUUAUGUUAUGUCGAGUAAAAUAAAACACUAAAAUCGUAGUAAAAAAAUGUGAAAGCAAUUUGCAUUGUUGUUAUUCAUGGCAAAAUCAUAAUGAAUACAAAAGUAUAAAAUGAUAUGAGCAAUAGCAACAAUAAUAAAUAAACGUUAGUCCUACAAUCAUAUAAAAUAACAAUGUAUAUAAACAAAUAAAUCAAAACUUUCAUUCAAAAUAAUAAUAAAAUGAAAUAAAUAGUGAACACAAAUAAAACGUAAAGGAAUAUAUAUAUGUAUAGAAAUGUAAAUUAAAAUAUGUGUGUAUACGUAAGUUACAAAAUAUAUGAAAUAUAUAUAAAGUAUAUUUUAAAAUAUAAAGAAAAAAUAAAUAUGUAUGAAGUGUAUGUAAGUAUAUAAAUAUGUAUAUAUAAUAAAGGUGUAUGAAAAUAUAUUUUAUAUACAUGUAUUUAUAAAAAAAUGCAUAUAGAUAUAUAUAGAUGGUUUUAAGCUAUGAAGUAUGAAAAAUAUGUACAUGUAUGAAUUAUAAAAUAUAUAAAAUAUGUACAUAUAUAUAUGUAAAAAUAUGUAUUUAUAUAUUUAUAAAGGUUAGAAAUAUGUACGUGUAUUAUAAAUAUAUAUGCAUAUAUAAAUAAAUUAUAAAAUAGGUAUGUUUAUAUGUAUAUAUAUAUAUAUUACAAAAAAAUGUGUAUAAGUAUAUGUAAAAAUAUAUAAUAAUAUAUGUAUAUAUCUAUAAAAGCAAUUAUAAUAAUAAUAAUAAUGCAAUAACAAUAAUAAUAUAAAAUUUGUAAAGAAAAUAAACAAAAUCACUAAAGGAUUAGAUUAAACAUUAAACAAGAUUCGGGGGGUUCAAAGCGCAAAUAAACGAAAGGGGAGGGAUUGCUCUGAACACGCAUGUAACAUGGAGGGACCAUCAAAGAAAAUUACCCUUCCUUUAAAACGGCGUAGUUCGAGUAAGGACGAAGUUGAAAAUACGAAAAAAUUUUGGGUAAAUUUAAAAGAUCAAAAGAACCUAAUUUAAAAAGCAUUAAAAAAGCGGAAGGGCUAAAGGUGCAAUUAGCCCUUCCGUCAAAAACACGCGGAUCCCUAGAUCAGACGGGUCGGGUCGCGGGUCGGAUCUCGGUUUAGACGCAAAACGGCGUCGUUUGAGGCCGAAUGAAACAGGCCAAAACGACGCCGUUUCAUUUAGGUAUUUAAACCAAUUUUUGUUUAAAAAAAUCAUUCAGCCCCAUUCCCCUUUUUUAAAAAAACUAAAAACUUCUCAGUUCUCUCUCCCUCUUCCCCUUUCUUGAUCUCGGGUCCGGCCGAGGGCCACCUUGUCGGCCGUCGGAUCGCCGGUGCCAGUGACGCCGUACACGGUGGCCGGCGAGUGGAGAAAGGCGUGCCCUUAGAGAUGCCUAUCUCCUAAACCCGAAUCCGGCCUCAAAAUGACCAAAAACGAAUGGGAAAAGGCUGUUAGGCUUCUCUACAGUCGGUUUCCUCACCGGAGAAGGAGUUUCCGACGAGGAGGAAACAGCGACCCGCGGUGAGUCUCUUUUUUCUUUAUUUUAUGUUUUUUAUUUCGUUUAAAAAAUCAAAAUAAAAUAAAAUAAAUACAACGAAAAAAAGAAAAAGUAAAUAUUGCAAUCGAAAACCCAGGGAAUCACCUUGAAGCUUGAUAUUUUUUAUUAUUCUGUUGAAAUUUGUUUUCUUGGUUACAAAUCGAAAAAAGAAAAAGAAGCCCUUUUGAUUUUUUCAAUCGGCCUUAUAUAGCCAAACUACAAAAUAAAAAAUCUCCUUUUGCUAUCCGUAUUUGCUGUUGCUUGUUGGUGUUUGUUGCAGGUACUGGCGGAGCAGUUGGAGCAGGUGAGUCGGUGGCAAGUGGGCGUGGUGACGGCUGUGAACAGAGGGCAGGUGAGGAGGCCAGGAGCAGGUGCGGCACAACAAGGGGCUAGGGUUUCUGCUAGGUGUUUAUGUUUUGGGCUGAUUGGGUUAGGCUAGUUGGGCCUGGGUAGUUUUUAGGUUAAAAUUUGUUAUUGGGCCCUGGGUCAAAAAUUGGGCUUGUACAGCUGCCCCUCUUUGCUCGUUGUCGUGUAACGAUAACAGAGCAAAGACUAAGAAAGACCAAUUUUUGUCCAGUCUUUGCCGAGUAUUGACUUCUCUUGACGCUUCUUUUCAAGUAACUUUAUUCUAGUCCACUGUGUCUUGUUGCGUCGACCCACUCCACUGUAACUUCCAAAAGACAAAACUUGUAGCUUCAAUCCACUCUAUUGUAGCUUCAGGGGGUAAGGUCCAUCAUUUUGACCCGCUCCACUGCAACUUCAGGGAGAUCGGACUCAUAUCUUCAACUUGCCCCACUACAACUUCAGGGGGAUAAGAUUCGUGACUUCAACCUGCUUUACUGCAACUUCAGAGAGACAAGGUUUGUGACUUCGCUUCCAUCUAUUCUACUACAACUUUAGGGGAAUAAGAUUAGACAUGAUAAGAAUCACUAUCUUCUGUCCGCUCCGCUACAACUUUAGGGAGACACGCCUUAUUGUUUUCAGUCUGUUCCACUGCAUCUUCAGGGAAAUAAGACUUGAUGCGAUCUACUCUGCUGUAACCUCAGAGAGAUAAGAUCUUUUAUUUUAAUCCGCUCCACUGUAACUUCAGGGAGAUAGGAUAGUGUCUUCGAUCUGCUCCGCUGUAAUCUCAGGGGGAUAAGAUCUGAAAUUCUUUGGUCUAUUCCACUGUAAUCUCAGGGAGAUAAGACCUGAUGUGAUCUUCUCUACUGUAACUUCAGAGAGAUAAGAUCUUUUAAUCCGCUCCAUUGUAAUCUCAAGGAGAUAGGAUUACUAUCCUUGAUCUGCUCCGCUGUAAUCUCAGUGAGAUAAGAUCUGAAAUUCUUUGGUCUGUUCCACUGUAAUCUCAGGGAGAUAAGACCUGUAUAAUAAACCUAAUUAUGCCUAAUGAUUAGGAUGACAUGAUCAAAAUGAAACAAAUGCUCCUAACUAGACAUAUGUGAAUGGUGUUUGCAUGAAUGCAGAAUUUUAUUUUUCCGAGAAUGAUCUCGCUUAGGUUAUCACUACUCGAAGUUUAUCAAGGUUUUGUGACUGAUGUGCUACAACGCCUUCUCGCUUGGCUGAUUUUUCUGAAGAAACAUUUAGCCAGACUGUCCCCAUUGUAAACCUCAAAGUUAUAUCCACUGGGAUGCCAAAAUUUGUACCAUCAUUCUCUCACAGUAAUCUAAGGGUAGAAAUAUGUGGCUUUUCCUCUGUCCUCUUUUAUCACAAUUUGGGGAUAUAGGAUCUGAACCGUUCUGGUUUCCUACACCAUUCUCAAGGUGUCGUACCAAAGUCUUAUGCGCAAGUGAAGGCUCUCUUCUCCGAGGUAACCUCUUCCUAUUGCCUGAUGAUCAUUGCUUGCUUGUUCAUUUAAGCUUUGUAAUUAACACGACAGCUUGUCAUUUUGUUCAAUCAAUGUUUAGACGACAAAAUCUGAAAGGAUAGUCUUUAACUUAGACUCUUCCUUCCUAGCUAUUUCACCCUUUAAACUUGGUAUUUUCUAAACAAUAGUCAUGUUUCAGGUCCCUAUAUUAUUUAGAAAUUUUCCAGAGUAAUGUGCAAAACUUCUUUCCUGAAAGUUUUAUUAGUUCGUUAAUCAUUAUUCCUAUGCAACAUGUUUGCAAAAAGAUCAUAACAAUGGAUAAGAAUAAAGCUAGCUCUGAUCAUAACUCAAAUAAAACAUCAAAGAUGGCGAAAGAAAGGUAACAAAGAAGUGGAUUGAGAAUGUGCGUUUUCACAAAAGGAAAGGAAGAAAUAAAGAAAAUAAAAAAAUGUAUUUUCAAGAAUACACAUAAGAACUAGGUGCCCCAGUUAUCACCGAUUGAGUUUCUCUGUACAAACUUUCCGAAGACCCUUCUAAGUUUGACAUGUGUUCAGGAGAUCUGUAAUACUCUGUCAAUGUUCCAAGACGUUGCAUAUCCUUUCUCAUUGGUUCAAGUAAAGGAAGAUCAUCAUAUCCCCCCGAUCAAAAUUUGAUCCGCUCAAGUCCUGAUGUUCCAAUCCUGCCCAAUACUUGAGUCGCCCUUUUCGGGUUUUCGACUCAAGCCCUCUUUGGUCUCAAAGUGCCCUUUACGGGUUUUCACCUUAGCCUCUCCAAAGUCUCCCCCUUUUUUUUUUUUUUAGGAAGCAAAGCGCCCUUUACGGGUUUUCACUUUGGUUCCCCUUUCUUUCAAGUGAAGUACUUCUUGACGGAGUCUGCGUUUACAGGAUUUGGUAAAUUUUUGCCAUCCAUCUCGCAUAGGAUCAAAGCUCCACCGGAAAAGGUCUUCUUUACAACAUAAGGGCCUUCCCAAUUUGGCAUCCAUUUUCCUCUAAAAUCUUUUUGCAUAGGAAGAAUCUUUUUUAGUACCAAGUCCCCUUCACGAAAUUCUCGGGGGCGAACCUUUUUAUUAUAGGCUCGCAUCAUUCGUUUCUGGUACAUUUGCCCAUGGUGAAUAGCUCUUAGCCUCUUUUCUUCUAUUAGGUUCAACUGAUCGUACCGAGAUUGGAUCCAAUCGGCUUCAUCCAACUGUAGCUCAGAUAACACCCGUAGAGAAGGGAUUUCAAUUUCAAUGGGUAAUACUGCCUCCAUUCCAUAAACCAGAGAAAAAGGCGUUGCCCCAGUAGAAGUUCUAACAGAUGUUCGAUAGGCAAGGAGAGCAAAUGAUAAUUUCUCAUGCCAAUCCUUGUAGGUUUCAGUCAUUUUCCCCACAAUCUUUUUAAUGUUUUUAUUGGCCGCCUCCACUGCACCAUUCAUUUUGGGACGAUACGGCGAUGAGUUAUGAUGCUUAAUUUUAAAUUUGCUACAAACUUCAGCUAUUGUGCUAUUAUUCAAGUUCAUCGCAUUGUCGGAUAUGAUCCUCUCAGGCAUUCCAUAUCGACAAAUGAUCUCCUUCUUCAAGAAUUUGCUGACUACUGCUUUCGUGACAUUUGCAUAUGAAGCAGCCUCCACCCACUUGGUAAAGUAAUCAAUUACUACGAAGAUGAAGCGAUGCCCAUUAGAAGCCUUUGGUGAUAUUGGCCCAAUAACAUCUAUACCCCACAUGGAAAACAGCCAAGGAGAGGUCAUGACGUGAAGAGGUGAAGGAGGCGCGUGUAUUUUGUCUCCGUAAAUUUGGCAUUUGUGGCACUUCCUGGCAUAAUCAAUACAAUCUCCUUCCAUUGUGGGCCAAUAGUACCCAAAUCUCAUGAUCUGUCUGGCCAUCGUGAAACCACUGGCGUGCGUCCCACAAAUACCCUCAUGGACUUCUUCCAAAAUUUUCUUGGCUUCUACAGCAUCCACACAUCUUAACAGUACUUGAUCCUUCCUUCUUUUAUAUAACACUUCUCCAUCUAAGACAUAUUCAAUGGCUAUCUUUCUCAGAGUUCUUUUGUCAUUCUCUGUCGCUUGAUCAGGGUAUUCCCGAUUCUUCACAUAUUGUAGGAUACUCUGAUACCAAGGACAAUCAUCUUUUCCCUCCUCCUCAAUAUUGCAGCAAUUAGCCGGGGUCUCAGAGAUACUCAUCUGGACAGGCCUCAUUGCCUCAAGUCUAUUCACCUGAAUCAUCGAAGCUAGAGUAGCUAAUGCAUCAGCCAUUUGGUUUUCCUCCCGUGGGAGGUAAUAGAAGGUGAUAUCGUCAAACUCCUCAGCCAAUUCAAGAACUAGUUUUCUAUAACCGAUUAGCUUAGGAUCUCUAGUCUCCCACUCCCCUUUAAGUUGGUAUAUCACCAACGCUGAAUCCCCGUAUACUCUCAAUACUUUGAUGUUCCAUUCAAUGGCUGCACGAAUGCCCAUAAUACAUGCUUCAUAUUCUGCCAUGUUAUUUGUACAAUCGAAGUCCAACUUGCUAGCAACAGGAUAAUGAUCUCCACUUGGGGAUACCAAGACUGCCCCAACUCCAUUACCCGUAGCAUUUGAAGCUCCAUCAAAAUUUAACUUCCAUACGUGAUCCAUUUGAGGAUUUUCUUCAGUAUUCGCCACAUACAUCAAGUCCUCGUUUGGAAAAUCGAAAUUCAAAGAUUCAUAGUCCUCCAAGGCUCUACUAGCUAGGAAAUCGGCUAUUGCACUUCCCUUUAUGGCCUUCUGACUGACAUAUACUAUAUCAAAUUCUGAGAGCAAGAUCUGCCAUCUAGCCAUUCUCCCGUUCAAAGCAGUCGAUUCCAUCAUAUAUUUUAAAGGAUCUAACUAUGAAAUCAGCCAAGUCGUGUGAUACAACAUAUACUGCCUCAGUCUUCGGGUUGCCCAGAUUAGAGCACAACACAACUUCUCAAUUGAUGAGUACCUCAUUUCGCAAUCGGUAAAUUUCUUACUGAGAUAGUAUAUUGCCCUUUCUUUCUUUCCCGCCUCAUCAUGUUGGCCCAAUACGCAUCCCAUGGAAUUCUCCAACACUGUUAGAUACAAUAUCAAUGGCCUAUCUGGACUUGGAGGUGAUAAGACUAGAGUAUUAGCCAAGUACUGCUUUAUCUUAUCGAAAGCCCUCUGACACUCUUCAUCCCAUUCGCCCGGAUUAUGUUUCUUUAAGAGCCGGAAUACUGGAUCACAUUUCUCUGUCAGUUGUGAGAUGAACCGAGCAAUGUAAUUCAGCCUCCCUAGGAAACCUCGAACCUCCUUCUGAGUGCGCGGGGGAGGUAAAUCUCGUAUUGCCUUUACUUUGUCUGGGUCAACCUCGAUCCCCUUUUUGCUAACUAUGAAGCCUAAUAACUUCCCUGAUCUGGCUCCAAACGUGCAUUUGGCCGGGUUAAGCUUGAGCUGAAAUUUUUUUAAUCUCAAAAAUAACCUUUUCAAGACCUGAACAUGCUCUUCUUCCGUUCUAGACUUCGCGAUCAUAUCGUCAACAUAGACUUCGAUCUCCUUGUGCAUCAUGUCAUGAAACAAAGUCACCAUAGCUCUUUGAUACGUUGCUCCCGCAUUCUUCAAUCCGAAGGGCAUUAUAUUGUAACAGAAUGUUCCCCAUAAGGUAAUGAAUGUGGGUUUCCUCAUGUCUCCAGGAUGCAUCUUUAUUUGAUUGUAUCCAGAGAAACCGUCCAUGAAAGAAAACAAUGAAUAGCCGGCCGUGUUAUCUACCAAAGUAUCAAUGUGAGGCAGUGGAAAGUUUUCCUUUGGACUAGCCUUGUUUAAAUCCCUAUAAUCCACACACAUUCGUACCUUUCCAUCUUUUUUGGGAACCGGGACGAUGUUGGCUACCCAAUCCGAAUACUUGACCUCUUGUAAGAAACCAGCGUCGAAUUGUCUUUUAACUUCUUCUCUUAUUUUCAACACAAUGUCAGGUCUCAUUCUCCUAAGCUUCUGUUGAACGGGUUUACAAUCCUCCUUUAUGGGCAGACGAUGCACCACAAUGUUAGUACUUAGCCCAGGCAUAUCUUGGUACGACCACGCGAAAACAUCCUUGAACUCUCAGAGCAAAUUAAUAAGGUCUUGCCUUGUCUUUGCGGUGAUUUCAGUUCCAAUUUUCACCUCCUUUUCGUCCUCUAGGCUCACUAUUUCUAACGAUUCCCUAUGAGGUAGGAUAUGCUUAUCCUCUUGUUCCAUCAUUCUUAACAAGUCCGGAGAUGCAUCAUAAUCUUCGUCAUUUUCAAAGUCGUGGGAUCCCUCUGAACACACUUCUUGCUCAAAAAUAGGCUCCAUGUUUGAGGCUCAUAAGGGCAGAUCUCCAACAAAGCCCUCCUUUCCGUUGCUUCUAUGGCGUUGGUAUAAACGUUUUCCAACAUUCCUCCCAUGCCGCUACCGGACACUCCACAUUCAGAAUGAAUAAAUCCUCCCGACACAAAAGAUGUAGAUAUGUGGGGAAAGGUUAAAGGCUCACACUUAGCUUCAUGUCCAUUCAAACGCGCCCUUCUUCUCUCUUGUCUCUUCUCUACUUCUUUCUUCUUCUGCUUCAUGUCUGGCUUGUACCCUAAACCAAAUCUAUCAAACUUUUCCUUCGGCAUUGGUGCCUCAAUCUUUCCCUGAAGAUAUUUUCCCAAUCCUUUCCCGGGUAAGGCUCCUCUUCCUACCAUCAAUCGCAAUCCCAUCUCAGUGGUUCUGGAUAUUUUCGGUACUGGAAUUCUAUUUCCCUCCGCAAUAAACAUCGCGUUCACAAAUUCUAACGACCGAAAAGAACAUUCUAGUGCCUCAUCGUUGAUGUCCACAUAAGGUGCAUCGCUAGUCAUCAUUGCGAUAAUAUCCUCCUCUGCAUCUAUUGUUACCAACCGAUCCUCCGAUACCAACUUCACCUUCUGAUGUAAUAAUGAAGGUACUGCCCCUGCUGAGUGUAUCCACGGUCUCCCCAAUAGACAGUUGUAGGAGGGUUUAAUAUCCAUUACCAAGAAAUCCACCUCAUAAGUGACUGGGCCAAUCCUUAAUGGUACCUCAAUUCUCCCCAUAACCUCCUUUUUUGUUCCAUCAAAUGCCCUUACUAUGCUCUGGCAUGCUUUCAUGUGCGAACUGUCUAUUGGUAAUCGACUAAGAGUGGACAAAGGCAAUACAUUUAGUGCAGAUCCAUUAUCAACCAAGGCCCCCGGGAGUGUGUACCCUUUGCAUCGGACAGUAACAUGCAGGGCUUUAGUAGAACCUCUUCCUCCGGAUGGUAUUUCAUCAUCACUGAAGAAGAUAAAAUUGUCAGCACCAAUAUUGUUGAUCAGCCGAUCCAGCUUGUUUACCGAAAUAUCGUCAGCCACAUAUGUUUCGUUUAGCACCUUUAAUAGUGCAUUCCGAUGUACUUCUGAGUUUAAGAGUAAAGCUAAUACAGAAAUGCGGGCUGGCUGUUUGUGCAGUUGCUCCGCAACACUGUAUUCACUGUGUUUCAAAAACUUCAAAAACUCCUUUGCCUCCUCUUCUUUUAUUGGUUCAUUUACCAAUGGUUCAACUUCUACUGCUUUCCCUUUCCUCUGUUCUUUCUUCCAAUUCUCUUCCCUGGACGACUCUGCUUGAGCAUCAUAUCUUUUUCCAUUGCGCGUGUAAGAACCUAUUUCCUGAUUUCUUUCUGCUUCUUUUCCCAAAAUGGUCACAUUGCACCCGUAAUUCCACGGCACCAUUUUGUUAUCCCUAUAAGAGAAAUUUGAUGGUUUCUGGAUUACAAUUUUUGGUGUUACCUGAGCCCUAACCUCAUUACCCUUAGGGCGUGAGAUAAUGACCACAGGAUGAUUUAUUUUUGGAGCCUUUGUUCCCAACUCUGUCGCGCAUAUGCUCCUCAUUUCUUUCGCAUCUUCGUAAAACCUCAUCUCCUUGUUAUCCAUCAUGCUUUGAACCAAAGCCUUAAAUCCUUCACAUUCUUGGAUUUCGUGCCCUGUUUUAUGGUGAAAUUCACAAUAAUUUCCCAUCUCAUGCCCUUCCUCAGAAUCUGAAAUAACCAAACCUCUUUUCGCCAUUUCUUUCCAGACCCGUUUCAAUGGAGUUUUUACUUCAGCAAUGUCAGUCUUGACUUCUUCUCCCGUACCUUCGCUAACCAUAUUCACCCCCUUAUCUGCGUGAUUAGGUAACGGAUUCUUUGCGUUAGGUGAGUCGUCAAGUUUGACAACACCUAAAUUGAUAAGUCCUUCUACUACCUUCUUGAAGGCCGUACAAUUUUCUAUCGAGUGCCCAGAAAUUCCCGCAUGAUAAUCACAUUGCGCGUUCGUAUCAUACCAUUUUGGAUACGGGGGUUGUAGAGGACUCAAGUAACGAGGAGCAACAACAUGUGCAUCGAAUAAAGUCUGAUACAACUCCUUGUAUGACAUCGGGAUUGGCGUGAAUUGGGGCUUUUCAGUAGUUUGCCUAGCUCCCGACUCUUGUCUUGAUGAUCCCUGUUGAUUAGCAACCACUUUCUUUGGUUGAUUCACGGUAAUUGACCUACCAUAAGCAUUCACAUUAUUCACUUCAUUUUCUCUUUUCCUCAGGGGUGCCCUCCUAUUAUUUUCUCCUCCAUCUAUUUUUCCACUUUUAAUGGCAUGCUCAAUCAUUUCACCGUUCAUGAUUAUAUCCGAGAAAUUUUUUGAAGCGCUUCCCAACAUGUGAGUGAUGAACGGGGCUUUCAAAGUAUUAAUAAAAAGCGUCGUCAUCUCUUUUUCCAAAAGCAGUGGUUGCACCUGAACCGCCACCUCUCGCCACCUCUGCGCAUAUUUUCUGAAGCUUUCGUUCGAUUUCUUCUCUAAAUUUUGCAGAGUUAUCCUGUCAGGUAUCAUUUCUGAGACAUGAUUGUAUUGUCUCAGGAAAGCCUGUGCUAAAUCCCUCCAAGUAGCAAUUUUAGCUCGGCUCAGCUGAUUGUACCACUUUGACGCCGCUCCCGUAAGACUUUCCUGAAAGCAAUGUAUUAAUAAUUGAUCAUUAUUAAUAUGCCCCGUCAUUCUUCUACAAAACAUAGUAAUAUGGGAUCCUGGGCAACUAGUCCCGUUGUAUUUCUCAAAUUCCGGCAUCUUAAAUUUGUAAGGGAGCACCAAGUCCGGAACCAAGCUCAGAUCCUUUGCAUCUAUUCCAUAGCUUUCGAUGCUUUCUAUUGCCCUAAACUUCUCUUCUAUCCAUUUCCAUUUCUCCUCAAAUUGUUUUGAAAAUUCCUCCUUCGCCUUGUCCUUUUCAACCAUCUCGUAAAGAUCUGGGACAGCAAUAUUAUUCGGGCUAUCACCGGGAUUAAAGCCCGCUCCGGGUUGAAAAUUCAUUGGGAUUGAAGCAUCGCCUUGGAACUGCUGGGGCCUAACCGACACAGAGGGUCUCCGCGGAUGCAGCUCAGUCUGUACUUGCGCAUGCGGAUGCGUGAAACCUAGAGGAUAAAGUGGUUCACCAUUGUUUUCUUCUUCACUAACAAUCACAGGACCUUUACCCUUAUCUACUCCCUUCAAUAAUUGCGUCAUCUUAGCCACCAGAUCAUUUUGGGACUCCUCCAUCUUUUGCACCAUGUCACGCUGAAUCUUUUCUAUUUGCUCUUUCAUUUGCGCCUGCAACUGGUCUUGCAUUUCUUUUUGAAGUCGCUCUAGCUUCUCCAACCUUUGGUCCAUAAUUUUUGUCUUAGCUCGGGUGCCGUAACUUUGUUGGUUUUCCAGGUUAACUGAAAUGAUUUUAUUCGAUUAGGUUUUUAAUGGUCAUUAAUGCAUAUGAUGUGAUGCAAUGCAUGAAAAGAAUGCAAAGAAAAAGAGGCACUGAUUCUAAUUCAACUUCAUUAGAAAACUUUACUAGAUAAAGAGUUUCUUUACAUAAAAUAGACUACAUAUAUGGCUUUGCCCUUACACUCAAAGCCUUAACCUUUCUAAGAAGCCAAGCUAACUCUCGGCCCCUGUUCGACACUAACUCAUACUUCAAACUUAAUAGAUCAGCCUGAACCGCUAGAGUUUACAGAUGAUCAGCUACUUCGCGCACUUGAGUCACCGCCUCUCCCAUAAUAUAAUCUCUUUCUCCAAUCUGCUCUUGAGACCGACGGAAUUGUCUUUGCCACUGCUCAUUACUUUCUUCCAGAAGCUCUAUCUGGAUUUCACUAUUUUGCAAUGCAUUCUCUAGCCCUCCUAUUUGUCUUUUUAAUUCUUCAAUUUUGUCUAAGCUCGCCCUUAAUUCAACCGUAGCAUUACGAUUACAGUACUGGUGAAGCGACCUUUCUAGUUCAGUUAUCCGGACCUUCAACUCCGUCUUCUCGUCUUGGCAAACUAGUAGACUCUUUCCCAAGGCGACUUCUCGAGCCCGAGUAUCCUGAAAUUUCUUUUCCCAUUGAUUAGCUUUCAUCUUUUCCUCCUGAAUUUCUUGUCGCCAUUGUUCUGGCGUUUUACCCAAGCCAGCAGCUCUUACCGACCUACGCAACUUCUUGUAAUCUGUCUUCAGGCUGUCCAAAUCUUCUUCUGCUUUGUUCUUUCCUUUUCUCAAUUUAUCGGCCUCUAACCUUUGAAUGUCCACAUCCAGUCCUAACUGCAUUUUUUCUUCCUCUAGUUGUUCUAUUUUCUUCCCCAAUUCUAAACUCCUUUUUUCAAAUUCUUGUUUGAUGAUUUCUAUCUCAGAAGGCAAAACUUGUAAAUGUUCCUCCAAAGAUCGAGCAGUUUCUGGAUUUGACGCCGGGAUGUUGUCGUUGAUCCUUUGAUCACGCCACCGACCAUACUCGGGGGUAAUUGUCGGACCCACGGCUAAGAUCUUCAUUCGACGAGUCUGGUUCCAGGCACUAGAUAUUUCCCGAACCUUCUUCUUGUAAUUGUCCUCCCUAUAGGAAAAAUCAUAAUAGGCCAACCCCUGCGUUGCUGGUAUGAAUUAUCGUGAUCUAUACUGUCUUGAUACGAAUAGAGGAGCAUAUCCGAUAGCUCCCCAUAUCCCGAGCAGCGGAACCCAGUCAAAAUCUCCACAUUGGUACAAUAUCUCAUCAGGAAUUAACCAAGGAGCCCUCCAUUCAAUAUCUUCAUCCUGGAGAUUCUGGAGUAUCUCUAUCCAUUUUUCUUCUGAAAUAUCAUCCCGUCUUGGCGUGGCCACCAAUUCUCCUAGAGGGGAGUAGCUAUCAGAGAAUACCCGAUAAGAGACCUUUUCGACUUUCCAGAAGUGGCUAUGGAACCAUGCCAAUAAAAGCUGCGCGCAUCCAAUAAACCUUCUCUCCCCUGCUUUUCGACACGCAUUCAAGGAUCUAAAAGUUUCAGCGAGUAUUGCCGGAACCGGCGUAACCCCUUUACUAAGCCGAUCAAACAAAUCAGAUACAGCCUCGUCUAUGUGUCCUAAAGCUUUGGGGAAAACCACUAGUCCAUAGAUACCUAAAGCGAAGACAUCGACCCUUUUCUUUAAGUCAGGAUGUACAAGCACCAAAUCUCGCAAACUUUUCCAAGGAACACAAUUACUGUUGCCCUUCUGUUGGAUCCGGGCAGCGACCCACUGCUCGCUCAUCCCAGUGAUGUUCAUUAAUUUCUUUAACAACGGAGGGACACAAGCAGCUCUGGAAUAAGCCUUGUCGACUUGAAUCUUUGGGCACCGAAGCAAGGUCGUAUACUCCUCCACAGUAGGCGUCAAAUCUACCUUCCCAAAAGUGAAACAACUGUAGGCAGGAUUCCAAAACUGAGCAAGGGCUCGGAAUAAAUACUUGUCCACUUUGACACUAAGCAGAUAAGGUAGGUCACCGUAGUUACAAUAGAACAGCUGCUUGGCCUCGACAUCCCAUUGAUCCCAGACUUCUUUCAUUUCUCGAAGGUCAUUCUGGAUUACACUGAUACGGGUAAAAUCCCACAAUUCUGACACGUACCCUUCGGUAAGACUAUCGCCUUUCUCCCGUUGUGUCGUUUCAGCCCAUAUUCGCACAGCCGCAUUAUCCUCUACUUUAUCAACAAACCCCUUUUCCAUGAUAAGCUUUCUACCAAGAAACUGAACGUAAAUCGACACCUCUUUUAGAAUGAAGAUGCCAUGCAAUCACAAACAAAGUAAAUUAGCAUUAAACACAGAAUAAGAUUUAAAAUAAGCGACAAAUAAAUACAACAUUCAUUUAGGUAAGCACUAAAAAUUUGGAGUAGCUCUACCUAGGUCAGUUCCUAUGGCUCAUUACAUGUGGUUUGGUUCUAAAGUAGGGUACCUGAACCAGCAAAUUCCUCGAUCCUCACCCAUUAUAGGCUCAUACGGACCAAGUUCGAUUCAGGGGGAUACAUUUCCCUAUGGCCAUGCGGAGAUGAAAAUCUCACGAAGACAUAGGUACGGAUAUAUCCCGAAAGCGAUUCACUAUCCCAUGCGGAGGUGAAAACCUCACGAAGGCGUAGCUUCUCACUCCCACCUAAAAAGGUGUGACCAACGGUCAUGCAAUGCAAUGCGGAAAGAUACCAAAAUUUAAACAAAUAGAGCAAUUAUAAACCCCAAUGAUGAUGAUUAUGAUAAAGACAGAUAAAAUGCGAUGAAAGGAUCGUAAUUUUAAACCGAAUUUUCAAUUUUUGACAAAAGACAAAAAGUAAUCACCACGUGGCUUGACCCUCUUAUCGGUGUCCCCAGUGGAGUCGCCAAGCUGUUGGCGCCAUUUUUUUUGAUGAAAACGGGGUCGACUUGGGUUUUGAAAAAUGAAACGGGAGUCGCCACCAAUCCUUUUUUAUGAGGUGUGAUUGGAUCACCUUGAAAAGUGGUUGUUUUUAAUAAACGGUUUAGUUUUAUUAAAACAACGAUUUUGGUCCACAAAAUUCAAAAAAAUGGGUUCGGGAGUCGGUUACGCACGAGGAAGGAUUAGCACCCUCGAUACGCCCAAAAUUGGUACCUAAUUGAUUACUUAAUGUCUUAAUGUCGAAAACUUUGAAGAACUUUAAAAAAUACGAUCCUUAUAUUAAAAUAAAAAUUUUUGGGAAAAGUAGCAUAUUUCACGUUAAUCGAGAAAGAGAAUCAUAUCCAGUAAGUUAGGAUACAAUGUCUCAAAUUCCCAACACGCAAAUGAAAAAUGCUUAUUUAAAAGAUAUUUUAGCCAUCUCGGAUUUAAAAAUGAGAUCACGACCCGUAAGUUAGGACGCAAUUUUUUAAUCCCGAGAUCAUUUAAAAUUUGAGUUUAAAAAGAUUCGUCAUUUAGAUUUAUCGUGAAAAUCGAAACCCAGUAAGUUAAGAUACGAUCCUCUCGAAUCUAAAGACGAAAUAUUAUUUAUUCAAAACAAAUUAUGUUAUGUCGAGUAAAAUAAAACACUAAAAUCGUAGUAAAAAAAUGUGAAAGCAAUUUGCAUUGUUGUUAUUCAUGGCAAAAUCAUAAUGAAUACAAAAGUAUAAAAUGAUAUGAGCAAUAGCAACAAUAAUAAAUAAACGUUAGUCCUACAAUCAUAUAAAAUAACAAUGUAUAUAAACAAAUAAAUCAAAACUUUCAUUCAAAAUAAUAAUAAAAUGAAAUAAAUAGUGAACACAAAUAAAACGUAAAGGAAUAUAUAUAUGUAUAGAAAUGUAAAUUAAAAUAUGUGUGUAUACGUAAGUUACAAAAUAUAUGAAAUAUAUAUAAAGUAUAUUUUAAAAUAUAAAGAAAAAAUAAAUAUGUAUGAAGUGUAUGUAAGUAUAUAAAUAUGUAUAUAUAAUAAAGGUGUAUGAAAAUAUAUUUUAUAUACAUGUAUUUAUAAAAAAAUGCAUAUAGAUAUAUAUAGAUGGUUUUAAGCUAUGAAGUAUGAAAAAUAUGUACAUGUAUGAAUUAUAAAAUAUAUAAAAUAUGUACAUAUAUAUAUGUAAAAAUAUGUAUUUAUAUAUUUAUAAAGGUUAGAAAUAUGUACGUGUAUUAUAAAUAUAUAUGCAUAUAUAAAUAAAUUAUAAAAUAGGUAUGUUUAUAUGUAUAUAUAUAUAUAUUACAAAAAAAUGUGUAUAAGUAUAUGUAAAAAUAUAUAAUAAUAUAUGUAUAUAUCUAUAAAAGCAAUUAUAAUAAUAAUAAUAAUGCAAUAACAAUAAUAAUAUAAAAUUUGUAAAGAAAAUAAACAAAAUCACUAAAGGAUUAGAUUAAACAUUAAACAAGAUUCGGGGGGUUCAAAGCGCAAAUAAACGAAAGGGGAGGGAUUGCUCUGAACACGCAUGUAACAUGGAGGGACCAUCAAAGAAAAUUACCCUUCCUUUAAAACGGCGUAGUUCGAGUAAGGACGAAGUUGAAAAUACGAAAAAAUUUUGGGUAAAUUUAAAAGAUCAAAAGAACCUAAUUUAAAAAGCAUUAAAAAAGCGGAAGGGCUAAAGGUGCAAUUAGCCCUUCCGUCAAAAACACGCGGAUCCCUAGAUCAGACGGGUCGGGUCGCGGGUCGGAUCUCGGUUUAGACGCAAAACGGCGUCGUUUGAGGCCGAAUGAAACAGGCCAAAACGACGCCGUUUCAUUUAGGUAUUUAAACCAAUUUUUGUUUAAAAAAAUCAUUCAGCCCCAUUCCCCUUUUUAAAAAAACUAAAAACUUCUCAGUUCUCUCUCCCUCUUCCCCUUUCUUGAUCUCGGGUCCGGCCGAGGGCCACCUUGUCGGCCGUCGGAUCGCCGGUGCCAGUGACGCCGUACACGGUGGCCGGCGAGUGGAGAAAGGCGUGCCCUUAGAGAUGCCUAUCUCCUAAACCCGAAUCCGGCCUCAAAAUGACCAAAAACGAAUGGGAAAAGGCUGUUAGGCUUCUCUACAGUCGGUUUCCUCACCGGAGAAGGAGUUUCCGACGAGGAGGAAACAGCGACCCGCGGUGAGUCUCUUUUUUCUUUAUUUUAUGUUUUUUAUUUCGUUUAAAAAAUCAAAAUAAAAUAAAAUAAAUACAACGAAAAAAAGAAAAAGUAAAUAUUGCAAUCGAAAACCCAGGGAAUCACCUUGAAGCUUGAUAUUUUUUAUUAUUCUGUUGAAAUUUGUUUUCUUGGUUACAAAUCGAAAAAAGAAAAAGAAGCCCUUUUGAUUUUUUCAAUCGGCCUUAUAUAGCCAAACUACAAAAUAAAAAAUCUCCUUUUGCUAUCCGUAUUUGCUGUUGCUUGUUGGUGUUUGUUGCAGGUACUGGCGGAGCAGUUGGAGCAGGUGAGUCGGUGGCAAGUGGGCGUGGUGACGGCUGUGAACAGAGGGCAGGUGAGGAGGCCAGGAGCAGGUGCGGCACAACAGGGGGCUAGGGUUUCUGCUAGGUGUUUAUGUUUUGGGCUGAUUGGGUUAGGCUAGUUGGGCCUGGGUAGUUUUUAGGUUAAAAUUUGUUAUUGGGCCCUGGGUCAAAAAUUGGGCUUGUACAAUAAAAUUAUUUUUAAAAAAUAAAAAUUAUUAAAAAAUACAAAAACAAUAUUUUUAAUAGUUUAGAGAUGAAUUAAAUGCUAACAUGUCAUCUACUCAGCAAUCCACAUGUAUAACACGUCAUGAAAGUUAAUAAACAUUUAUUUUUUCAUCCACUCUGGAGUGGCUUGACAGAAAAUGUAAAUUCAAGUGUUAAAAGAAGCGAAAAUUUUAAUGGAGGGCUAAAAUGACUUGUUUUGUGAAGUUGGAGGGCCAAAAAAUAAUUAUGCCAAAACUAAAUGAUUAAUAGAAAACAAGGGGAAAUUUGCAUGCAUCUAUAUAAUUUUAUUUCAAACCAUUGUCAUUAUCUUGAGAUAUACAUUGGCAAACAUUCAUUGAAUAUACCUUGGGAAAAAAAAAUACUACAAGACAACGAAAUUAAAUAUCAUAAUCAAAUGUUGAAAAUGAAUGAUAAGAAAUUUAAAUUAAAAAUCAAACAUAGUAGGCUUGAUGUGCAAGCUAUCUGCAAUCUUUUUUUUUAAUUGUUUUAUUAUAUAGAUUUUAAUAUUUCUUACGUCUUUUAUCAGUCAAUUUGAACUGAUGCAUUCAUUUGUUUCAUUCAUAUGGUGUUGGAUCACAUUAAAAAAUAUAUACAAUUAAUUAAUCAUUUUUAGCUUAAUAAAAAAUAUAUAAUCUUGAUUGGUAUGAGUAUUAUUAUUAAUGUAAGAGGAUCUAGUUUUAAGUGUGCUUAAGCGCAUUAUCCUCCUAUUUAUGGGUUGAGGAGGGGUUAUGGGUAAUUUUAGGCAUUAUGUCAAAAAGAGCAUAUAUGAUCAGAACUUGUAAUGAAAUUAUUAAAAAAAAUGUAUAAACAUAAACAAUUUUGUUUACAUAAUUUUUAGAUAUAAAUGAGCUUUGGAUUCAAAUAAUUUUGUGUUGCUUGAGGUUUUCGGAUCUAUUUACUCUCAUUUAAGUUGUAAAGUUUUUACGAGAGGUAAAAUGUAAUUUCAUUAUUUUAAUAGCUUACGUCUUUAUAAUUAAUUAAAGGUUAAAUCAAAAUUUUAUUAUUUUUGAAAGCUAAUGUGUGAUUUUUACCAUGUAGUAAUUUUUAUAAUUUAUAAAAUUUAAAACACUAAAACAUAAACUUACCAUUUUAGGGUGCAGAGCCAGCCCCUAUAUUUUGAAUUUGAAGCAAUUUAAGUUUAAAUUUGUAAUUUUUUAUGAUUAAAUAAAAAUAAAAUAAGCUUUAUUUUAAAUUGAUCAAGUAAAAUUUAUCAAGUCAAAUUUUGAGUUAGAAAUCAAAAUUGUGAGGUUUACCUAUAUUAAGAAAAAUUAGCUACUAAAAAAUUGUUAAUAUAUAAAUUUGUGUGUUGGCUUGUUGGUCAGGGUAUUCAUCGCCCCAAAUGUGAUUUGGGUUCGAGUCGCGUUACUGUUAACGUUUUGUCAUCCUCUUGUAAUUUACUAAAAAAUUGUUAAUAUAUAUUAUAUAAAGAUAGUAAACUGUUGACUAACAUAAUGUCAUCAUUCAUAGAGGAAAAAAAAAGGCACAUUGAUCAUAUUUUCAGCCAUCCAUAAAAUAGCAGUAAAAUAAUUGACUUGAGAAAUAACACAUAAAAUCAUAUGAUAUAUUUGAUACACUGAGAGCAUUGAAGAGUCAUUUGAAUCAUCGUAAAAGACAAAGUAGACAAUUCAGUGACGAAAUUCUCAAUAUAUAUAACUACGAAAUUCCACACAAAAUUGUGAAAACAACGAAAAAUAUCUAAUAAAAAUAAACCAUUCAAACAAGACCGCUUGACUCUUUGAGUAAUGAAUUUUUUUUCACAAUUAAUUUAACAUGUUUUUCCAAUUUGAAUAGUAAACACUAUAGUUGCAAUUCAGUCAAUACUAGAAAUUUAUAUUUUAAACCCAUCGUUUAGAAUAUUCCAUUUUUUACAUUGGAAAUAACACAAAAGAUUCAAAGGAAAAAUAAGCAAAUUUCAUCAAAGGCGUCUAUUUGUAAUGGAAAAUUUAUAAUGUGGAUCCUUGUAUUAUAAACUAAAGAACAAAUUAACUCCUUAAGUAUAAAAGUGAGCAAUUUAGUCCUUUAGGUCUUUUCUCUUUUUUCUCCAAGCCGUUUGUUUCUUCUUUUUUGUUUUGCGUAGCAACGGUGGCAAUCUCCGGGCUGGCUACUGCCCACCUUUUGCUCCCUCCAUUCCAUAUGUUUUCUCUCUUUUCAAUUGAUACAUCUAUUUUGUAGGUAUCUUUGUUGCCUUCACAUGUUGUGAUGGACAGAUGAUGAUGCCUAUCGUCGCUGAAAUUACCCUGGCCAUCAACAGUUUCUCUAAGAAAGUGGGUGACUUUUAAUUGGCUCUUGAUCUAUUUUUGUUUGGAGAGUAUUUUAGAAUAAUAAAUAAUUUUACGAAUCAGUUUGGACCUCUAGUAUUUUAAGUCGUCACCAUUCAUUCCAUGAAUGGAAUCAUAUCAUUUAUGUAAAAGAUAAAACUUAAACAUGUCUUUAUAUUUGUAAAAACUUAACAAUAAGAAGGCUUGACUAUUUGAAUAAGUUAUUUUUCACAAUAUUUUCAAUUUGAAUUGUAAGUACUCCAUAGUUGUAUGAUUCAGUGAAUACUAGAAAUUUAUAUUCAAAACCCAUCAUUUAAAAUUUUCUGAUACAUUAGAAUUGAGAAGAAAAAUAUUUAGAGUAAGCAAAUUUCAGCAAUGGCGUCUAUAUUUAUAAUUGAAAGUUAUCAAUAAAAUUAAUAUCUUAUUUCUUUUUAAUAUUUUAUUGUGCAUGCGUAGUUUUACUAAUGGCAUUGAUAUCCCAGAAUUAAAAUAUUUCCAACAAGCAUGUGCUCUAUUGAUUGACUUUAAAGUCUCUAGAUUUUUAAAAUGAAUUUACUAAAAAAAUGAAAAAAAAUUAUUAGAAUUAAUUUUUAUUAAUUGAUAAUAAACUUAUGAAUAAUUAAGUAUUACAUUUUUAUUAAUUCCAAAUCAAACUUCUUUUUUUAUAUAAUACCUAAAACUACUUAUAAUCCCUUCCUAAUCCUUAAAUAAGAAAAUAAUGUGUUUCAACAUAUUCAAACCCACAUCUUCCUGCACUGACAGAUUAUAUAAAUUUAAAUAUUCAAUAUAUAUAUUUCUCUAAAACUGACAUGUUGAAAAAGGAAAUCACAACUAUAAAACAAUCAUCUUCAAAGUUUCAAUAAUAAAAUAAGUAUAAUACAAAUUUAAUGAUAAAUUCAUGAUGUGUUAGGAUAUAAAACUAAUAUUUUAAAAAAACGAUAUGAAAUUAUAAAUUCUAUUGUGAUUAUAGUAUAUUUAUAAAUGAAUGUUGGGAUAAUUAUAAAAUGGAAUUAAAUUAAUAUAAAAUACAUUAAAAAUUAAAAUAAUUAAAACUAAAAUUGAUUCAUUGGACAAAAAUAUACACUUAACAACGACGCAUUAUAAAAGUAAAGAUCUAGAUAUGAUAAUUGCAUAUAAUAAAAUUUAAAUAUAAAUAUAAAAUACUUAAAAAUUUCAACCAACAAUAUCUUCGUUAAAAUUAUAAAUUCGCUUGAUUAUUUUCCUUUGAUUUAACACAUCUUCUUUUGGUAGCCGUCUGUACCUGACUCGACCAGUUAACCCACAAAACAUUUUACAUGUACAAUAAUGACACAAUUUCGCUCAGGCCUAAUUUACAUAUAAAUACAAAAUUACAAAUCCAAAUAAAAAUAUUACAAGCCCAAAUGUAAAAAGGAAGCCCAGUGGCCCAAAAAACUUAAACAUUUUCAGAAGGACAGAAACCUUAGCCAGCGCGCCGCCCUCUCUGCUUUGCCAGCGGUUUCGUUGCCUGAGGUUUGACGCCUCAUCUGCCAGUUGUCGCCAUCGACUAGGGACACUUGCAAAAAAGGAAGAACAAGGACAGAAGCACAACACCCAAGAAAAAACAGUAGAAACAGUAGAAAAACAGUAAAAAAGAGAGUGUAAUUCGACUAUAAAAGCCAUGACUUUUAUGUAUUUCUUUACAAGAAAAAAAGGAAUAAAAAACAGAACACAAAGAAAACAUUUUUAAAGGUGAUUUUCUUCAUUUUUUUAUCUGUUAUUUUUAGAAAAAAAACAUAAAACAUAAAAUCAAAAAAACUUACUGAGCCGUUUCAUGUUCCACCGCCGCGAGUAGACGAGGACACCGUCCGCGAUGACGGACGGCUCCCUUCGGUGAGACCUCCGAGUCACUUCUGUUUUGUCUAAGGACCACGGCGGAGAAAACCAAGGGGUUGUUCAGAUUUUUUUUAAUUUUUUGUUGGGUUUUGGAAAGUACUGACCCCGGAUUCGGGCUCAAGAAGCCGUAACGGCCAAAAAAUGGUUGCUUGUAGAUUCUAGCCACCGGGAACAGUGAAAUCAUCGCCGGCGCCAGGGGCAAACGUGGAAAACCGAGAGAGAAAAAAAGACUCAGUUUUUUUAAGAAAAACUAAACAUAAUGAUUUUUUUUUUUAAUUUGGCUUAUAUAGGCGAGGCUAAACGACGUCGUUUAAAGCUGGCUUCAAUAGCCCCAAAACGACGUCAUUUUGAAACAUGACCCGAAUACAAACAGGAUCCGCAUGUUUUCUUAAGAAAGGGUCUAAUUUUUACUUCAGUCCUUCUGCUUUUUAAUUGAUUUUCAAUCUAGUCCUAUUUCUUUUUUUUUAAUUUUUGCCCAGUGAUUUUGUUUCUUUUUAGUCCCUCAUGGAACGGUGUGUUUGCGGGCCUGGGAAUAAUUUCCUAGUUGGUCCGUCCUUGUAAUACCCCAAAAAUUACUACAGGAAUAAAGUAAUAUAGUAUCCUUGAUAUAGUAAAAUCAGGAAAUAAAGUGACAAAAAGGGAAAUUUUGAGUUAUGUCAACAUUGGGAAGUAUAUUAUGACAUAUUAAUGCAAAAAAAGAUUAAAUCGCAAAAGUGAGAAAAGUUUUGUUGCCCAAGAGUAAAUACUCAAAAAUUGAGGGGUUAAAGUGUAAAUAUAAAAAAGUUCAAAGACCAAUAGUGAAAAUAUUUUAAGGGUGGAAUGAUAUAGAAAAUAAGGAAAAUGGAUGAAUUAUGACCAAAUUGAAUAGGUGAAGAAUUAUGAUGGACUAAAUCAUAAUUUUACCAAAUUAAGUGAUGACUCAAUGAUGGAAUUUUAAAAGAUCAUGAAGGGCAAAAUGGUCAAUUAGAAAGAGAGAGAACUCUAAAAGGUAAUGAUGAUGUUGGUGAUAUUUUUAAUUAAUUAAUUAGAUAAAUGUUAUUUAAUUAAUAUUUUAUUUAGAUUUUUAGUAUUAUUUUCUUUAUAAUUUGGUUAUUUUACCAAAAAUUCACCAUUUUCACUUAGAAAUCAAAAGAAUUUCUAUAGCUACCAAGANNNNNNNNNNNNNNNNNNNNNNNNNNNNNNNNNNNNNNNNNNNNNNNNNNNNNNNNNNNNNNNNNNNNNNNNNNNNNNNNNNNNNNNNNNNNNNNNNNNNNNNNNNNNNNNNNNNNNNNNNNNNNNNNNNNNNNNNNNNNNNNNNNNNNNNNNNNNNNNNNNNNNNNNNNNNNNNNNNNNNNNNNNNNNNNNNNNNNNNNNNNNNNNNNNNNNNNNNNNNNNNNNNNNNNNNNNNNNNNNNNNNNNNNNNNNNNNNNNNNNNNNNNNNNNNNNNNNNNNNNNNNNNNNNNNNNNNNNNNNNNNNNNNNNNNNNNNNNNNNNNNNNNNNNNNNNNNNNNNNNNNNNNNNNNNNNNNNNNNNNNNNNNNNNNNNNNNNNNNNNNNNNNNNNNNNNNNNNNNNNNNNNNNNNNNNNNNNNNNNNNNNNNNNNNNNNNNNNNNNNNNNNNNNNNNNNNNNNNNNNNNNNNNNNNNNNNNNNNNNNNNNNNNNNNNNNNNNNNNNGGCUUUAGUAGAACCUCUUCCUCCGGAUGGUAUUUCAUCAUCACUGAAGAAGAUAAAAUUGUCAGCACCAAUAUUGUUGAUCAGCCGAUCCAGCUUGUUUACCGAAAUAUCGUCAGCCACAUAUGUUUCGUUUAGCACCUUUAAUAGUGCAUUCCGAUGUACUUCUGAGUUUAAGAGUAAAGCUAAUACAGAAAUGCGGGCUGGCUGUUUGUGCAGUUGCUCCGCAACACUGUAUUCACUGUGUUUCAAAACUUCAAAAACUCCUUUGCCUCCUCUUCUUUUAUUGGUUCAUUUACCAAUGGUUCAACUUCUACUGCUUUCCCUUUCCUCUGUUCUUUCUUCCAAUUCUCUUCCCUGGACGACUCUGCUUGAGCAUCAUAUCUUUUUCCAUUGCGCGUGUAAGAACCUAUUUCCUGAUUUCUUUCUGCUUCUUUUCCCAAAAUGGUCACAUUGCACCGUAAUUCCACGGCACCAUUUUGUUAUCCCUAUAAGAGAAAUUUGAUGGUUUCUGGAUUACAAUUUUUGGUGUUACCUGAGCCCUAACCUCAUUACCCUUAGGGCGUGAGAUAAUGACCACAGGAUGAUUUAUUUUUGGAGCCUUUGUUCCCAACUCUGUCGCGCAUAUGCUCCUCAUUUCUUUCGCAUCUUCGUAAAACCUCAUCUCCUUGUUAUCCAUCAUGCUUUGAACCAAAGCCUUAAAUCCUUCACAUUCUUGGAUUUCGUGCCCUGUUUUAUGGUGAAAUUCACAAUAAUUUCCCAUCUCAUGCCCUUCCUCAGAAUCUGAAAUAACCAAACCUCUUUUCGCCAUUUCUUUCCAGACCCGUUUCAAUGGAGUUUUUACUUCAGCAAUGUCAGUCUUGACUUCUUCUCCCGUACCUUCGCUAACCAUAUUCACCCCCUUAUCUGCGUGAUUAGGUAACGGAUUCUUUGCGUUAGGUGAGUCGUCAAGUUUGACAACACCUAAAUUGAUAAGUCCUUCUACUACCUUCUUGAAGGCCGUACAAUUUUCUAUCGAGUGCCCAGAAAUUCCCGCAUGAUAAUCACAUUGCGCGUUCGUAUCAUACCAUUUUGGAUACGACUCAAGUAACGCAACAACAUGUGCAUCGAAUAAAGUCUGAUACAACUCCUUGUAUGACAUCGGGAUUGGCGUGAAUUGGGGCUUUUCAGUAGUUUGCCUAGCUCCCGACUCUUGUCUUGAUGAUCCCUGUUGAUUAGCAACCACUUUCUUUGGUUGAUUCACGGUAAUUGACCUACCAUAAGCAUUCACAUUAUUCACUUCAUUUUCUCUUUUCCUCAGGGGUGCCCUCCUAUUAUUUCUCUCCAUCUUAUUUUUCCACUUUUAAUGGCCUAUGCUCAAUCCUUUCAACGUUCAUGAUUAUAUCCGAGAAAUUUUUUGAAGCGCUUCCCAACAUGUGAGUGAUGAACGGGGCUUUCAAAGUAUUAAUAAAAAGCGUCGUCAUCUCUUUUUCCAAAAGCAGUGGUUGCACCUGAACCGCCACCCUCUCGCCACCUCUGCGCAUAUUUCUGAAGCUUUCGUUCGAUUUCUUCUCUAAAUUUUGCAGAGUUAUCCUGUCAGGUAUCAUUCUGAGGACAUGAUUGUAUUGUCUCAGGAAAGCCUGUGCUAAAUCCCUCCAAGUAGCAAUUUUAGCUCGGCUCAGCUGAUUGUACCACUUUGACGCCGCUCCCGUAAGACUUUCCUGAAAGCAAUGUAUUAAUAAUUGAUCAUUAUUAAUAUGCCCCGUCAUUCUUCUACAAAACAUAGUAAUAUGGGAUCCUGGGCAACUAGUCCCGUUGUAUUUCUCAAAUUCCGGCAUCUUAAAUUUGUAAGGGAGCACCAAGUCCGGAACCAAGCUCAGAUCCUUUGCAUCUAUUCCAUAGCUUCGAUGCUUUCUAUUGCCCUAAACUUCUCUUCUAUCCAUUUCCAUUUCUCCUCAAAUUGUUUUGAAAAUUCCUCCUUCGCCUUGUCCUUUUCAACCAUCUCGUAAAGAUCUGGGACAGCAAUAUUAUUCGGGCUAUCACCGGGAUUAAAGCCCGCUCCGGGUUGAAAAUUCAUUGGGAUUGAAGCAUCGCCUUGGAACUGCUGGGGCCUAACCGACACAGAGGGUCUCCGCGGAUGCAGCUCAGUCUGUACUUGCGCAUGCGGAUGCGUGAAACCUAGAGGAUAAAGUGGUUCACCAUUGUUUUCUUCUUCACUAACAAUCACAGGACCUUUACCCUUAUCUACUCCCUUCAAUAAUUGCGUCAUCUUAGCCACCAGAUCAUUUUGGGACUCCUCCAUCUUUUGCACCAUGUCACGCUGAAUCUUUUCUAUUUGCUCUUUCAUUUGCGCCUGCAACUGGUCUUGCAUUUCUUUUUGAAGUCGCUCUAGCUUCUCCAACCUUUGGUCCAUAAUUUUUGUCUUAGCUCGGGUGCCGUAACUUUGUUGGUUUUCCAGGUUAACUGAAAUGAUUUUAUUCGAUUAGGUUUUUAAUGGUCAUUAAUGCAUAUGAUGUGAUGCAAUGCAUGAAAAGAAUGCAAAGAAAAAGAGGCACUGAUUCUAAUUCAACUUCAUUAGAAAACUUUACUAGAUAAAGAGUUUCUUUACAUAAAAUAGACUACAUAUAUGGCUUUGCCCUUACACUCAAAGCCUUAACCUUUCUAAGAAGCCAAGCUAACUCUCGGCCCCUGUUCGACACUAACUCAUACUUCAAACUUAAUAGAUCAGCCUGAACCGCUAGAGUUUACAGAUGAUCAGCUACUUCGCGCACUUGAGUCACCGCCUCUCCCAUAAUAUAAUCUCUUUCUCCAAUCUGCUCUUGAGACCGACGGAAUUGUCUUUGCCACUGCUCAUUACUUUCUUCCAGAAGCUCUAUCUGGAUUUCACUAUUUUGCAAUGCAUUCUCUAGCCCUCCUAUUUGUCUUUUUAAUCUUCAAUUUUGUCUAAGCUCGCCCUUAAUUCAACCGUAGCAUUACGAUUACAGUACUGGUGAAGCGACCUUUCUAGUUCAGUUAUCCGGACCUUCAACUCCGUCUUCUCGUCUUGGCAAACUAGUAGACUCUUUCCCAAGGCGACUUCUCGAGCCCGAGUAUCCUGAAAUUUCUUUUCCCAUUGAUUAGCUUUCAUCUUUUCCUCCUGAAUUUCUUGUCGCCAUUGUUCUGGCGUUUUACCCAAGCCAGCAGCUCUUACCGACCUACGCAACUUCUUGUAAUCUGUCUUCAGGCUGUCCAAAUCUUCUUCUGCUUUGUUCUUUCCUUUUCUCAAUUUAUCGGCCUCUAACCUUUGAAUGUCCACAUCCAGUCCUAACUGCAUUUUUUCUUCCUCUAGUUGUUCUAUUUUCUUCCCCAAUUCUAAACUCCUUUUUUCAAAUUCUUGUUUGAUGAUUUCUAUCUCAGAAGGCAAAACUUGUAAAUGUUCCUCCAAAGAUCGAGCAGUUUCUGGAUUUGACGCCGGGAUGUUGUCGUUGAUCCUUUGAUCACGCCACCGACCAUACUCGGGGGUAAUUGUCGGACCCACGGCUAAGAUCUUCAUUCGACGAGUCUGGUUCCAGGCACUAGAUAUUUCCCGAACCUUCUUCUUGUAAUUGUCCUCCCUAUAGGAAAAAUCAUAAUAGGCCAACCCCUGCGUUGCUGGUAUGAAUUAUCGUGAUCUAUACUGUCUUGAUACGAAUAGAGGAGCAUAUCCGAUAGCUCCCCAUAUCCCGAGCAGCGGAACCCAGUCAAAAUCUCCACAUUGGUACAAUAUCUCAUCAGGAAUUAACCAAGGAGCCCUCCAUUCAAUAUCUUCAUCCUGGAGAUUCUGGAGUAUCUCUAUCCAUUUUUCUUCUGAAAUAUCAUCCCGUCUUGGCGUGGCCACCAAUUCUCCUAGAGGGGAGUAGCUAUCAGAGAAUACCCGAUAAGAGACCUUUUCGACUUUCCAGAAGUGGCUAUGGAACCAUGCCAAUAAAAGCUGCGCGCAUCCAAUAAACCUUCUCUCCCCUGCUUUUCGACACGCAUUCAAGGAUCUAAAAGUUUCAGCGAGUAUUGCCGGAACCGGCGUAACCCCUUUACUAAGCCGAUCAAACAAAUCAGAUACAGCCUCGUCUAUGUGUCCUAAAGCUUUGGGGAAAACCACUAGUCCAUAGAUACCUAAAGCGAAGACAUCGACCCUUUUCUUUAAGUCAGGAUGUACAAGCACCAAAUCUCGCAAACUUUUCCAAGGAACACAAUUACUGUUGCCCUUCUGUUGGAUCCGGGCAGCGACCCACUGCUCGCUCAUCCCAGUGAUGUUCAUUAAUUUCUUUAACAACGGAGGGACACAAGCAGCUCUGGAAUAAGCCUUGUCGACUUGAAUCUUUGGGCACCGAAGCAAGGUCGUAUACUCCUCCACAGUAGGCGUCAAAUCUACCUUCCCAAAAGUGAAACAACUGUAGGCAGGAUUCCAAAACUGAGCAAGGGCUCGGAAUAAAUACUUGUCCACUUUGACACUAAGCAGAUAAGGUAGGUCACCGUAGUUACAAUAGAACAGCUGCUUGGCCUCGACAUCCCAUUGAUCCCAGACUUCUUUCAUUUCUCGAAGGUCAUUCUGGAUUACACUGAUACGGGUAAAAUCCCACAAUUCUGACACGUACCCUUCGGUAAGACUAUCGCCUUUCUCCCGUUGUGUCGUUUCAGCCCAUAUUCGCACAGCCGCAUUAUCCUCUACUUUAUCAACAAACCCCUUUUCCAUGAUAAGCUUUCUACCAAGAAACUGAACGUAAAUCGACACCUCUUUUAGAAUGAAGAUGCCAUGCAAUCACAAACAAAGUAAAUUAGCAUUAAACACAGAAUAAGAUUUAAAAUAAGCGACAAAUAAAUACAACAUUCAUUUAGGUAAGCACUAAAAAUUUGGAGUAGCUCUACCUAGGUCAGUUCCUAUGGCUCAUUACAUGUGGUUUGGUUCUAAAGUAGGGUACCUGAACCAGCAAAUUCCUCGAUCCUCACCCAUUAUAGGCUCAUACGGACCAAGUUCGAUUCAGGGGGAUACAUUUCCCUAUGGCCAUGCGGAGAUGAAAAUCUCACGAAGACAUAGGUACGGAUAUAUCCCGAAAGCGAUUCACUAUCCCAUGCGGAGGUGAAAACCUCACGAAGGCGUAGCUUCUCACUCCCACCUAAAAAGGUGUGACCAACGGUCAUGCAAUGCAAUGCGGAAAGAUACCAAAAUUUAAACAAAUAGAGCAAUUAUAAACCCCAAUGAUGAUGAUUAUGAUAAAGACAGAUAAAAUGCGAUGAAAGGAUCGUAAUUUUAAACCGAAUUUUCAAUUUUUGACAAAAGACAAAAAGUAAUCACCACGUGGCUUGACCCUCUUAUCGGUGUCCCCAGUGGAGUCGCCAAGCUGUUGGCGCCAUUUUUUUUGAUGAAAACGGGGUCGACUUGGGUUUUGAAAAAUGAAACGGGAGUCGCCACCAAUCCUUUUUUAUGAGGUGUGAUUGGAUCACCUUGAAAAGUGGUUGUUUUUAAUAAACGGUUUAGUUUUAUUAAAACAACGAUUUUGGUCCACAAAAUUCAAAAAAAUGGGUUCGGGAGUCGGUUACGCACGAGGAAGGAUUAGCACCCUCGAUACGCCCAAAAUUGGUACCUAAUUGAUUACUUAAUGUCUUAAUGUCGAAAACUUUGAAGAACUUUAAAAAAUACGAUCCUUAUAUUAAAAUAAAAAUUUUUGGGAAAAGUAGCAUAUUUCACGUUAAUCGAGAAAGAGAAUCAUAUCCAGUAAGUUAGGAUACAAUGUCUCAAAUUCCCAACACGCAAAUGAAAAAUGCUUAUUUAAAAGAUAUUUUAGCCAUCUCGGAUUUAAAAAUGAGAUCACGACCCGUAAGUUAGGACGCAAUUUUUUAAUCCCGAGAUCAUUUAAAAUUUGAGUUUAAAAAGAUUCGUCAUUUAGAUUUAUCGUGAAAAUCGAAACCCAGUAAGUUAAGAUACGAUCCUCUCGAAUCUAAAGACGAAAUAUUAUUUAUUCAAAACAAAUUAUGUUAUGUCGAGUAAAAUAAAACACUAAAAUCGUAGUAAAAAAAUGUGAAAGCAAUUUGCAUUGUUGUUAUUCAUGGCAAAAUCAUAAUGAAUACAAAAGUAUAAAAUGAUAUGAGCAAUAGCAACAAUAAUAAAUAAACGUUAGUCCUACAAUCAUAUAAAAUAACAAUGUAUAUAAACAAAUAAAUCAAAACUUUCAUUCAAAAUAAUAAUAAAAUGAAAUAAAUAGUGAACACAAAUAAAACGUAAAGGAAUAUAUAUAUGUAUAGAAAUGUAAAUUAAAAUAUGUGUGUAUACGUAAGUUACAAAAUAUAUGAAAUAUAUAUAAAGUAUAUUUUAAAAUAUAAAGAAAAAAUAAAUAUGUAUGAAGUGUAUGUAAGUAUAUAAAUAUGUAUAUAUAAUAAAGGUGUAUGAAAAUAUAUUUUAUAUACAUGUAUUUAUAAAAAAAUGCAUAUAGAUAUAUAUAGAUGGUUUUAAGCUAUGAAGUAUGAAAAAUAUGUACAUGUAUGAAUUAUAAAAUAUAUAAAUAUGUACAUAUAUAUAUGUAAAAAUAUGUAUUUAUAUAUUUAUAAAGGUUAGAAAUAUGUACGUGUAUUAUAAAUAUAUAUGCAUAUAUAAAUAAAUUAUAAAAUAGGUAUGUUUAUAUGUAUAUAUAUAUAUAUUACAAAAAAAUGUGUAUAAGUAUAUGUAAAAAUAUAUAAUAAUAUAUGUAUAUAUCUAUAAAAGCAAUUAUAAUAAUAAUAAUAAUGCAAUAACAAUAAUAAUAUAAAAUUUGUAAAGAAAAUAAACAAAUCACUAAAGGAUUAGAUUAAACAUUAAACAAGAUUCGGGGGGUUCAAAGCGCAAAUAAACGAAAGGGGAGGGAUUGCUCUGAACACGCAUGUAACAUGGAGGGACCAUCAAAGAAAUUACCCUUCCUUUAAAACGGCGUAGUUCGAGUAAGGACGAAGUUGAAAAUACGAAAAAAUUUUGGGUAAAUUUAAAAGAUCAAAAGAACCUAAUUUAAAAAGCAUUAAAAAAGCGGAAGGGCUAAAGGUGCAAUUAGCCCUUCCGUCAAAAACACGCGGAUCCCUAGAUCAGACGGGUCGGGUCGCGGGUCGGAUCUCGGUUUAGACGCAAAACGGCGUCGUUUGAGGCCGAAUGAAACAGGCCAAAACGACGCCGUUUCAUUUAGGUAUUUAAACCAAUUUUUGUUUAAAAAAAUCAUUCAGCCCCAUUCCCCUUUUUUAAAAAAACUAAAAACUUCUCAGUUCUCUCUCCCUCUUCCCCUUUCUUGAUCUCGGGUCCGGCCGAGGGCCACCUUGUCGGCCGUCGGAUCGCCGGUGCCAGUGACGCCGUACACGGUGGCCGGCGAGUGGAGAAAGGCGUUGCCCUUAGAGAUGCCUAUCUCCUAAACCCGAAUCCGGCCUCAAAAUGACCAAAAACGAAUGGGAAAAGGCUGUUAGGCUUCUCUACAGUCGGUUUCCUCACCGGAGAAGGAGUUUCCGACGAGGAGGAAACAGCGACCCGCGGUGAGUCUCUUUUUUCUUUAUUUUAUGUUUUUUAUUUCGUUUAAAAAAUCAAAAUAAAAUAAAAUAAAUACAACGAAAAAAAGAAAAAGUAAAUAUUGCAAUCGAAAACCCAGGGAAUCACCUUGAAGCUUGAUAUUUUUUAUUAUUCUGUUGAAAUUUGUUUUCUUGGUUACAAAUCGAAAAAAGAAAAAGAAGCCCUUUUGAUUUUUUCAAUCGGCCUUAUAUAGCCAAACUACAAAAUAAAAAAUCUCCUUUUGCUAUCCGUAUUUGCUGUUGCUUGUUGGUGUUUGUUGCAGGUACUGGCGGAGCAGUUGGAGCAGGUGAGUCGGUGGCAAGUGGGCGUGGUGACGGCUGUGAACAGAGGGCAGGUGAGGAGGCCAGGAGCAGGUGCGGCACAACAGGGGGCUAGGGUUUCUGCUAGGUGUUUAUGUUUUGGGCUGAUUGGGUUAGGCUAGUUGGGCCUGGGUAGUUUUUAGGUUAAAAUUUGUUAUUGGGCCCUGGGUCAAAAAUUGGGCUUGUACAAUAAAAUUAUUUUUAAAAAAUAAAAAUUAUUAAAAAAUACAAAAACAAUAUUUUUAAUAGUUUAGAGAUGAAUUAAAUGCUAACAUGUCAUCUACUCAGCAAUCCACAUGUAUAACACGUCAUGAAAGUUAAUAAACAUUUAUUUUUUCAUCCACUCUGGAGUGGCUUGACAGAAAAUGUAAAUUCAAGUGUUAAAAGAAGCGAAAAUUUUAAUGGAGGGCUAAAAUGACUUGUUUUGUGAAGUUGGAGGGCCAAAAAAUAAUUAUGCCAAAACUAAAUGAUUAAUAGAAAACAAGGGGAAAUUUGCAUGCAUCUAUAUAAUUUUAUUUCAAACCAUUGUCAUUAUCUUGAGAUAUACAUUGGCAAACAUUCAUUGAAUAUACCUUGGGAAAAAAAAAUACUACAAGACAACGAAAUUAAAUAUCAUAAUCAAAUGUUGAAAAUGAAUGAUAAGAAAUUUAAAUUAAAAAUCAAACAUAGUAGGCUUGAUGUGCAAGCUAUCUGCAAUCUUUUUUUUUAAUUGUUUUAUUAUAUAGAUUUUAAUAUUUCUUACGUCUUUUAUCAGUCAAUUUGAACUGAUGCAUUCAUUUGUUUCAUUCAUAUGGUGUUGGAUCACAUUAAAAAAUAUAUACAAUUAAUUAAUCAUUUUUAGCUUAAUAAAAAAUAUAUAAUCUUGAUUGGUAUGAGUAUUAUUAUUAAUGUAAGAGGAUCUAGUUUUAAGUGUGCUUAAGCGCAUUAUCCUCCUAUUUAUGGGUUGAGGAGGGGUUAUGGGUAAUUUUAGGCAUUAUGUCAAAAAGAGCAUAUAUGAUCAGAACUUGUAAUGAAAUUAUUAAAAAAAAUGUAUAAACAUAAACAAUUUUGUUUACAUAAUUUUUAGAUAUAAAUGAGCUUUGGAUUCAAAUAAUUUUGUGUUGCUUGAGGUUUUCGGAUCUAUUUACUCUCAUUUAAGUUGUAAAGUUUUUACGAGAGGUAAAAUGUAAUUUCAUUAUUUUAAUAGCUUACGUCUUUAUAAUUAAUUAAAGGUUAAAUCAAAAUUUUAUUAUUUUUGAAAGCUAAUGUGUGAUUUUUACCAUGUAGUAAUUUUUAUAAUUUAUAAAAUUUAAAACACUAAAACAUAAACUUACCAUUUUAGGGUGCAGAGCCAGCCCCUAUAUUUUGAAUUUGAAGCAAUUUAAGUUUAAAUUUGUAAUUUUUUAUGAUUAAAUAAAAAUAAAAUAAGCUUUAUUUUAAAUUGAUCAAGUAAAAUUUAUCAAGUCAAAUUUUGAGUUAGAAAUCAAAAUUGUGAGGUUUACCUAUAUUAAGAAAAAUUAGCUACUAAAAAAUUGUUAAUAUAUAAAUUUGUGUGUUGGCUUGUUGGUCAGGGUAUUCAUCGCCCCAAAUGUGAUUUGGGUUCGAGUCGCGUUACUGUUAACGUUUUGUCAUCCUCUUGUAAUUUACUAAAAAAUUGUUAAUAUAUAUUAUAUAAAGAUAGUAAACUGUUGACUAACAUAAUGUCAUCAUUCAUAGAGGAAAAAAAAAGGCACAUUGAUCAUAUUUUCAGCCAUCCAUAAAAUAGCAGUAAAAUAAUUGACUUGAGAAAUAACACAUAAAAUCAUAUGAUAUAUUUGAUACACUGAGAGCAUUGAAGAGUCAUUUGAAUCAUCGUAAAAGACAAAGUAGACAAUUCAGUGACGAAAUUCUCAAUAUAUAUAACUACGAAAUUCCACACAAAAUUGUGAAAACAACGAAAAAUAUCUAAUAAAAAUAAACCAUUCAAACAAGACCGCUUGACUCUUUGAGUAAUGAAUUUUUUUUCACAAUUAAUUUAACAUGUUUUUCCAAUUUGAAUAGUAAACACUAUAGUUGCAAUUCAGUCAAUACUAGAAAUUUAUAUUUUAAACCCAUCGUUUAGAAUAUUCCAUUUUUUACAUUGGAAAUAACACAAAAGAUUCAAAGGAAAAAUAAGCAAAUUUCAUCAAAGGCGUCUAUUUGUAAUGGAAAAUUUAUAAUGUGGAUCCUUGUAUUAUAAACUAAAGAACAAAUUAACUCCUUAAGUAUAAAAGUGAGCAAUUUAGUCCUUUAGGUCUUUUCUCUUUUUUCUCCAAGCCGUUUGUUUCUUCUUUUUUGUUUUGCGUAGCAACGGUGGCAAUCUCCGGGCUGGCUACUGCCCACCUUUUGCUCCCUCCAUUCCAUAUGUUUUCUCUCUUUUCAAUUGAUACAUCUAUUUUGUAGGUAUCUUUGUUGCCUUCACAUGUUGUGAUGGACAGAUGAUGAUGCCUAUCGUCGCUGAAAUUACCCUGGCCAUCAACAGUUUCUCUAAGAAAGUGGGUGACUUUUAAUUGGCUCUUGAUCUAUUUUUGUUUGGAGAGUAUUUUAGAAUAAUAAAUAAUUUUACGAAUCAGUUUGGACCUCUAGUAUUUUAAGUCGUCACCAUUCAUUCCAUGAAUGGAAUCAUAUCAUUUAUGUAAAAGAUAAAACUUAAACAUGUCUUUAUAUUUGUAAAAACUUAACAAUAAGAAGGCUUGACUAUUUGAAUAAGUUAUUUUUCACAAUAUUUUCAAUUUGAAUUGUAAGUACUCCAUAGUUGUAUGAUUCAGUGAAUACUAGAAAUUUAUAUUCAAAACCCAUCAUUUAAAAUUUUCUGAUACAUUAGAAUUGAGAAGAAAAAUAUUUAGAGUAAGCAAAUUUCAGCAAUGGCGUCUAUAUUUAUAAUUGAAAGUUAUCAAUAAAAUUAAUAUCUUAUUUCUUUUUAAUAUUUUAUUGUGCAUGCGUAGUUUUACUAAUGGCAUUGAUAUCCCAGAAUUAAAAUAUUUCCAACAAGCAUGUGCUCUAUUGAUUGACUUUAAAGUCUCUAGAUUUUUAAAAUGAAUUUACUAAAAAAAUGAAAAAAAAUUAUUAGAAUUAAUUUUUAUUAAUUGAUAAUAAACUUAUGAAUAAUUAAGUAUUACAUUUUUAUUAAUUCCAAAUCAAACUUCUUUUUUUUAUAUAAUACCUAAAACUACUUAUAAUCCCUUCCUAAUCCUUAAAUAAGAAAAUAAUGUGUUUCAACAUAUUCAAACCCACAUCUUCCUGCACUGACAGAUUAUAUAAAUUUAAAUAUUCAAUAUAUAUAUUUCUCUAAAACUGACAUGUUGAAAAAGGAAAUCACAACUAUAAAACAAUCAUCUUCAAAGUUUCAAUAAUAAAAUAAGUAUAAUACAAAUUUAAUGAUAAAUUCAUGAUGUGUUAGGAUAUAAAACUAAUAUUUUAAAAAAACGAUAUGAAAUUAUAAAUUCUAUUGUGAUUAUAGUAUAUUUAUAAAUGAAUGUUGGGAUAAUUAUAAAAUGGAAUUAAAUUAAUAUAAAAUACAUUAAAAAUUAAAAUAAUUAAAACUAAAAUUGAUUCAUUGGACAAAAAUAUACACUUAACAACGACGCAUUAUAAAAGUAAAGAUCUAGAUAUGAUAAUUGCAUAUAAUAAAAUUUAAAUAUAAAUAUAAAAUACUUAAAAAUUUCAACCAACAAUAUCUUCGUUAAAAUUAUAAAUUCGCUUGAUUAUUUUCCUUUGAUUUAACACAUCUUCUUUUGGUAGCCGUCUGUACCUGACUCGACCAGUUAACCCACAAAACAUUUUACAUGUACAAUAAUGACACAAUUUCGCUCAGGCCUAAUUUACAUAUAAAUACAAAAUUACAAAUCCAAAUAAAAAUAUUACAAGCCCAAAUGUAAAAAGGAAGCCCAGUGGCCCAAAAAACUUAAACAUUUUCAGAAGGACAGAAACCUUAGCCAGCGCGCCGCCCUCUCUGCUUUGCCAGCGGUUUCGUUGCCUGAGGUUUGACGCCUCAUCUGCCAGUUGUCGCCAUCGACUAGGGACACUUGCAAAAAAGGAAGAACAAGGACAGAAGCACAACACCCAAGAAAAAACAGUAGAAACAGUAGAAAAACAGUAAAAAAGAGAGUGUAAUUCGACUAUAAAAGCCAUGACUUUUAUGUAUUUCUUUACAAGAAAAAAAGGAAUAAAAAACAGAACACAAAGAAAACAUUUUUAAAGGUGAUUUUCUUCAUUUUUUUAUCUGUUAUUUUUAGAAAAAAAACAUAAAACAUAAAAUCAAAAAAACUUACUGAGCCGUUUCAUGUUCCACCGCCGCGAGUAGACGAGGACACCGUCCGCGAUGACGGACGGCUCCCUUCGGUGAGACCUCCGAGUCACUUCUGUUUUGUCUAAGGACCACGGCGGAGAAAACCAAGGGGUUGUUCAGAUUUUUUUUAAUUUUUUGUUGGGUUUUGGAAAGUACUGACCCCGGAUUCGGGCUCAAGAAGCCGUAACGGCCAAAAAAUGGUUGCUUGUAGAUUCUAGCCACCGGGAACAGUGAAAUCAUCGCCGGCGCCAGGGGCAAACGUGGAAAACCGAGAGAGAAAAAAAGACUCAGUUUUUUUAAGAAAAACUAAACAUAAUGAUUUUUUUUUUUUAAUUUGGCUUAUAUAGGCGAGGCUAAACGACGUCGUUUAAAGCUGGCUUCAAUAGCCCCAAAACGACGUCAUUUUGAAACAUGACCCGAAUACAAACAGGAUCCGCAUGUUUUCUUAAGAAAGGGUCUAAUUUUUACUUCAGUCCUUCUGCUUUUUAAUUGAUUUUCAAUCUAGUCCUAUUUCUUUUUUUUUAAUUUUUGCCCAGUGAUUUUGUUUCUUUUUAGUCCCUCAUGGAACGGUGUGUUUGCGGGCCUGGGAAUAAUUUCCUAGUUGGUCCGUCCUUGUAAUACCCCAAAAAUUACUACAGGAAUAAAGUAAUAUAGUAUCCUUGAUAUAGUAAAAUCAGGAAAUAAAGUGACAAAAAGGGAAAUUUUGAGUUAUGUCAACAUUGGGAAGUAUAUUAUGACAUAUUAAUGCAAAAAAAGAUUAAAUCGCAAAAGUGAGAAAAGUUUUGUUGCCCAAGAGUAAAUACUCAAAAAUUGAGGGGUUAAAGUGUAAAUAUAAAAAAGUUCAAAGACCAAUAGUGAAAAUAUUUUAAGGGUGGAAUGAUAUAGAAAAUAAGGAAAAUGGAUGAAUUAUGACCAAAUUGAAUAGGUGAAGAAUUAUGAUGGACUAAAUCAUAAUUUUACCAAAUUAAGUGAUGACUCAAUGAUGGAAUUUUAAAAGAUCAUGAAGGGCAAAAUGGUCAAUUAGAAAGAGAGAGAACUCUAAAAGGUAAUGAUGAUGUUGGUGAUAUUUUUAAUUAAUUAAUUAGAUAAAUGUUAUUUAAUUAAUAUUUUAUUUAGAUUUUUAGUAUUAUUUUCUUUAUAAUUUGGUUAUUUUACCAAAAAUUCACCAUUUUCACUUAGAAAUCAAAAGAAUUUCUAUAGCUACCAAGAGAGAAAAAUAAUAAGGAGACAAUGGGGAACUAGAAUAUCAAGUUAGAUUCAAGAAAUAGAAGCUGGAGGAGAGAGAAAAUUAAGUUAAAGAUUGAAAUCAAUAGGACAAGGUAAGAACCUCAAAUUUCAAUAUAUUUUUUAGUUUGAUAUUAUUGAAAAAGUAUGAAAUUGAUGGCAAAGUAGAGUUUUAUUAUAUAAGAUUCUAUGUUCUUGAUAUUCUAGUGAAGGGAAAUAAGAGGAAGUGAUGGGAAAUAUUGUAGAGAAAGGAAAGAAGGGUGUUAUAAAUUUGGUUAUCAACAUUUUACACUAAAACAGUUUUGGACAACAGCAGUAGUCUGACUUUGAAAAUUCACCAAAAAACGUAGAAAUUGAAUUAGAGGUUAAUUAAAGUAUUAAAAUAAAUCCUAUUAAGUCUAGUUUUACAUGGAAGAAAUGAUGUAAGCAAAAGAAUUUCAUAUUAAGAGAUAUAUGAAUUUUUGUGAGACAGGGUCAGAUUGAUUUCGGGUUCCCCUGUUCUGACUUUGGAAAAUCAUCAAAAAAUUUUAAAAAAUAAUUAGGGGUUUAAAUUUAUUUUUUUAAAUUCUUGAUGAGUCUAUUUUCAAGAGAAACAAACAGAAACAUCAUCCAGACACCGUACUAAAAGAUAAUUAAUUUUUAGCAAGAAAAGGUCAAAGCUAUCAAACAGCAGAAUAUGGAUAAAUUUGAAGCAUUUACUGUACUUAUAGACUAAACUGUAAAUUCUAAAAAUUUUAUGGUGGAAAGAUAUUUGAGUCUAGUUUCAAAAACAUCAAUCAAAUCUUAAUUUAGAAUUCUGUAGCUCGAGAUAUAAAUAAAUUAUUGACCGUGAUUCAAGUGGACAGCUUUGAUAUGAACAUAAGUAAAUAGUAGAAUUAUAGAUAAUAUUACAUAUAAGCAUAAUAUAUACAUUAAGGAUGUGGAAUGGAGAGGAGGAGGAGGAGGAGGAGGAGGAGGAAAAUAUAUGAAUAUUCAACUAGCAUGAGUUUUCAUUAAAAAUGGCUAAUUUGCAUGUUUUAGGUUCAGAGACUAAAUUGAAUAAAAGUAAAAUUUUAAGGGUAAUUUUGUAAAAAUGUCAAAAAUGACCAAAUUGUAUGAAAUAAAUUUUUUUAUUAUUUAAAUUAAUAAAUUGAAUGAAAUAUUAAUUUAGAUCAAGAUUGAGUGGAAAAUCGAGGGAAAUGGAAAAUUACUAAAAUGCCUCUGUAUAUUGGUAUUUAUGCAAUUUGGGCUGGUAAGUUCGUAUGAACUAUAUUCUGUAUAAUUUUGAUUAAAGUGAAUGAUAUUUGGUGAUGGAUAUUAUAUAUAUGUGUGUUCAAUUGUUGGAAUUGAAUUUAAUACUCAGUUUGGAUUGAAUGCGGGAUUGACUACAAUCGUUCUGUGGCAAAGGAUGAAUUGACGGAUAAGACCAUAACUAGGUUAUGACACUAUGAACGUAAGACCAUGGUUGGACCAUGGCAGUGUUUUUAUGUAAGACCAUAGCUGGGCUAUAGCUUUCUAAUGAGACCAUAACUGGGUUAUGGCACCUUGAACGUAAGACCAUGGUUGGACCAUGGCAGUAUAGAUACAUGUGUAAGACCAUAGCUGGGUUAUGGCAUUCUAAUGAUAAGACCAUAAAUGGGUUAUGGCACUACAAAUGUAAGACCAUGGUAGGGCCAUGGCAAUGCAUGUGUAAGACCAUAGUUGGACUAUGGCACAAAAAGUAUAGCUAGACAAAAGAUUUUUUUUUUUUUUUUGCAUUUAAACUUCUGAAGUAUCUUUGAUGAAAGAGGUGGUGGAAAUAACGAUAGCUCCAAUGAAGAAGAAGACAAUGUCUUAUAUGACUCAAAAAUGGAAGUACCUAGGGAUGUUAAUACUAAAGUACUGAGAGCCAUUAAAGGAGAUUGGGUUUACAGUGAGUGUAAUUCACACCAACAUGCUAAGAACCACUAGAGGAAGUAAAUAGGUUUGGAGAUAUCUAGAGUUAUGAAUGAACUUAGACAAGGCUAUUAUGGAAAAUGAAUAUACCUCUUCUUAGAGAAAAAGGUAACUUUAUAUAGAGAUUUGUGUACAUCUUAUUGUGAUGGUGGUCUACCUCAGGCUCAGUUGUAAGGCCAAAAAAGCCCUGUUAGGCAAUGACAUGUGAUAGUGUAUGGAGUUUGUACUAAAGUUAUGGAGGGUCCUACUAGGAUGUGGUAGAAAGGACCUCUGAGUAGGCCCUAAUGAGACUCAGCACUGGGACUUGAUUUGACAAUGGCGCAUGUAAGGAGAUAAUUGAAAGCUUGAAUUUGGCAAGCCCUUUCAUGGGCGAGCCCUUCUAGAUAAAAUUGGUUGACUUAGGGCCAGAUUUUCAUUGCUUUUGAGAAGUGCUUCUGAGAAGUGCUUUUGAGAAGUGCUUUUUAGAAGUGCUUUUGAAAAAUUUGAGUGUUUGGCAUUGCUGUCAAAAAGUGCUUUUGAAGAAUAAAAUGUCCAUUUUAGACAUAAGAUUAUAAAGUAAUAAAUAUGUAUUUAAAUAAUGUUCAAAUUAGUUAAUAUUAUGGUAUUUUAGCAAAAAUAUAAAAAAAUAAUUUAUUAUAACUUAUUGUUAAUAUUUUAAUAUAUAAUAUCAAUUUUAAAUAUUUCUAAGUAAUUAAUAUUAAUUAUUUAGAAAUAUUUAAUUAGAAUAUAUAAACUAUAUUUAAAUAUUUAAAUAUAAAAAUUAAAUAUUUGUAAUUAGAUAUUUGAUGGGCUACUUUAACACUAAAAUUAAUCAAACAUAAUACUAUCUAACUAAAAUCUAAAAUCUAAUCACUAAAACCCAAUAUUAAACUUAGUAAUUCACUUAAAAAGAGCCUAAAACUAAGUGUGAAUUUAACUCUAAAACAUAUAUUAAUUAAACACCUAUCAAUUUCGUUCCAACUGUCAUUGUAAUGUAAUGUUAUAAUGUUUUUGUUCUAAUAUAUGACAAUGCACAUUGUUUAUCAUAUUUUUGUUCCGAUUUAAUGCACACUACCAUUUUAGUGUAAUGUUUGCCAAUAAUUGUUUCAAAAUGGUAUGAACUUUGGACCAAAAGAAUAAAAAAAGUUAUAUAAACAACAAUUCAAUAGAAAGCCGACAAAAUUAAUUGAAGUUGGUUCGAUUCGGUUAAUUAUUUUAACAGAAAAAAGGUCAAUUCAACUAACGGUUUAGUUAAUUAUAAUUCAAUUAACAAUGGAUCGAACUAACUAUUUCAUCACCCUUUAGAUUAAAUGUUUGAGAAUAUAAAACAAAAUACUUAGAAUUAUAAAAGAAAACAUAGUUUCAAUUGAACAAUUUAGCGUGCAAUGGAUACUAAGAUUCUAAUUUGAGGGUAAAAUAUGGAAUGCCCAUAUUGUAAUCUGUGGUGCUUUAUUAACUGCUGAUAUCUUUAACAACAUAAAGCUACAAUCCAGGGUCAAGGCGAGGCUUUCAAGGCAGCUUCUCCUAGUUUACCUCUGAGCAAGUGAUGGAUUGUAGGGUGCUCCCCAAACUGAGCUACGGACAGUUUGACUACCGGUUGCAACAAUAAACGUGAGGGAAGGUUAGAGCACAACUAGAUGGUUCUACUUUGGUUCUUAGUAUGAAUUUUCUGACAAAACUGCAAAUAAGCGGGAAAGGUUGCAUUAUUUCACAGGACAAGCUAGCCCAGCCUGAUGAUAAUACGUAAGUCGUGAAGAAGGUAGCCUGCAGACAAGAACAAUUUCAGUUAGAUGUAAUCCUGAAGAUACACAAUCACAUGCCAUAAAAAAGUGAGAAAAGCAAUCUGUCCUAUGUGAGUGCCUACAAAAGAGAGCGCUUAAUAGUGUAUUUCAUGCAUCUCAAUAGACCAAGGUAAAAUCUAAAUCUAAAUGCAUAUAACAACUUGCCAUGAAUGGAGGUGUUGAGGUUUUAUUAAACCAACAAUUGAGGACGCAUGGAAAGGUUACGUGGGUUGGCACUGCUCUGGCAAGUUGUUUAGGUGCAUCUUUAAAACUUGAGAAAACAGUCAAUUGCCUGAUGAUGGAUCCAGAAAGGACAUUAACAAAGAAAACAUUCCAAAUUGUGAAGUACAGAACUUUGAUGCAAGCACCCCAUUUCCUCUGACUACGUGAAAUAUUCCCCUCCAUUGUAGAAAACAACAUCAUGGUUGGUGGAACAGCAUACAGAAAUAAGAUUAGAAUCACACUUGGUAAGUAACCUGUUACCACCCGGUGUAUGAACUCCCUACAUAGCAGAAUAAACAAGAUAGAUUCACAAUGAGUGCCUGGUUCCUUCUCUUUUAAUUCCUUCAAGUUUCCACUUAAAAACAAUGAUAUUUGUCCUAUCUACAUGUAUUAAUACACACCAAGAGCUUGGGUGAGUUUAAUGCAGUUAAAUAGCAAUGACAUCACUAUAAUAAGUUGUAUCUGGCUAUUUAUGUACUCUAGAUUGUCUUUCAGAGCCUUCAAUCUAGACCUGUUCUCAGUAUGCGCCACAAGCAAUAGCAGAUAUAGGAGUAUUAACAGGGUUCACGAUUAUGGAUCUUUUCAUGCAGGUUUCUAUAUAGAGUUUGUUGCAUCAGGCAUCAGUCAUGACUGCAAUGUGAUAUGAAAGCAGCAUAAUUGAAAAAAAAAUAACAAGCUUAUACUGGUUUUGCAAUAGAGUUUGGGGAAUGAUACUCACUGUUUUUAAAUUCCUUUAAGAAAUGGAACUCUACGUGAUAGCUGGUCUAAGUGCUCUAGUUGAGUCAAGCCUUGCACAAAUGUAACAGGAAGAAGAAACAGGAAUUGAAAUGUUGAACCACUUCAAGAUGUUUUGAACUUAAAUUUGAGACUUAAUUACCUGAAAACAACUAUUCUCAUGAAAGCUACAGCAUCGUAACAUAAAUAGACUUAAUUACUCGGUUACUAACAUGAAAUUAAUUAAACAAAACAGCAACAGCAACAGACCCUUUAUGCUAACCGCAUUUCUUAAGAAAAAAGAAAUACCAAACAUAAAUAGAAAAAAGAAAGAAAAAAGAAGAAGAAGCAACAAAACAGCAACAACAACAGACAAGCUUUUUCUCUUAUCAGGGUACACAACAAACAUUCCCACAUUUCUUAAGAAAAAAGAAGAAGCAACAAAUGGAAUUGAUUGGGGAAGUUCAACAAACAGAAGGAGAGCAAAAUAAGACAAUGAGCAAAAUACCAAACAUAAAUAGAGUGUGUGCUUGGCUGCAUCUCUUUGAUCCCAGCUACUGUAAGCCUUUAUAUGUAACCAAAGCAAAGCACCGCCCCCACUUAUCUGACUCACCCACCCACCAGAACCUUCAGACCAUUUUGCAGACUUAUGAUAACACAGAUAAAAUAAAUCCUAAAGCCAAACAUGUGUAUGCCUUGUGAAAGUUACGGCACAAAAGAACAGAGUAUUUUAUAACAAUGAAGCAUGGCAAUCAAAUUCCAGCGAAAGAAAAUAUUAAACAGAAGAGGAACUAAUUAAACAGAAGAAGAAUUAUAAAAGAAACUCUCACCAGCGGAAGAGGAACAAAGAACAGAAAAUAGCUUUGAAAGCCGAAAAUGGGGAAAAGAAAUUGGGUAUAAAGCUCCAAUUUCACCAGCAGAGGGGAAAGAAAAUUUGGGGAACCAGCAGAGGGGAAAAAAACGUUUGGGGGAGAAUUUGGUCAAUAAUCAUCCAAAAGCAGUUAACGCUGAAGAAAAGGAGAAAAUUUUAGCUUCUCCAUCUAGAGAGAAGCACUUUUCUGAUGGAGAAUUUGUAAGAGAAAAGGAGGUUGUUCUUGGUUCCUUUUAAGAGAAAAGUGCUUUUUAGUGAAAAAGUGCUUUUCAAACGGGAAAAAGAACGGGCCCUUAGCGAGGUGUUUAAGUAUAAUAAUUUUCCUUUAAAAGUUGAGGAAGAGGUUAUAAAGUGGCUUUUCCCGAGAACUUUUUUUGGCGAGGUGCUCUCCUUUCGAUGAUGAUGUGAUGUGUUGUCUUUGGCAUGCCUAAAAAGGAGAUGUUGGACGGGUAGGUAUUUUGUUGGUGUACCUUUUUCAUGAUCUUAACAAGAUUAAAAAGGUGAGCUUAAGAGUCAAUUCUAAAGGGUGGGCUAGUAAUGGAAAGGCUUGAAUAGACAAAGGUAUGCUUGGCUAGGUGAGCUCGUUGAGGCAAGGCCUGAAAGUCUAUUUGAAAGGUGAACCUUUAUUGUAUGCAAUCUCGAAAGAUAAAGUUACGUUAAAGAAGAAAACAUCGUUGAAAGUGGAAACAACGGUGGUAGAUAGGCCAACAAAGAGGAAGAGCACGACAAGAUCACACUCCAAAGUUAUAGCGACAAAUUAGAGUAGAUUAUAUUUUCUAUUGCUAUAUAGUUAUUUCCUUUUGGGGGUUAAUAUUUUUCACAAAUAUUAUCUUUUUUUUCUUUUUAUUUUUUAUGGUUACUUCAUGUCGGGGAUAUAAUGUUUGAACGAGAAAUUUAUUACUUUCUUCAUUAUGUUAAUUAAUUUAUGAGUGGGGAAUUAAACGAAACGAUUUUUUCAAUUGAGUAUUUGAUUUCACAUUCUUCUCCAAUAAUAUCAUUCAAACAACUACUACAUUGAAAUAGACUAUUUAUUCUUUACAAUUACCUACAAAUUAGAUGAGUGUUAAUUCAUGUGGGCAUUUCAUAUUUGAUAUUAGUAAAUUGUAAAUUUGAAUAAAGGAAAACCUAUCUCUUAAGUGGUAAUUUUACUGGAUUCUUUUUACUAUUUUGAUCCCAUUUAUGAUAUUUGUUACUCUUCCUAUUCUCAUACUCUAUAUAUAUUCAUGAAUGCCAUUAAAUAAAUAAACAAUUAAAAGAAAAGAAAAUAUGAAACAGAAGAAAGCUUUUCUUGAAAAAAGAGCAGGACUUUGAUGGUAAAAAGGUAGAAAAAACUUCAUUGGAUUAAUAUAAGGUAGUGAGUACAAAUCUAAUCAAUUUGGACUUUUUCUUUAUAUGAUAUGUAUGAAUAUUAUAAAACAUUAUUACUUAAAAUUUAAUAUUUAUUCCUUAAGGAAAAAGCUUGAAGAGGAAAUUUUAAUAUAAUUUCAAACUGCGAUUGGUUCAAUCAGCAAUGAAGUAAUCCCACCCUUAGCUGCUUUUCCAACAUAUGUAUAGCCAUCUCCUUCACUGUAAAGCACAUCCAUCACCCUUGCAAGGUUUAGACUACGAUUUAAAACUUCUGUUGGCAUUUCUGUUGGUUUCAAAAACUCUUGAUUUACAUCCUUCCACGCACUCUCAACAUGCUUGUUGAAUACAUCAUAUGCCUCUUCUGCUGUUACGCCAUAUUCUUCCAUAUAACACUCGAUUGCUGAGCAAUCGUCUUCUCUCCUAUGCUUGAACUGCAACCAUAAUAAAAUCAAAAUUAUUCUAUCACUAUAUACCCUAAAACCUUUCAUAUUAUUAAACUAUAUUUGUUUAAAAUGAAACUAGAUUUAUUUUCUUAUUUUUCGAUUUAAGACUAAACAUUUGAUAUGUCAACAUUAAACUUUAAUUGUUUCAGAUCAUGAUAAAAACCAUCAUUUAAUUUUGUUACAAAGACAUUCAAUUAUUGAGCUAAGAGUUCAGUUUCUUGUGAUCAUAUAAAUAUAUUAUUAUACCUUGUGUUCAGCAACAUCAUCCAUAAACCUACAAAUUAUUGUGGAAGCUUGAAUGAUCUUAGGGUUAUUAGUUGCCCAUUUAAAGGUCUCUGGUGUUACGAUAUCUCCCAUGCCGACGAAAGAUGUAAUAGCAAGCAUUUCAUAACCACAAGUUGGCAAUGCAUUAGCCUUAAACUCCUCGAAUGAUGGUUUGUAGUUUUGAAGAGUCCAUUUGAACUCCACAAGGUAAGAUUGAGCAAGUCGUAUCAUCUAAGACAACAAAGUCUCAACAAUUAUCACUAAUAUCAAUUAAAAUUCAAUAAUAAUAUUUAAAUGAUUAUAUAUUGUUAUUCAAGUUAGUUGUUUAUUCAAAUCUAGAAUUUAGCUAAGAUCUUAUCUCUUUUGUAUAAAAUAAAUGUUUGCAAAUGUACAUACCGCAUUCUUCGCAUACUCGACACGAUAUUGUCUCCCAUUCUCAGCCACCAAUUGUAUCAUUUCUUCAUAAACAUCUAAUAGUGCCUUGUAGCUUGGUUUCAUAUAUUCAGGAAGUUCAUCUAUGCAUUUGAUAUCCCACCUGAAUCAAACCUCAACAUUAUAUUUGAUCAUUCCUCGUAAUAUAUACUUGAAUGUUCACUUGAACAAAAAAAACCUAACCUAUUACCAGCAAAAUUAAAGAAAUCUAACCUCUCAAUUGCAUUUGUAUAGGGAAUGAGCUCUUCAUAUGUUGCAUAUGAGUCAUAUGUAUCAUCUACAAUAGAUGUCAUUGCUAUCACUUUUGUCAACAUCUUUCUACCAAGUGAAUAUUGGGGCUCAAAGUACACUCCCGAGAUCCAAAAAUAACCUUCAACCACUCUAUCUCUUGCAUAUGGCAACUUUCUUUGAAAGUCUAAAUCCUUCCACCACCUAAAAAAUCAUAUUAUAAAAAACACCAUUAACGCAAUGACCAUACAAAGUUUUAAUUAGUUCCACACUCAUGUUGUCAAUGAGUAAAUUGUUAAACUCUUAAGUCAAUCGGGAACCUCAAAUUUUAAAAAUUAUAUAAGUAAAAUGAAAUAGGUGAAAAAGAUGAAUCUAAAGUUAAAAUGAAAAUGGUGAAAAAGAUGAAUCUAAGGUUCAUGCCAUCACUUUUAACUUGUGCUAUUUAAUAAGAUUCAAAUAUUAGCAUUUGCAACUCGUAUCCUAUACUGAGAAUGAUGCCUCCUAUAAAUUCAACCCCCCCUUCCACCAAAAAAUUAAAAAAAGAUGAAAAAGAAAAAAAAAUGGGUGAAAGAGAUUAACAAAACAUACCUACAAAUCUCACUUAGUUCUUUCCUAUGCAAAAAUUGUAACAUGUUGAAAUCGAUCUUAGCAAACUCCAACAAAGCCUUAUUAUGGGACUCAAUAUCUUGGUAUACUGAAAGAUAGUGCCUUGCCUCAACCCUUGGCAAGCCUCUUCGAAUUGAUUGUUUCAAAGCAUGAGAAACCUCUUCGGACAAAGGAUGGUCCAAAGAUGCUACUGCAAGGCUUAAAUGGUUGGUGGUGAAAGAAAUUGCUUCAUCCAAUAUAUCUUCCCCAUGAACCCUCAAAUAGGAAGCUUGGUAAAGUUCCAACAAUCCUCGAACAUCGCUUGUCACGGAUGACUUGAAAUUCCCUUGCUCGUCUCUAAACUUGUUGAAUACGUCUGAGAUGAAAUUACCCAAAAUGAAAUAUCGUUAUCAAACAUUCCAUGCUAUUAUAUUCUCAAGAAACUUAAAAACAGUAUGUUGUUGUUCCAAUAAUUACCGCAUGAAACAUUGUAUCCAUGCUCUCGGAGUAGUCGGAAUCUAAGAGAUGUAGUGUAGAGGUCGUUCUCGGCAUCAUUGUUGUUAUGGUAGAUAUUCUCUAGUUCAUCUUCGAUCUCCUUGGUGAAAUGGUAACUCACACCCAGUCUUUGCACUGAAUCAAUGAAGGCUAACUUUUGGGUUGAAUUAGCCAUUGGUGCCACAAUCAUCUUCCUCACUUCUUCUUUCAAUUGUUGGUGGCGUUUUUCAGUUCCAGCAUCAAUAUUCUGCUCAAAAUAAUGAAAAUUUUCUUCACAUUGAAUCACUAAAUAAUUAAACAAAUAACAUGUUAAGAUUAUAUCAAUAUGGUGAUAUGUAUGUAUACCUUGUCGGGACAAUUGAGGAAGAAAUCUCCCCAAAUGCUAGGCUGAAAAUCGGCUUUGGGACGCAUUUCAUCCUUAUUGGAAGAAAGGGGUGAUGAAGAAGGCAUUUGAGAAUCUUGUGAAGUCAUUUCGAUUGAUCAAAAGCAAAUAUUGAAAAGCUGAAUUUGCAGCCUUUUUGUGGUUUGCUCUUGAAAUUUGGCACAGAAUUUGUGUGAGGAUAAGAGUGCAAUUGUUGCAUGUAUUUAUAGGUAAGAAAAAUAGUGGUGAUAUUUGAAGUCAAAAAAGAACUUAAAUUCAAGAAAACAAAUAUGGAAAACAAAGUGAAUGUAGGACCCAUUGCAUGAGAAUUGGAAAUAGAUUAAAAGAAAUGUUAUGUCUGUAAAUUAUUAAUUGAUAAAUGUUUAGAAAUGUAUAAUAUCUUAUGUAAUGUAUAAAUUAAAUCUUAACUAUUACUUUAAUAUGAAAUGUGUUUAAAAAGAAAUAAUUACAGUAUUUAAUAAAAAAUGUACUUGAUUUAAUGUUAUCUUAUGUAAUGUAUAUAGAAAAGGUUAAAAUUGAGUUUAUACUUCUGGUUUAUUCUUCAUUGAUUGAAAUGUAAGGAUGAAAAUGAUUGAUGCCUAAUGUUUGAGGGCAUGAGUGAUAUUAAAUCUUUUCUUUGCUUUUGACAUACUCUUGACAGAAUUUUAAGUCCUCAAUCCCCCUGCAGUCUCUAUGACGACCAAUCUUUUUAUCACCGAAAUUAUUUUCUUAGGAAAUAACAGUGUAAAGUAAGACUGCUAUGACUCUAUAUUAUUUAAAAAUACUAACUUAUUUAGAUAUAAAAUUUUACUUAAUAAAAAAAUGUUUGUCAUGCUACUUUUAAUCCUACUCAGUAAUCAAUUCUUUUUGUUACUUAUUUGAGCCGCUCUCUUUUGGAUUUUUUUUAAUGGAAUUUUGCCCUGUUUAGGAUUUUAGGAAAUCUUUAAGGAAUCAAUUUAAAAACUAUGAAAAAUAUUAUUAAUUUUGGGUAAAUAAAAAUUGAAAAAUGGCAUGUUUCAUCCAUAGUGAUGUACCAAAUAUUCUUAUAUAUAAAUAUAAUAAAAACAUUUUUGAAAAUUUUAAUAAACAAAAUAUUUUUUGCUAAACAGAUCAAAAUUAUUAGUAGUGAAUUUUGAGGAUCUUAAGUCUCAUUUUUUUGAAUAAUUUUAUUAUAAAUUUUGAUCAUAUAUAUAUUUUUUAAGAUAAUACUUAAAAUUACCUAUGGUCCCUCUCCAUCCAUAAAUAGAAGAAUAAUGCGUUUUAACAUACUCGGAUUCACAUUCUCCUGCAUUGCCAAUAAUACCCAUAUCAAUUAAAUUAAGACUCAACUGGUUAAAGAUAUUAAAUCUUAAAUCUUUAACUAAGGUUAUAAAUACUCAUUGAGUUUUUUUUAUAUAUAUAUAUAUAAAGAAUUUACUUGGGUACAACGGACUAAUAAGAUUGAACUAUAUAUAUAUAUGUGAAGAUAAAUUUAAAAUCAAAUGAAGUCAAUUUAUGCAUAUAAAGUUAAACCGAUUUGACUCUUUUUUUUCAAUUGAUUUUUUCACGGAUUUCUUUUAUCAAGGAACAUUAUUUAACUCAUGCAUUAAAUUCUGACACAAUAUUCAACCUUGUCAUUACUUUUACUGUAGUUUUAGUUUUUUUUUUCCAAGUAGAUACAAUAGUCAACCUUGUCAUUUUCAACCUUGUCAUUUUAAACUUCUAUUUAAAACAUUCAAUAGAUUUUGUUCUUGUUAGUUUUCAAAAAAAAAUCAUAUUUGGUUGUAGAUUUAUCAUCUUUCUUGUUGUCAUCAUUUUCAUCAAAGGAUCCUUCAAGAGUCACUAAACAUUUCUAAAACUUAUCUUUUUGUGGUUAUUUGACCAAUCAUUUUAGCUUGAAAUUGGUUGGUCUUUGUCUUAGUGAUGAUGAGUAGUAACUAAGUUUUAUGGUGGUUGGUUGAUUGAAAUAUUGCAUGGUUAAUUUUUUGGGUCAAAGAGUAAAUCAUAAAAAUCGGAUUAAAUUGAAUAGAUUUCAAAACCUAGAAUUGACGCCUCUACGUGAACAUUUGGAUAGGUGAGACCGAAAGGAGAUCCUAUUGUGAGCCAAUUUGAUUGACCCGACUUAGUUUAGUGAGGUCGGGAGAUAAACCAGACUAAAUCGUAUAAUUAGGUAAAAUGGUAAUCGAGAGGUAAAAUUGGACUAAUUAGGAGUUUGAGCAAUUUAUAUCCCUAAUCCAAGAAUUAAUUAGAAAUAUGGAUAUCAACCGACCACUUUAUCUCAUUGAAUUAUAUUUGUAUACUUUUUAUUGUUAUUCAAUUUAGUCCUCCUUAGGGUAGUUUAGCGUAAUUAACUUUGACCUCUCUUGAGUUUGAUCCUUGGAAAGGUCAAAGUGUUCCAUUAUAACACUUACAAAUAUUACAAUUGACCUAUCACACUUGCAGUCAAGUCACUUUUAAUUUCUUAUAUUUUGCGCUAAUUCUUUGCUAGGAGUUCGUACGCUGUGGCGCAAUCAAUUUUUUGGCAUCAUUGCAUGGGAAAUGUGUGUGUGAUGAGUUGAUUUGUUGUGAUUUUCUCAUGUUUUGCUAGGAAGACAAUUGGUGAAAUCUAGGUUUAUAAAUACGGCGCUUUACUUCUUUGUGUAUUUCUAUUUUUAUUUGUUUAGUUAAUUUCAUGACUAAUUCUUGUGGUUGCAUUUCUCAAUGUAUGAUUUGGAGCAACAAAGAUUUAAUCUCAUUUGAUCUCGAGUCGAAAAAGAUAAUAUCCAACGCAAGAUGAGGACAACCCUCAAGAGAGGGUCACCUAUCGAUAGAAUCAUUGAUUGUUGAUCCACCAAUUGACAAUCUUUUAUUUGAAUAUCCACCUAUAGGCCCUCUGAACAUAGAGAAACACGAACCCCUAUCUGAUCGAGACGAAUGGCGAACCGUACAUCGAAAGAUUAUAUCACGCCAAACUUGGAUGUUGUGCGAGGAGUAUCAACCAAACUGCCGUUAAUGCCAACAAUUUUGAGAUCAAGUCGGCUAGGAUAAGUAACCUCUAAUUCUGGGGCUCAAUGCAUGAGGAUUCCAACAACACCUUUAACAUUUUCUAACCAUUUGUGAUACCUUUAAGUAUAACAGGGUAUCCAAUGACGUUAUACGCCUUUGGUUAUUCCCUUUCUCUUUGUGUGAUGACGCUUUUAUAUGGUUGGAUUCGCAGCUAAUAAAUUCUAUCGCUAUGUGGGAUGAGCUAGCCAACCAAUUCCUUACCAAAUAUUUCCCACUGAGUAAACAGAUGAAGUUGCGAAUGAAUAUCACCAACUUCUGGAAAUUGGAGGUAGAAUUGUUGUAUGAGGCAUGUGAGUGCUUCAAAGUAACACUAGAUAAGUGUCAUCACCAUGGUCUACAAGAUUGGUUGUAAUUACAAACUUUCUAUAAUGGUUUGGAUAGGAAUUUGAGGUCAAGCUUAGAAGGAGCAUCUGCGGGGCCGUUCAUGUCUAAAACUUACGCUAAAGGUUGCCAACCCAUUAAACAUUUAGCAAUGAAAUCCUAGAUGUGGUCGAUUAAGCGAUUCACAUGUACAGCUAAAUCACUGACUGUGAAUGCAGUCAAUGGCAAGGACAAAUUUCUACAAAUCCUCUAGAGGUUUAAUAACCUCGAAAUUAGCUCUAAUAUGCCUCCAUCCUAACAAACACCAUCUUAUGGGAGCUCAUGUAGGGGGCAAAAAUGAAAAGCUACUUAGAGAAAUCACCAAGAGGGUAGUUAGGUUGAGGGGAACUAUAUGGGAACUAGGGGUGGUAACCCAUAGUCAAAUACCUAUAAUCUAAGGUGGUGUGAUCAUCCCAACCUUAGGUGGGGAGGAAACCAAGGUGUGGGAAACUUCAACCACCAUAGACCAACCCCUCCUUACCAACCUCUACAAGCCUAUAAACCCCAAGACCUUAAGAGGAAGCCUACUUUUAACAAUGACCCCCUAUGACCGUUAAGGUUAGUAAACUUGAAGAAGGGAUACGUUUGUUGCACACUACAGUGCGUCAAAUGCAAGGCCAGCUAGACCAAAUUCUCCACAUGUUGCAAACCAAUGUUGGCACUAGUAUCCCUAGCAAAACGAAAACUAUCCUAAACCGUGUCGACCGAGAUGAUAGUUUAUCGUAGUAAAAAACUAUCAAAAUCAGACAACCAGGAUAGUAAGUUAUUGUAGUAAAAUUUAUCGUCACAAAUGACAUGUAAAUGACCAUCUUCAUCGGGAAAUCAGGGAUGGCUAGUCUUUGAUAUGUGUUUUAGGUGUGGCGAGCAAUGCUUGAGGGCGGAUAAAAUAAACGGGUGGGAAAUUUGGAUUUGCAUUGCAUCAUACAUAAACUGUAUAUACAUUGAUUUACUAUAUACUCCAAAUGUUAUACUUAACUCGCUAUUAUUUCUAUGUUUUUCUAUUUGUGCAAUUAUAAAUAAUGAUUUAUAAGCUAGUUUCAUAUUGAGUUGUUGUAAGCUCAUUCCCCCUUUCUUUUCCUCUUAGGUAACAUAAGAAACUACGACUCGAUAUGGCAUCGAAGGAACCUCAAAAUAACAACUCAUUUUUUGUUAUUAUUAUUAUUAUAAAGUUUUUAUUAAAGUUUUCUUCAAAUCGUUUUAUUUUUGGGUUGUAAUUAUUAGUUAUUUCUUGCUUUUAUAUCUAGGGUAAAGUUGUUUAGCUUAUUUAUUUUAAAGCAUGACACUUAGUUAAUACUCUGAAAUUUGCAUGCUUUUCAGUUUAGAAAACCACUACUUUAAAUGUUUUCCAUCGUUUUACAAAAUACUAAAAGCUUUUGAUAAGUCCUUUAUUAAAAAAUUUACCUCAUUUUCCUAAAUCUUCACAUUAAUAAUAUUAUAAUUGAAUUGUUAAGUAAAACCAAUUUAAAUUAAUGAAUGUUCUUCCUAAAAACAAAAGAGAGUUUUCCAUAUAAAUCAACGCUUCAAAAAGAAUGGCUUUACAUGAUCACCUCGGUGAUCAAAUGUACGCCUCCAACUUAGUUGAAACUCCUAAACCGGGUCGAGAGUGUUACAAACUGGCAUCGAAGUGCAUCAUCGAAUAAACUGAAGUAAGGGAAAUUGAUGCAUGGGUUAGCUAAAUCAAGCUCCCAUUAUUCAAUUUCCAUAAAAAUUAAAGAAAAAAUGGCUAGAGACUUACUUGAAAUAGGUGGCUGAGUAUCAAUCAAGUUAGGCUUUAAAGCUUUCUUUUCUCUUCUAAAAUUGGACGAUAGCUCUGGGGAAGGAGAUGAUGACUUUGUCAUCUUUUUCCACUUUCAAUUCACUUAUAGAGUAUGGUUUAGUUGUAAUUAAACCGUUUUUUAUAAAAAUAAUAUAAAAAUUAAUUAAUCACAGAAUUGAGUUGGAUAAAAUUAUUUACGAAAAUGAGUUAUUUGUUACAAUACAAACUGGUGCCGCCUGACACACCGGCAACACCACCUAACUUUUGGUCAAUCAUCAGCCAAUCAUUAUGUUUUUUUUAAAAAAAAAAUCUUUUAUUGGUGCUGCAACACCAAUAUAUUUUUAAAAAAAUAGUUGUAUUCUCACAAAUAUACUUGAUGCAAGAAAAAGUGAAAAACAUUAUUUUUUAAGUAGGUACCGUAAAUGUGUCAGACAGUAUCCUUUUGAAUUUAAAAAAAUUCUAUCAUGAAAACAAACAGCUGAAGUUAAAAAAAAAAAACUGAUUAAAAAAAAAAACCCUUGACCAAUAACUCUUAGCAAAUCCUUGAAGGCAGGAAAGGGAGCGUUAUCCCCCACUAGUAAGUGUAAAAAAUCAUCAUGUACGUAAAUGGCACCGUAUGAUGUCAAAAAAGAAAGAAAGUAAAUGGCAAUGUCAAGAGAAAGUGACAGAGUUUUUUAAAAAAAAAAAUUGAAAGGGUGACGUUUGAGCCAUUGGUGGCAUUCAGAUUUUUUUUUAUUUUUUCUCUCACCGUUUACAUAUGUGAAAAUAUGAGUAUUUUUAAAAAAUAUAUAAAUUGGUGUGGCUUAAUAUAGUGAUGAAACCAAUCAAAAAUCUUUUUUUUUUAAAAUGUAAUGAUUGAAUGAUGAUUGACCUAAUUUUUUUGGUGGUGUUGCAGAUACCAGUUUGUACUGUAGCGAACAACUUAUUUUUGUAAGUAAUUUUCCUCAAACUCAUUCUUGUAAUUAACUAUUUUUUAAUAUUAUUUUUGUAAAAAAUCCUAAUUAAACAUAAUUAGUUAGUUUAGUCUUAAUUAAUUAAACUCUAAUAUUUAAUUAACUUAUCUAAUGGCAUCCACCAUCCAAUCCCAUUAUCAUCUAUUUUAUUUUUUUUAUUUACCAUUUGAUCCUUUGGAUAAUCUCUAUUUAAGUCCCCAAGCCUUUUUUUAAUUAAAAAUCUAUAGUAAUUUUUUUUUACAAUUUAGUCUUCAAGCCUUAACUAACCACAUUUUCUGCAAAAUUCCUUAACUAAAUUUUGCUAUAUCAACAUAAUUACUCCACAAAAACCCUGUUUACUAUUUAUGGACUCAAUUUAUGAAAAUGAUGUCCAAAAAUUGGAUUUCCCAACACCAUUGGAAACUAUGUCAUUACAUAGUGAGUAACACUUAGCAAUAUAUCACCACUACCCAAGUUACAAGAAGUCGUGGUUCGGCAAAACAUUUCCGUGAUAAUGUCAUUUUGUAGUAUCAGUCAAUUUCUAACAUGAAACUACAAAAUCACAUAAAUCGACAAAAACAAAUUUUUGAUUUUCAAAAUUAAAAUCCCAAAAAGAAAUCAGUUUUCAAUGCGUUGGUGUAACUCGUCCAAGUUUGGCUUAAACUUUCAGACCGAAUUUGGGGUGUUGCAGUUAUUAUGAUCAAAUCGUACCUUUCAUUGUUUAUUUUAUGUUACUUUUAAACACACAUAUGUGUUCUAAAUAAAUAGAGAAUUAAAAUGUAUAAGAAAUAUUAAAAUAAAGCUUUAGUUGGGUGGUAAAUUAAAGGUUUUACUAAUGCAAAAUUUGCCUAGGUUCAAAUCUCACCGUAUGUAUAUUUUUAUUCCUUGUUUUAUGUGACAAAACUAAAAUACUCUCAAAUAAUAUUACUUAUUUUAAUUACAGAAGGGCAUUCUUGUAAUUUUUUAACCAAGUUGGUGACCCAAUUGAGAGUGACACCAACUCAGUAUGGAGUUUAAAUAAUAGUAUGUAUAGAUAUACAACUUAUGAAGGUAAUAGAGUGUGCAUAAUAAAACUAAAGUGUAUAAAAAUAUUAAAAUAAAAUUUUAAUUGAGUGGUAAAUUAAAAGUUUUAUUAAUGCAAUUGAUGUGGGUUCGAAUCCUACCAUAUACUUAUUCUUAAUGUUUUUUAAAGUUAAAAGACUAAACUACCCUCGAAUAACAUUACUUAUUUUAAUUACAAAAGGGUAUUCUCAUAACUUCCUAACCAAGUUGGUGUCCGGUUUACUCAUGACACCAACUUAGUCAAGAAUUUAAAUAAUAAUAUAGAUGAAUUUCUAUCACAAGUUAACUCAACAAGGACUCAAGAUUGAUGACAACAACUUGAUACAAAAAUUAAUCUAAUUUUCUUAUUCUAAUAACGUACAUAUUUAAUACGUUAUUAUUAAUUAGUUUCAAACCAUAAGUUUCAUUAUCUAUUGUCUGUUAUUUUAGACAUACAUUUAUGUUUUAAAUUUGUGGUUUCCACGUACAGAUACAUGUGAGAGAAUGUCUGAUAUAUUAUUUAUAAUUGCAAAUUGUAAUUUUAUUUUUAAAAAAUAAAAACAUAAGUAUAAAAGAAUAAAAAGUCUCCUCCUAUUAAAUAACAAUAUUUUUUAAUAGAAUGAAAAAUUAGUGAAAACAAUUUAUUAAUUGCAAAAACUUCUCGGUAAUUGAUAAUUAAAUUAUCCUGAAGAGUUAUAUAUAUUAUAUUUAUGAGAUUUAAAAUUUCCUAAAAAGAUUAUAUUUAUCAAUAACAUUAUAAAAUCAUUGCAAUAUUUUUAGUUUUAGCUUCAAUUAUGCUUUUAAGUCAAAAGAAUACAACCCUUAAAUAAUAUAUAUAAAUCGGUUUUUGAGUUGUUUGUUCUUUUCUUUUUAUUUUUUAUGGUACGUCAUUUAAUGGCCACAAUAGUGUAUCUAGUGGACAAAUGUUGAUGUAAUCUUUUGACAGCAUAUGUAUUUCUUUUCACUUCUUCUUUCUAAUUUAGAACACCAACUACAAAUUAUUUAUUGUUUAUUUAAUUAUUAAAUAAAUAUUUUAAUUUUUAUUAUUGGAAUUUAUCAAAAUUUUAAUUUUAAUUUUAAUUAUUAAAGUUCUCAAUACAUCCAGAAUAAACCUGAAUAAAUAGUUGUCCAGAUAAAUUUGAACUUGAACAAAAUUUGUCCAGGUUCAUUCAGAUAUAAAUUUGAAAUAUAGUAAAAAAUUAAAAAUUAUUAAAAUUAUUACAAUGGUAAAAAUAUAAAUAAUUAAAGAUAAUUAUAAAAAUAAUCUAAGUUUUAAAAAUAUAAAAAAUCCUAGAAAUUAUAAAGAAAUUAUUAUUUUGUUUGUAAACUUAUAUUAGAAUGAGCCUGCUGGUUCGAGUGGUAAGGAGUUAAUUUGUUGGAGGUCCUGUGUUCGAAUUAAUGCGCGAGCGUGGGUGAUAAUUUUUGGCGACAGCGGUUGAUAGUGGUUUGGUGGUAGUGGGGUUCUUAAUUAGUUGGAUGGUUAAGGGAUGUGGAUGUAGUAGGAUUUGACUUAAUCUUUUUAUUUUAAUUUAUUCUAUGUUCCCAAAAAUUUCUCCCUCUUCUAGUUUCUGAUGUUGUACUUUUCUUUCCCCACCAAAAAUCUUUUUUCUCUUCCCUUAUUUUUGUCAAAAUCUCCCUUCCAAAAUUGCGAUAAUACGAAUCUCUGAUUACUUUGUACGUUUAGGUAAAGGAAAGUGGUGAGUUUCUUCUUAGAUUGAGGGCUUUGGUUAAAGUUUAUUUAAGUUAGUUUUGUUUUUUGUUAGUUUGAUUUUAUGGGUUUGACUACAGUGCGAGGAACGUGGUUCUUCUCUUACAGAAUUAUAGUCGAAAUUGUUCGGGGAAUCGGGUAAGUCUUGAAAACUUGAAUUUCACUAUUGUUGAUUUCUUUAGAUCAAUUUAAUUGAGGAAUUAGACUGAUUUUGAAAGCUUGUUAUGUCAAUUUUAGGUUCUAGUGGUCUCGGGAGUGUUUUCACAUCAAAAUCGUACCAGGUGUGUAUCCUAAACACAAAAAAUUAAGGUUCAAUGAAAGCUAAAAAAGGGUAUUAUUGACGCCACACGAGCAUGUGCUCGACCGUGUGAUUGGCCAUGUACAAGACACGGUCAUGUAAAUGUCAUAGGUGUGGUCGUGCACGAGACAUGACCAUGUGACGGUGUGAGCCACAUGAGCUAAACUAGAUUGGGUGUGUGGGCCACACGAGUAUGUGGGCCCAUGAUUUUAAAAUUUUCCCUAGGGUCGCACGGGUCGUUCCAAUCGACAAUGGGCCUACCGUAGGGACAGUAAGGGUCAACCAAACCCUAAUUCAUGUGACCUGAUAUUCUGAUAGUCUGAUCUUAAUGGGACUCUGAUAUGUAUGUCUGACUGUUCUGUUUGAAUAUAUAUGUUAUCUAUAUACGAGCAUGUUAAGCAUGUUAAUUCUGUAUUAUGUAUCUGUGUUUGGGGUGGGAUUUGCAUAUGUGAAUGAAGUGAUCUGUACGACGACCUUUCGCCUACAUUCUGGCAGCUUAACUUAAUAUUAUUUGUUAUGUAUCACAUCGAUGCUAUAUGGUGUGUAAGGAUGGGUGGGUGUUUUUAACCUCAUAUGCUGUGAUAGGAUGGAAGGAGAUGGUGUGUAGAGGAGGGGGUAGGAUUCUAUAUAUCUACUCUAAUUAUCUUAUUCGGGAAUCUAUAUCUGUUAUGUACUUAGGUCUGAAUCUAUAUCUGACUGUAUAUAAAAUUCUAUGUAUGUUACAUGAUUAUUUCUAUUAGGUUACACAUUGAGUUUAUGAAAACUCACAUCUGUUUUUGUCUGUUCUGUUCAGGUAAUCCAUAGGCUUAAGCGGGUAGGUACGAUGGAGACUCAACGGUGACCUCUCGACAAAGAAUUGUUUUUAUUUAGUGUUAUCAGUUUUUUUUUAAAAUCUGAUUUCUUUGAGAAUUGUAAUAUUUGAGACUUUCUGGACUGUAUGGUUUUAACUUUUGGAUUUGGAUUUUGUUUUGCUUUUUUUUCGCAACGUUGACAAAAAUACUUUACGUAAAUAAAUGGUUUUUGGAAACACGAGCUUGGUUUCAAAUUCAAUGUUUUUCAAACUUUCGUUGCAAAAUUCUUGAUAACUUAAAAUGGUUUGAAAUUAGAUUUUUAAACCCAAUUUUUUUAAUAUUAAGACUCUGAUUAGUAAACUAAUAAAACGAUACGAUUUAGCUUAAGAAAUAUAAUUUUAAAACCUUUCUUCGUAACAUGCAUAGAUUCAACCAUAACGUCUAAGCUGAGUUAGGUGUGUUACAUUUAGUGAUAUCAGAGCCAGGUUACAAAACUCAAGCUGUAAAUUUUGGGUUCCAAAAUUAUGCUUUGAAAAAGAACUAGUUUUCAAAUAAUUUGGAUCAAUUUGAGUAAGUAUAUCGUACACUGAGUCUCCGGCGUCGAUCCUGUAAGUACCUUUGAUAACUUGAGCAUAAAAUAUCUGCUAAUAAACACUAGAACUAAUGCAUAAAAUUUUAUAAUGUAGAUAAAACUGAAAAUACGAUGAGCGCUCGUGGAACUCGCAAUUGUGGUAUUCGUGGGCGCGGUGGGCACCGUAGGGGGCUCGAGCUGAGUCUUUCUUUUUAGGCAGUAUGCCAAAUUUGGAUACGAGUGAGACACCGAUUUCACCUGCUACUGAGGCUAGGUCUUAAAGCAACACGGCUAGGGACGACGCACUGUCGCAAGCCAUGUUGAGAGUGUUGAAGAGGGUUGUUGGACCCUAUUCUGGAUUUGGAAGCCAUGGGUCGAUAAUUGAAGGACUCCGGUCCAAUAGAGCUAAAUUGUUUAGGGGCGUCACUAAAUUUAUCCCUAUUGUGGUUGAGUAUUGGUUGGAGGCUACCAAGAGGAUUAUGAACGACAUUGACUGCACUCUUAAGCAGAAACUGAAGGGUGCAAUUUUUUUGCUUCGCGAUGAGGUAUAUCAGUGAUAGUUGUCGGUUGAGGAGGGUACUCAACUAGAUUGUUUGAACUGGGACUACUUUAAGACUUUUUUUAGGGAAAAUAUAUGGGGUACGAGUUAUGUGGACGCUCGUAGGCGUGAAUUCAUGAAUUUUACGUAAGGUGAUAAGUCUGUGAUCGAGUGUGAGGUUGAGUUUCUAAGAUUGAGCCGCUACGCUCGAGGCAUGGUAGCAUUCGAGUGUGAGAAAUGUGUUCAUUUUGAAGAUGAUUUGAGGGACAGUUUGAGGGCUCUGAUUGCUCUGUAGAGAGAGUGUGAGUUUGUUAUUUUGGUAGAUAAGGCAAAGAUCGUUGAGAAGGUUAAGCGCGUGGAGUGCCAGAAUAGAGACCAAGAGAGAGGCAAGAAUAAGAGGGAUUCAGAGCCCUCUAGUUCUGUUUAGAGGUCUAAGAAACGGGCCAGACCUGAUGAGCCUGUUAGAGUGAGAGGUCCAAUUGUUCCUGCUAAGAUUCAGCCUUGUGGUGACUGUGGUAGACGUCAUUCGGGUGAGUGUUGGAGGAGAUUAAGGGCUUGUCUGCGGUGUAGGUCUUUGGAGCACCAAAUUAAAGAGUGUCCAUAUCAUGCUAAUUAGAUGCAAGCUUUAGGACUGGACUUUGUUUAGCCUCAGAGGGUAGUACAACAGCCACCUAAGGACCGUAGACCGGCUAGGAGUGGUAAUGGUAUGGGCUAAGGUCAGAGAGCACUAGGAAAAAGUGCUAAUCAGACUGAGGUGAGCCAGCCUGCACUAGUUUAUGUUGCUCGAUGCCAAGAGGACAACAAUGCCCUUGAUAUGAUCAUGGGUACGUUUUUAAUUUUUGAUGCUUCAUAUAUUGUUUUGAUAGACAUAGGUUCUACACAGUCCUUUGUAGCUAGUUCUGUUUCCGAGAACUUAGGGAUUUUUGUUGAGUGUACUUCUGGAGAGAUUAUUGUACUGACUCUAUUGAGACAGUCUGUUAGGGUAAAUAGACUUUAUAAGAAUGUUUCGUUGGAAGUAUAAGGAGUUGUGUUUCCGACAAAUCUGAUAGAGCUACUGUUUGGGGAGUUUAACUUAAUUCUGGGUAUAGAUUAGUUAGUUGAGCACCGAUUUAGUUUGGACUGCAUGACUAAGAGGGUCAUUCUGAGGACCGAAGAUGAUAAGGAAGUGGAUGUAAUUAGUGAGGGUCGAGAUUACCUGUCUAAUAUGAUCUCUGUUCUAGCGGUUGAGAAAUUGGUUCAAAAAAAGUGUGAGACGUAUUUAGCCUAUGUCAGUGUUUCAGUUUUUGGGGACUCUUCUAUUGGGGAUAUUAAAACAGUGAGGGAAUUUUUAGAUACUUUUCCUGAGGAAUUACCAGGUUUACCUCUAUAUCGAGAAGUUAAGUUCGACAUUGAGCUUCUACCGGGUAUAGUUUCGAUGUCUAUCGCUCCAUACCGUAUGGCACCGAAGGAGCUAACAAAGCUUAAGGCUCAACUUCAAGAGCUUCUAGAUCGUGGUUUCAUCCAUCCUAGUGUGUCUCCAUGGGGGCACCGGUUCUGUUUGUGAAGAAAAAGGAUGGUACCAUGAGGAUGUGCAUCGACUACCGGCAGUUAAAUAAACUGACUAUGAAAAAUAAGUACCUACUUCCAAGGAUCGAUGACCUGUUUGAUUGGUUUUGUAGGGUUGUGGUAUUCUCAAAAAUAGAUCUCUAUUCUGGGUAUCAUUAGUUUAGGGUUAAAAAAGCUGAUAGUCAUAAUAUGACAUUUAGAACUCAUUAUGGGCAUUACGAGUUCUUAGUUAUGCCCUUUGGUUUGAUGAAUGCUCCGAUUGUAUUUAUGGAUCUGAUGAACCGAGUUUUUAAUUGUAUUUAGAUUAGUUUAUCGUAGUCUUCAUCGAUGAUAUUCUGGUGUACUCUAAGACUGAGGAUGAGCAUGAUGAGCAUCUUAGAGUAAUGCUACAGAUACUCUGAAAGAAAUAGUUCUACGCUAAGUUGAGUUAAUGUGAGUUCUGGUUGCGAGAAGUAACUUUUCUAGGGCACAUGAUUUCUGCUGAGGGUAUCUGAGUUGAUCCUAGAAAGAUUGAGGCUAUGCUUGAGUGAAAACAGCCUAAGAAUGUCUCUGAGAUCCACAAUUUUUUUGGGUCUUGUGGGUUAUUAUCGGAGGUUGUUUAGGGGUUCUCACUAAUUGCAGCUCCUUUGACUAAGCUUCUAUGCAAGAAUGUUCCUUUCAUCUGGACUGAUACACAAUAGUCGAGCUUCGAGAAGCUCAAGUCUGUUCUCUCCUGUUCUAAUACAACUUGAAUUUGGUAAGGAGUUUGUAAUGUAUAGUGAUGCGUCACAUGUUAGUCUAAGGUGGUGGCUUAUGCGUCCCGGCAGCUUAAGUCACAUAAGAGAAAUUAUCCGAUGCAUGAUCUCGAGUUAGCUACAGUAGUAUUUACGUUAAAGAUCUAGAGGCACUAUUUAUAAGGUGAGAGAUGUAUUAUCUACACCGAUCACAAGAGUCUCAUGUACUUCCUUACUAAAAAAGAAUUGAAUCUUAAAUAGCGUCGAUGGAUUGAACUACUCAAAGAUUAUGACUGCAAGAUAGAGUAUCAUCCCGAUAAGGUCAAUGUGAUGGCUGAUACUCUCAGUCAUAGAGCGAUGACUGGUUUGAGAGUGAUGUUCGCCUGUCUUAGUUUGUUCAAUGAUGGGGGUCUGUUAGCCGAGUUGCAAGUUAAGCCGACUUGGAUUGGAAAGAUUCAGAAAAAGAAUUUAGGGGAUGAGCGGUUUUGUUAGGUUGAGAGUGGCAGUACUUUUGAUUUUGGACUGAAUAAGAUAAAGUUCUAUGUUUUCCAGGACGGGUUUGUAUACCGAAUGAUUCUGAUUUGAGACAGUCGAUUCUGAGGGAAGCGCAUAGUAGCCAUUAUGCUAUAUAUCUCGGUGAUAAUAAAAUACAUCGGGAUCUUCGUAAGUUGUACUGGUGGCCGGGAUUGAAACGUGAGGUAACAGAUUUUGUUGCUUAUUAUUUAAUGUGCCAGCAAGUUAAGGUUGAGCACCAAUUGCCUUCGGGUUUGCUUCAACCUGUUAAGAUUCCAUUAUGGAAAUAGGAGCAAGUGACAAUAGACUUUGUUAGUAAGUUGCCCUUGACACCCAAUAAGAAGGAUUCUGUUUGGGUUAUCGUGGAUCGAUUGACAAAGUUCGCAAAAGUUAGCGAAGUUUUAUAUGCUGAGGUUGAGAGACUACAUGGGGUUCUGAUUUUGAUAAUAUCUGAUAGGGAUCCUCGCUUCACUUUUCUGUUCUUGAAGAAAUUGCAUGAAGCUAUGGGUUCAAAAUUGGAUUUCAGUACUGCGUUCCAUCCUCAGACUGAUGGUUAGUCUGAAAAGGUGAUUUAGAUAUUGGAGGAUAUGCUUCGGAGCUUUGUGAUUGAUUUCUGAGUAACUUAGAGGAUUUUCUGUCGUUAGCUGAGUUCACCUAUAACAAUAGUUUCCAGUCUAGCAUUCAGAUGACACCUUACGAGGCUUUAUAUAGUCGUAAGUGUCAUACUACACUAUGUUGGACUAAGUCGGGUGAAUGAUGGAUUUUGGGUCCUGAGUUGGUUUUCAAGAUUGAAGAUAAGGUUAGACUGAUUUGGGAUCGUUUGAAGGUGGCUACUGAUAGACAAAAGUCCUAUGCGGAUCUGAAAAGGAGGGAUAUUGAGUACUCUGUGGGUGACUUUGUAUUUCUUAAGGCAUCUCUAUGGAAGAAGGUUCUACGGUUCGAUCGUAAGGGUAAGUUGAGCCCUAGAUUUAUUGGGUUGUAUGGGAUUCUGAAGCAUGUGAGACCGGUCGCUUAUUAGUUAGAGCUACAUCCAGAGUUGGACUGUAUCCAUAAUGUGUUUCACGUCUCAAUGUUGAGGCAGUAUCAGUCUGAUCUAUCUCACAUUGUCUUUAUUAAGGAGAUCGAGGUUAGACCGAAUUUGACGUUUGAGGAGGAGACAGUUCAAAUUUUGGAACGAGAUAUUAAGUAUUAUGAGGAGGAAUUCCAUUCUAUUGGUAAAGGUUCUGUGGCAGAAUCAUGGCACUGAGGAAGCCAUGUGGGAACCUAAGGACUUGAUGAGUCAGUAGUAUCUUUAUCUAUUCGGAUUAGGUAAAUUUUGAGGAUGAAAUUUCUUUUAGGGAGUAAAGUUGUAACGCCUUGAAUAAUUUAUUUCUAUUUUUGUGAAAUCUGACACAAAUAUGUAUCUGCUUCAGUGGUUGAGUGUUAUAGGUGUGUGUAUGAGGUAUUGGGUUCAAGUUCCCCUUUUGGCAAAUUUUGUUAUUUUUUAUCCAAGCAUUAUCUUUGUUGGGUGGGCUUAUAUUAUAUUGUUUGCAAACUCAUAUUAGAAUGAGCCUACUGGUUCGAGUGGUAAGGACUUAGUUUGUUGGAGGUCCUGUGUUUGAAUUCACGUGCGAGCGUGGGUGAUAAUUUUUGACGAUGGCGGUUGAUAGUGGUUUGGUGGUAGUGGGAUUCUAAGUUAGUUGAGUGGUUAAGGGAUGUGGAUGUAGUGGGAUUUGACUUAAUCUUUCUAUUUUCUUUUAUUCUAUUUUCCCAAAAAUUUCUCCCUCUUCUAGUUUCUGACGUUAUACUUUUCUUUCCCCACCAAAAAUCUUUUUUCUUUUCCCUUAUUUUUGUCAAAAUCUCCCUUCCAAAAUUGCGAUAAUACGAAUCUCUGAUUGCUUUUUUACGUUUAGGUAAGGGAAAGUGGUGAGUUUCUUCUUAGAUUGAGGGCUUUGGUUAAAGUUUAUUUAAGUCAGUUUUGCUUUUUGUUAGUUUGAUUUUAUGGGUUUGACUGCAGUGAAUCGCGAUGAACGUGGUUCUUCUCUUACGGAAUUAUAGUUGGAAUCGUUCGAGGAAUCGGGUAAGGGUUGAAAACUUGAAUUUCACCAUUGUCGAAUUUGUUAGCUCAGUUUAAUUGAGGAUUUAGACUGAUUUUGAGAGCUUGUUAUGUCAAUUUUAGGUUCUAGUGGUCUCAGGAGUGUUUUCACAACAAAAUCGUACUAGGUGUGUACCCUAAACACGAUCAUGUGAAUGUCGUUAGUGUGGCCAUGUGUGGGACACGAUCAUGUGAAUGUCGUAGGUGUGGCCGUGUGCGGAACACGACCGUGUGGUGGUGUGAGUGUGGUUGUAUAAGCCGCACGGGCUAGACCAGAUUGGGUGUGUGGCCCAGGAUUUUGAAAUUUUCCCUAGGGUCGCACGGGUCGUUUCGAUCAACUGUGGGCCUACCAUAGGGAUGGUAAGGGCCAACCAACCCUAAUUCAUGUGAUAUGGUAUUCUGAUAGUUUGAUCUGAGUGGGACUCUGAUAUGUAUGUCUGACUGUUCUGUUUGAGUAUAUCUAUAUGUUAUUUUUAUACGAGCAUGUUAAGCAUGUUAAAUCCGUUAAUUUUGUAUUAUGUAUCUAUGUUUGGGGUGGGAUUUGCAUAUGUCGAGGAAGUAAUCUAUACGACGACCUUUCGCCUACAUCCUAGUACUUAACUGCAUAUUAUCUGUUAUGUAUCGCAUCGACACUAUAUGGUGUGUAGGGAUGAGUAGGUGUUUUUAACCCCACAUAGUGUGAUGGGAUAGACGGAGAUGGUGUAUAGAGGAGGGGAUAGGAUUCUAUAUAUCUGUUUUGAUUAUCUGAUUCGAGAAUCUGUAUCUGUUAUGGACUUAGGUCUGAAUCUGUAUCUAAUUGUAUAUGAAAUUCUAUGUGUGUUGCAUGACUAUUUCUACUGGGUUACACACUGAGUUUAUGAAAACUCACAUCUGUUUGUCUGUUCUAUUUAGGUAAUCAACAGACUUAGGUGGGUCGAUGCGACGGAGACUCAACGGUGACCACUCGGCUGAGAACUAUUUUUAUUUAGUGUUAUCAAUUUUGUUUCAAAAUCUGGUUUCCGUGAGAGUUGUAAUUUUUGGGACUUCCUGGACUGUAUGGUUUUAACUUUUGGAUUUGGAUUUUAUUUUUCUUUCUUUUCCACAAUGUUAACAAAAAGACUUUACGCAAACAAAUGGUUUUAACAAAUGGUUUUUGGAAACACGAGCUUGGUUUCGAAUUAACAUUUUUCAAACUUCUGUUGCAAAUUCUUGAUAACUUAAAAUGGUUUCAAAUAAGAUCUUAAACCCAAGUUUUUCCAGUUAUUAAAACUGCAAUUGGUAAACUAAUAACACGAUACGAUUUAGCUUAAGAGAUAUAGUUUUAAAACCCUUCUUUGUAACACACCCAGAUUCGGCCAUAACGUCUAGGCUAGGUUAGGGGUGUUACAAAUUUUGUUGUCGUCCUCUCUAGUUUGGUGAAUACUCGAUUCUUUUGUCGAUUUUUGCUCGCCACUUUGGACCAUCCGAGGUUGAUUUCAUUAUCAUAUUAAGUCCUUGCAAUCACUCCAGAUAUGUCGUGCUUGAGUUGUGAUUAAGCCAAUUGUCAAUGUGUCAUAAUGUUCUAUUGAUGCUAAGGCUAAAGCCUUUGUUGUGUUGAUAGAGCUUGUCCUUCACCAUCUGCGAUGAGUGUUUGUUAUCUUUUAUCUCUGAAUUGUAUGGUUCCAUUCAUUGAAUAAAUUAAUGAAUUUACCUUUCAAAAAAAUAAUUUAACAUAUUUUAUUUUAAUUUUUUUCUUAAUUAUUUAUUUUACAUAUACAUAAGUUUUUUUUAAUAAAAUUGGAAGUGGAGUAUAAGAUUACUUGGGAUUGUACCUAAACUCUCAUGCCUAUAACAUAGUAUUCUUGCCACUAAGUCAAGAGGUUGUUGGCACAUAAGUUGUAACUUAAUGACAUCAAUAACCAUUUUCCAUUUUCACAUCAUGGUUAUUAUUUUGUUUGAAUCCAAACAUAUAUCACAUUAUUAAUUUUAAUCUUACCGCUAUAUUAACUAAUCUCAUCAUCAUUAUUACUUUUAGUUUCACCAAAAAUUAACUUUACUACAUAUCCAAAAAGAGCAUAAGCCGAAUAAUUUCCAAAGAAUAAAUACAAAACCAAGAAAACUACACCGGUUUCAUAGACAUUAUUUAAUUUCAAGUCAUCGUCAUUAUAUCAUGGGCAUAAUGAUUUAUUUAACCCUCCAAUUUUAUAAAAAAAAAAUUUAGCCUUUAAUUUAAUUUUCCGUAUCUUUUAACCCUUGAAUUUUUAUUGUUUGUCAAAUCACCUUAAAAUGAAUGAAAAAAUUAACACUUUUUAACUUUGUUAAUAUGACAUUCACCUAGCAAUUAAUUAUUUCUUAAAAUUUCCAAAACAUAUAAAAACAUUUAUAUAAUUUUAUUUUUAAAAUUUUUUAAAAUUAUUUUAAAAAUUAAUUAAGUACUUAUGUGGCAUUCAAGUGACAAUUCACAUGUAUGUCACAUCAGUAAAAUUAAUUGACAUUACAUUUUUAUUCAUUGAGGUGAUUUGAUAAAUAAUACAAAUUUAAAAUAACAAAAAUUAAAUAAAGAACGAAAAAAUAAAUCAUUAUACCUAAUUUUAGGAUAUUGGAUCAUAUAAAAUUAAUAAAUUAUCUUUUAACUUAACAAAAAUCGUAAAACAAUUAGUAAUUAAACAAGCUUCAAUUAUUACCUAUAAUUAGAUCAUUCAAUUGAGCGGCCGGGUGAUUUGGAUCAAUUAAUUCUGAGUUUUAACAUUUUUAGGAUAUUUUAGUUUAAAAUUUUUAGAUUUGAAUAAUUUUGGAAUAAGAAUUUUGAUUUGAAUAAUUCUAAAUUCAUAUAAUUUAAAUAUGAGGUUUUGGGUUUUUUGGUCGGUUCAUUUUAGAUUUAAUUUCUUUUUUCGUUAAAAUCAUUUUAAGUUCAAAAUAUUUCGGGUUUUGGUUAAUUUGGAUUUGGAUUUUUGAUUUUUGAUUUUUUAUGAUUAAAAUUUUAAAACAAUUAAUUGUUGAGGUAGUAUCCACAUGGCAAUCAUGUUAACAAAGUUAACAUAUAUUAACUUUUUAAUCCAUUUUAGGGUGAUUUGGUAGAAAACGCAAAUUUAAGAGCUAAAGGAGACAAAAACUUAAAUGGAAGGCUAAAAUGACUUUUUUAAAAAAAUUUAAAAGAUCAAAUAAGUCAUUAUGCCUAAAAAAUUCAUCUUCAGAAGCUCAAUAAUCAAAUAAUUAUAACCCAAAUUUACUUGAUGAGUGAGGAUGUAAAACUAAUAUUAAAAAAAUAAUAAGAGAUUAUAAAUUUUGUUUUAGUUUACAAGUACAAUACGGUGUGAUUAUAGUAUAAUCACAAAUACAUGCCUAAACAAAUUAUAAAGUAGAAUUAAACUAAUAUAAAGCACAUUAAAGGUUUUUGGAUGAUUAUUCGAUUUAAAUGGUGAAUUUUUUAUUCCUAAUCUUUUAAAUUCAUGUUUUUAUAUUUAGGAGAGCAUUUGGAAAGGAGCGAAAAUCGGAACAGGUUUUAGGAGCCACAUAGGCUGGAUCGUUCUACAUGGGCUGGACACAUGACCAUCUAAGCCACAUGAGUUGCCACACAGUCAUGUGCCAACCCGUGUGGAAAUUGCGAAUCGCACUCCAAACCCGCGAGAAAUUUUUUUAUAGGUUUUUCGGACAUUUUAAGACCUAUAUAUGACAAAAAUAAGAAGAUGGGAGAAGACUAUCAUUAAAUACUCAAGAAAAUAACUCAAAAAACACCAUUGAAGCUGACUCUGAAGCAUAUUUCCAUCAAGAUUGAAGAUCUCCUUUUGAUUUCUUUGAAGUUUAUUAAGAGUUUCUUUAUUUCUUGUGGUUAUAUUGUCUUUGGAAUGUUUUUAUUUGUUAUCAUGAACUAAUUUUCAAAAUACCUAGGGAGAUGAACCCUAAGAUCGAUUCUGUUAUUUGAUUUCUAUUUUUACGCAAUAAAUACUUAGAUCUUGUUGUAACACCCCUAACCCGUAUCCAUCGCCAAAAUUGGGUUAUAGAGCAUUACUGAAGUUUACAAAUUAAUUUACAGACAUUUCAUUUUAUCAAGCAUUCAUAUUUAUAACCAAUCAAAAUCUAAACAUUAAUGAGCUAACGUUGGCCAAUUUAACUUAUACAUGCCAUUAAAACCAGAAUAAAAUCAUCCAAAAUUACCGAUAGAACCAAUGGAUAGUGUGAUAUAUCUCCGACAAGCUUUCAACCCCAUCGAGCUUCCAAUAAUCAUUUCAAUGCAUCUAAUAAUUAUACAUAUUACCAAUAAUAAUUCAAUUCCAAUAAUAAAACACAUAUUUAUAUAAUAUUCAUCACCAAAUAACAUUCACUUUAAUUAAAAUCAUACAGAAUAUAGUUCAUACGAACUUACCAGGCUAAAUUGCAGAAAUACCAAAAUUCAAGGAUAUUUUGGUAAUUUUUUAUUUUCCUCGAAUUUUCACCCAAUCUAGAUCUAAAUUAAUAUUUCAUUCAAUUUUAUUAAUUUAAAUAAUAAAAUAAUUCAUUUCAUGCAAUUUGGUCAUUUUUUGACAUUUUUACAAAUCUGCCCUUAAAAUUUUACUUUUAUUCAAUUUAGUCCCUGAGCCUAAAACAUGCAAAUUAGCCAUUUUUAAUGAAAACUCAUGCUAGUAGAAUAAUCAUAUAUUUUACUCCUCCUCCUCUCCAUUCCACAUCCUUAAUGUUUAUAACAUGCUUAUAUGUAACAUUAUCUAUAAUUUCACUAUUUAUUUAUAUGUUCAUUCAAAGCUGUCCACUUGAGUCAUGGUCACUAAAUUAUUUAUAUCUUGAGCUAUGGAACUCAAAAUUAAGAUCCGCUAAAUUUAUAUGAAACUAUACUCACAUAUAUUCUUACCAUAAACUUUUCAGAAUUUAUGGUUUAGCCAAUAAGUAUAGUUUAUUCUUUAAAGUCAUCCAUGUUCUGCUGUCUGACAGUUUCAACCCUUCUUCACUAAAAAUUAAUUAUCUCCUCGUACGAGAUUUGGAUGAUGUUCCCAUUUGUUUUUAUCGAGGAUAGACUCAUUAAUAAUUUUAAACAUAUAAAUAACCCACAAUUAUUUUUAGACAAUUUUUAAUUAUUUUCCAAAGUCAGAACAGGGAAACCCGAAUUCAUUCUGACCUUGUCUCAAAAAAUUUAUUAUAUAUCAUGAUUUACAAUUCCAUUACUUACACUGUUUAUUCUAUGAAAAACUAGACUCAAUAAGCUUUAAUUCCAUUUUGUUUUUCAUCCUCUAAUUCGAUUUCUACGAUUUAUGAUGAUUUUUUAAAUUUAACCUACUACUGCUGUCCAAAACUGUUUUAGUGCAAGAUGUUGAUUACUAAGUUUAUAACUCCCUUAUUCCUUUUCUCUAUAAUAUUUCCCAUCACUUUCACUUAUUUCCCUUCACUAAUAUAUCAAGAACAUAAGACCUUAUAUAAUAAAACUCUACUAUAACAUCAUUUUCAUGCUUUUUCAAUAAUAUCAAACUUCAAAAUAUAUUGAAAUCUUGAUGUUCUUAUCUUGUCCUCUUAGUUUCAAACUUUAACUUGAUUUUCUCUCUCCUCCAGCUUCUAUUUCUUGAAUCUAACUUGAUAUUCUUGCUCCCCAUAGUCUCCUUGUUAUCUUUCUCUCUUGAUGGAUAUGGAAAUUUUUUUGAUUUCUAAGUGAAAAUGGUGAAUAUUUAGUGAAAGGAUCAAAUUGUAAAGAAAAGAAAGUUUUUUUCUUUCUUUUCUCUUCAUACGUUGGAUGCAUGGGAAGAAGAAGAUGGUUCUUCAUCUUUCCUUCCAUAUAUAUACUAAAUAGAAUAAUAAUAAAAUAAUAAAAUAUCAUUUAAAAAUCAAAUUAAAAUAUUAAUAAACUAAUAUUUAUUGAUUUAAUUAAUCUAAAAUAUCUCCAACAUCAUCAUUUUCUUCUAGAUUUCUCUUUCUUCUAAUUGACCAUUUUGCCAUUUAUGAUCUUUUAAAAUUUCAUCCUUGAGUCAUCACUUAAUUUGGUAAAUUUAUGAUUUAGUCCCUCAUAAUUCUUCACCUAUUCAAUUUGGUCUCAAUUCAUCCAUUUUCCUUAAUUUCUAGAUUAUUCCACCCUUAAAAUAUUUACACUAUUGAUCCUUUAACUUUUUCAUAUUUACACUUUAACCCCUCAAAUUUUGAAUAUUUACUCUUGGGCAACAAAACUUUUCUCAUUUUUACGAUUUAAUCCUUCAUUGAAUUAAUAUGUCAUAAUAUACUUCCCAAUGUUGACAUAACUCAAAAUUACCCUUUUUUCACUUUAUUUCCUUAUUUUACUAUACCAGGGAUAUUAUAUUACUUUCUUACUGUAGUAAAUUUUCGGGGUAUUACACUUGUUCUCAAUUAUGUGUGCUUAAUUCUUAGUUUGAUAUUUCUAAAUUAUUAAUUCAUGUUUGAUGUGCUUAAACCAGAGGAGGAAUAUACCUUGUUUAAAAGUAGAUCUAGCAUAAUUGAGUGAAGUUGCAUGCAAUCCUAGAAAUAGGACGAUAUAAAUAUAUUACAUUAGAGUCAAAUCUAAUAGGGGGAUUUAUAGAUUGAGUUAAUGCAAUAAUAUGGGUUUUAAUUAGAAAGAAAUUUCAAUUAAUCAACCUAGAGUCAGUUGCUCUUAGUCUUGAAGAGAGAUAUUAACAUAAUUUAGGGAUUUCUAUAGAUCAAGAUACAAAGUGAAGAAAUUACGUAAUUUAGAUUGAUAAUAACAGAUGAAACCUAGGUGAAUUCUUUCUUGGGUAUUGUUUCUCUUCUUGGUUGUUAAUCGUUUAUUUUCCUUAAUUGUUUUUUAUCAUGUUCAUUAGCAAUUAGUUUAGUUAAUUUUAAUUUUCAAUCAAUCAUUCGAAUUUAUCGAUUAAAUAAUACAAAGAUAGUAAUUUCUACUACUUUUAGUCAUCGUGGGAACGAUAUAUUUGCUCACCGUAGCUAUACUAUUAAUUGAUAGGUACACUUGCCUUAGUCAGAUUUUUAGUUGGUUUACGACUAAAUCAUCAGGGUCAAAUUGACAUAAAGUAUAAAAAUCAAGGACCAAACUUGUAAUUAUACUAACUAAAAAGUGUCACUUAAUAGUCAAGUGUCCAAAAAAAAAUCUAGAAAACAUUUGUAAUUAAUUUGUAACUUUUUUAAUUAAGUGACCAAAAUAAAAAUUUACUUAUAAUUUAGUGACUAAUAACAUAAUAUACUCAUUGUUUUUUUUUUCUUUGAUUUAAAACAUUUUGUUUUGGUAGCCGUCAGUACUUGACUCAUACAUACGUACAUAUAUAAUAUUAUAUAUUAGAAACUUAACAUUUACGUUAUUUCAAAUUUAAAUAAUAUAUUUUGGUUGGUGAAAAUAGUCAUUACAAAAUAUACUACAACAUUACAAUAUUUUUAUAUAUUAUACUACAUUGUAUAACAUAAAUUAUAAUAUAUUUUAUUUUAUUACCAAAUUUUGUAUAACAUAAAUUAUAAUAUAAUUUAUUUGAUUACAAAAACCUUUAUCAUCUACUAAUGGUUAAAUUUGAUAGUUUCGUUAAAAAAGACGUUUAUCUUUUUACAAUAUUUAUUACAUGUGAUGCAACAUAUUGUGUAACACAAAUUUGAAUUUCACUAUUGAUUUUUUGGGAUUGGUUAUAUAUUUGUUGACUUUUAAGUGGAAAUUAAUAUUCGAUUUUUUGGAGCGAUUCUUUUAUGGAUCCUUCCGAUCAUAUUAUUUAUGGUCCAUUUUCAGUUAUUUAAUGGCAUUUUAGUAAUUUUUUCAUGUCACUGACAUAUAAUUUUGGUAACUAUUUUACCCCGAACACCAAACUCAGAAUCCAAACCCUGAACCCCAAACUAGAAACUAUUCAAGGUUUAGAAUUUAGGAUUUAAUGUUCAAGGUUCAAGAUUCGGGUUUGGGGUUUAAAGUUUGAGUUGGGUUUAGAGUUUGAUAUUUAUGUUUAGGGUUUGAGGUCAACAUUCAGGGUUUGGGGUUUAAGGUUCCAGAUUCAAGGUUUAUGGUUUAGGAUUUAAGAUUCAUGGUUCAAGGUUUAGGAUUAAAAAAUUACCAAAAUUUUGUCAAUGAUAUGGAAAAAGUUGCUGAAAUGGCAUUAUACCAAAAAUGAAAAUAAACCAUAAAUAAUGUAGUGGGAAAGAUUCAUAAAAUAAUUUCUCAAAUAUUUUAUUUUUCAAAGUUAAUGAUAUACCGAAAUAAAUAAAUAAAUAAUUCAAAACUUAUCUGAAUAGACUUUAGGUGGUUGAGUUUAGUGGAUUUUUUUUAAUCUUAAUUCCGGUAUUUAUAACUGAUCUUAUUUUUAUAUUACAUAUUAUUUUAUACCAAAAAAUAUAUAUAAAAAAUCAAUUAAUAUAUAAAAUAGAAGAUAUUCACAAUGAAAAGUUUGGAAAGAACUUUAUUGAAUUAAUAUAAGCCAAUAAGUACAAAGACAAUAGAUUUGGACUUUCUUUUAUAAUAUAUGAAUAUUAUAAAACAUUAUUAAUUAGAACUUAAUAACUAUUUCUUAGGAAACAAGCUUGGAGAGGAAAAAUUAACAUAAUUUUAAAGUGCAAUUGGUUCAAUGAGCAAUGAAGUGAUUCCACCCUUAGCCGCUUUUCCAACAUAUGUAUAUCCAUCUCCUUCCCUGUAAAGUACAUCCAUCACCCUUGCAAGGUUUAGGCUACGAUUUAAAACUUCUGUUGGCAUUUCUGUUGGUUUCAGAAACUCUUGAUUCACAUCCUUCCAAGCACUCUCAACAUGCUUGUUGAAUACAUCGUAUGCCUCUUGUGCUGAUACGCCAUAUUCUUCCAUGUAACACUCUAUUGCUGAGCAAUCGUCUUCUCUCCUAUGCUUAAACUGCAGCCAUAAUAAAAUCAAAAUUAUUCUAUCACUAUAUACCCUAAAAUCUAUCAGUUUAUUAAACUACCAUUCUUUGUGACGAUAAAAUACAUUUAUUGACAAUACUUCCUCACUAAAAACCCUAAAAUGAAACUAGAUUUCUUUUCUUAUUCUUCAAUUUGAGACUAAACAUUUUAUAUAUAAACAUUAAACUUUAAUUUUUUUUAGAUCAUGAUAAAAACCAUCGUCUGAUUGUCACAAAGACAUUGAAUUAUUUAGUUAAGAGUUCGGUUUCUUAUGGUUAUCUAAAUAUAUUAUUAUACCUUGUGUUCCGCAACAUCAUCCAUAAACCUACAAAUAAUUGUGGAAGCUUGAAUGAUCUUAGGGUCAUUGGCUGCCCAUUUAAAGGUCUCUGGUGUUACGAUAUCUCCCAUGCCGACGAAAGAUGUAAUAGCAAGCAUGGCAUAACCACAAGUUGGCAAUGCAUUAGCCUUAAACUCCUCGAAUGAUGGUUUGUAGUUUUGAAGAGUCCAUCUGGCCUCCACAAGGUAAGAU